GUAUAUUUCACAAUUGAAAACUGUGAUGUGCUCAUCUACUGGCCAGAAGAAGUGUUCCAAAGCUUGGUAUCUUUGAAGGAGUUGUGGAUUCAGUCCUGCAACAAGCUAAUAGGGCCCACACAAGCGAAAGGUGUCGAACCUACACAAACGACAGAUCAACUCCUACCACAUCUAAACAUGAUACGUAUAUACUGUUGUGAAAGCAUGGCACAGCUCUUCAUUCUUCCCCCAUCUAUCAGACUUAUUCAUAUUGAGGAAUGCCCUAAGCUUGAGUUCAUAUGGGGAAAGGAGGAGCAUAUUGACACAUAUACAUCGCUGGAACAUUGCCGCGACCCUGCAUCCACCACUGGUAACCUAGAGCAAUCGCCGUCUCCAAUUAUUCGCCGUCCAUGCCUUGUAGAUCUAUCUAUAAGCAGUUGUGAUAGCCUGUUAACACUUCCAAAUCUACCACCGUCCCUCAAAUAUUUACACAUCUGGAGCUGUGAGAAGCUCUGCUCUGUGUCAGGAGACCUGUGUGCACUCGAGGAGCUACAUAUUUUUGACUGCAAUAAGUUACAGUCAGUCAAUUCCUUGGGAGACCACCCAUCAUUAGAAACACUGUAUCUUAAUCGCUGCCGAUGCCUUGCAUCUUUAGGAUGUGAUGGUGGUCGUGGAAGUUACUCUGCUCUUCAGAGCCAUAAGAUCGAAGACUGCCCAGCCAUAGACAUGAAGCAGUUUUACUAACGCCAUCAAACAGCUGCUUGACAGCUUUGAAUAUGAAGACGUAUCACACGUUCAUUCAAGCAGCUCUGAUGAAGGUACGACCUUUCACUUUCCUCUUAUUCAAUUUGUUUCCUUCAAAUUUCCCUGCUUUGCAUGCCCUCCUAUUUUGUUGACUAACUGGUGUAACCCCACAUAUUGGUGUUGAGAUCAGUUGAUGCGGAAUCACUGAAGUACUACUGAAACGAGAUCCUGAUCGGUCUCAGUUUUGGAGAGCAAUUUGUGGUGAACGGAGGCAGUCCAAGGCUUCAAGAACUCAUGGAGUCGUGCUGUACCAUUCUGCACUGCCAGGGCCAAAACAACACAAUUCCUUUAUAUAAGUUGGGUAAGUAAAAAACCAUGCCUUCGUCUGUGUUAAUCAAAUCUCAUUUAGCACAUAUAUGGGGACGUGUUGUUAACUUGUUACCCCAUGCUUUUCAUUUUUUCUGUGCAGACAUGACCCAUUUGUCCUUAAAAAGCAUAAAGGAGGGCACUCACAUGUACACACGACUGCUAUCUGGAAGCUUCAUUGCAGAUCUAGAGAUCAGGAGAAGAAGGAAAUCGUGGGGAUGCAGAUUUGCUUUCAACGGUCAAAACAGAGCUACAAAUGAUUAGUUGUAGUCGUGUGUGGUCCUUCCAUCACGAGUCGGUUUUUUCUUUUGCGCUAUAGAGAAGCUUUUCAGUUGUUGUCUCUUUUACGGUUGAUUUGAUUCCUUUUUUCCUUUCUAUGGGCCUGUUUGGCUCCACCCUAUUAAAGUUUAACACCUGUCACAUCGGAUGUUUGGAUGCUAAUUAGAAGUAUUAAAUAUAGACUGAUUACAAAACUAAUUGCACAGUUGGAGUGUAAUUCGCGAGACGAAUCUAUUAAGCCUAAUCAGUCCAUGAUUUGAUAAUGUGGUGCUACAGUAACCAUUUGCUAAUGGUGAAUUAAUUAGGCUUAAUAGAUUCGUCUCGCGAAUUAGCACAGGGUUCUGCAAUUAAUUUUAUAAUUAGCUUAUGUUUAAUUUUUCUAAUUAGGAUCCGAACAUUCGAUGUGACACUAUUAAAGUUUAGCACCUCGUAUCCAAACACCCCCUAUUAAUAUAACAUGAAAAUCCUCUUGCCAUCUUUUUUUAAAAAAAAUCGUAGGGAUGCUGCUUGAUGAAGCUAGCAACAUGGAUUUCAUGGUUCUUCCGAUUGUUGGAAUGGGUGGGAUAAGCAAGACCACCUUUAAUUUGUGCAACUCAUUUUUUCGGCUGUCAGAUGAACAUCCGAUGCGUUUCCUUCAUCUUCUAGUAAGUAUAUAUCUAGGUGCAUAGUAAAAAUUAUAUAUCUAGAAAAAAUGACCUACAAUUUAAAAUGGAGGGAUUACGUUGGAACAUCAACCAAACAAAUGGACGAACCCGUUUAAUUAUUUGGCCUCCAAGAAUGCUAUACGACCUGAAUGAAUAACUGAAGGCUAUCAAGGCACUUAUUGUUGUACAUAGGAACUGAGCUUGACUUAGAUAUAUUUAUUUGCAAACAGGUGUGAAAUGUGAUACAAUAAUUCAGAAAGCUAGACGUCGUGAGCCAUCCGAGAGAUAAGAAGAAGCUUCUCAUUACGGUGCACAUCCAUCCCAUACGACUCUGACAUUUCGAUGCCUGUCAACACUGGCGGAAGCUCCCAAUUGAAGUGGUAGAUGAGGUUGGCAAGAAUGAUUUCGAAAGUGGCGGUGGUGAAGUUUAUACCCAGGCACAUCCUUCGCCCAGACCCAAACAGCAAGAAACAGAAGUCGUUCCCCCGGAAGUCGGAAGCAGCAUCCAUGGCUUCUUCCAUGAACCGCUCGGGCAUGAACUCCUCUGCACUCUCCCAGUAGGUGGUGUCCCUGCAUAGAGCCCACGCGUUGACGAUUACACGUGUCCCGAAGGGUAUGGUAUAGCCCUCCACAUUGCAUUCCGACUUUUUUAUUUUUUGAACUUUUUUUUGAAAGAUUCUUACAAAUAGGUCCUUGGCGAAAACAUUUCAAAAUCUGGACCCUUAGCUUGGCGCCACCAUCGUACACGUCUCGGCGCUAGCGGCUCUGGCGCCUAGGUCAUUGCGCAGCUGGUGACGUGGAUGCUGACAUGGCGGGGGCUUGGCACCAAGGUGGAUGACGCCAAGCUUCGUAUUUCAACCACCUGCCUCCUUCCUACCCGAGCCUUCCUCCUCUUCUUUCUCCUCCCUCUCGGAUUUUUUCUCUCCCCACUUCACCCUACAUCACGAAUCGGCCUAUUGGAUCUUGAAAACUUUGAUUUGAUCCGUGGAUCUUCGAGAGCAAGGUAUCCUCGCUCCCUCAUAGUUUUUUUUCACGUCGAUUCGGUAUAUAUUAGUCGGAGUUUUGAACUUAGGGUUCAUGCAACCGUAGGAUGUCAAGGCGUGGAAAAGCUAGGAAACUAAGGUAACCUCAACGCACGUUGUUAUGUUAUGGGUUCAUUGUUGUGGAUCGAAUGGGAAACCCUAGGUAUAGGUUUAAUGUUAAUUGCUUUCGGUUCUUACAACGAAAUGGACUAAAUUGUAGUUAUGGCGGGAUGACUGGAAAUGCCUUCGACCCAUUGCCUCUGCCAAGUGGUGUUCCAGUGCCCAUGUGCUUUUACAGCGAUCCUUGCAAGGUAGCCAAGUCCGAUGCAGAGGACACGUAUAGGAAGAGGUAUUGGAUGUGUUCCAAUUUUGCGUUUGAGCCUACACUUCGUCAGCGCCGCAUUAACAAGAUGGUGAGAAAUUGAUGUUGUCUAAUAAUUAUUUUGUUUCGUAUGACAUCUUGCAUGAUUUUUUUAUUUUCUAACAAUUGCAUUUGUUGCAAACCCCUCUACUGCUCUGUGAUUUUGAGCAGUGGAUUGACACUGAGAUCAAGCCUGAAGAUAAGGAGGAGAUGCAGGAAAUGUUGCGGUGGGAGGCAGAGAAGAAGGAGACAACGGAGAACAGACACAGAGAGGAGGCUGCAGAAAAGGAGCACAAGGAAAAGGAGAAAAAGAGGCAUGCUGCUGCGAACAGGGAGGAGAGGGAGAAGAAGCUUGAGCGUGCACGCUGAGCGAAAGCAGCGAUUGAGGAGAAUCCCAAUGCCCUGAGGAAGGGAAAGUGGCCUCGUUGCACACAGUAGUCUUCAGUACUUGCUAGUUCUAUGGUUUAUUCAUGAACAAUGUUAUCUACUGUUGGACUUUUCAUUGUGUUGUCAUGUAAUGGACUUUAAGUAUGGAUGAUGAUAAAAAGAAGUACCGACAGAUGCUCAUCACUGAAUCAACACAUGCCAUCGAAAUUUUGGCAGAAUUUCCCCUAUUAUUUUUACACAAUCCAUACAUGUAAGUGAGAUGAAUUUUUAACCUCAAUACAACAUGUUCAAACAUACAAAUAUAUGCCACAUUCAUAAUGAAAGUCCACAAAAUGCAUAAUGAAAGUCCACAAAGUUCAUAAUGAAAGUCCACAAUAGUACAUAUACACAAUAGUUCAUAAUAAAAGUCCAUAUACACAUUAGUUCAUAAUAAUAGUCCAUAUACACAAUAGUUCAUAAUGAAAGUCCACAAAGUCCAUGUUAUUACAUAAUAACAUCUACCACAAACGUUCACUACCUCCUAGUCUUACCCUUACCCUUGUGACCAAGAGUGUCGGUACCUGGAGUGUAAGGGGAAGGUGGACGAUAUCUCCUAGUGCCUGCAAGCUGUGUAGGCUGAGUCAAGGGAGCGUCCUGGAGCUGAAACGGGCCAAGCUCUUCGUGCCUCUCGUCAUCCUCAUCCUCGUAUGCAAUGCCUUUGGCCUGUGUAGCUGCUUGGCUAGACGAACCUAUGCCUCCUCUGCUUGAGGAAGGAACAUGCAUGUCUCGCAUUGUGGCUGUCCUGCAACCACAAUGAGCAGCCGCACGGCGUAGCCGACGUGAUAGUCUCUAUUGUACAAGAAAUAGGUUAAGUGAAAGAAUUUAACGUAUUAAUAAUAUAUUUGAAAGCAUAUUUAGAAUCUUAUGUCUAGGAAGCUACGCGUCUCGUCGUCUCUGACUCUCGGACGAAACUGCUCAAUGUCUUCAACCGAGGUUUUGAGGGUAUGGCCCUACAACAAAGUAAAUGUACCAUCAUUAAAUCACUAAGUCACUAUCUACCUAAAUCACUAAGUCAGUAUCUACCUAAAUCACUAAAUCACUAAAUCUACCUAAAUCACUUAAGUCAACUAAUCACUAAGUCACUUAACAUAGAAAAAUAAGGCAAUUGACUUACCAAUCUAUCCAAGAUUGGUCCUGCCUCCACUUGCCUUCCUACACAAGUACUUCGGUCGUAUGUCGUGUCUUCAUCGUCGAAGGACUCGAUGUCGCUGUAGUCAUCUUGUGUCCAUUGUAGCCUCAGCCUGCAACGGCUCGCACCUUGGUACCAAGCUUGGUAUCGCAUGUACUCACUGUUUGUGUGCGGCUCGUUGUUCUCAUCCACGUUGUCGUGGAACUCCUCCCAUUGCUCAAUGUAAGGCUGGUGGUAUACAUGUCACUCAAAAACCUUCCUGUUCUUCUUAUGAUCCAACCUGCACGUCACGUAAGAUGUAUAACUGCCCAUAGUCGUAUAACCUGAGUUAAUGUAAGGGACCAUCAUGAGAUAAUUGAAAUAGCAAAACACUUCCUUGUGUAAACUCUACGCCAGUCGAGAAUGGAGCCGUUGGCCCAAAUCUGUUCUCAUGCCAAAUUAGAGUGCAACUCGAUCAGGCUGGGUGGAACUCGACCGGCAUAGAAAACAUAUAAGAGGGCACCUCAUCUGUAUAAAGUCAUCCAUCGCUCGCACACAUGGUGCUCAAAAGGAAAAGUAAGUGCCCCCUCUCCCUAUGUAUGGCUCCCACGACACCUGCAACAUGUCCAAACAAGAUGUCAGAUGAUAUACUAAAACUAAUUGAAAUCAGCAUGGGAAAUAAAAUGUACUUACACUAGACACCGUGAGCGUGUCUAGCUCGUUCGUGAAAUCAUGGUACGCCCACUCCAACAUCGUGUGUAGAACCCUAACCUGGUCCCAAAGGUACGCCCACGUAGGAUGCUGUCUCGGAGGCUGACCUGGGAACCACUCAUGGCGAGACAGAACCUCAGGACGGCCAACUGGUAGACGCGCCCACAUCCACAACUGCUGUAGGUACACACAUCCACCAAGUGAUGCUGAGGAUGAAGACCGACGACAAGCCUCGCACAGCUGCAGGUAGAGAAAACCCAACAUUGCAGAGCCCCAGCUGUACUGACCCGCCUGGUGCCAGUCGGUGAGGCAGUGGAUCCAAAACCACAAUGUAGUGUCACCCGUGGCAUCGGGGAAGAGAAUGCAUGCAAAGAGGUGUAGGAUCCAUGCCCUGCAGUAGUUCUCAACUGUUUGCUCAUUUACAUCCUCGAGGCAUUGUGCAAACUGUUGCCGGAGCCAGGAGAUUAGAACACCAGAAGUGUGAGCACCUUGCUCGUCAACCUCAUGCCCAAGGAAGGCUGCUACUCGUUCUCUCCAACCAUCUGACCUGCACGGCCCAGUCACUGCAUCACCGCGAAUCGUCAAACCUAACAUCUUCUGACAGUCCUCAAACGUAACUAUUAUCUCUCCGAAAGGCAAGUGAAAGGUAUGAAUCUCAGGCCGCCACCUACAGUUUAGACAAAGGAAGAUUACAUGUCAAAUAGGCUAGGGCAUGAACGAUUGGCUAUGAAUGGACGCAAUGAUUGAAGAUAGUACCUGUCAACCAACGCUGUUAUGGCUGCUGAGUUGAACUUGGGCAACCCAUGACGAACCUGAAAUGAGAUGACAUCUAGGCCAGCAGCUUGCACCAUAGGAGUGUACCGGUCGUCGUACCGCAUGUCCAAGAACCCAUCGUGGGUUCUAGAACCAAGGAGCGGAAGGUCAUGCAUGCAAUGAAACAGAGUCUUCCGUUAUUUCACGAACAACACAUGUACGCUUACAAAAAAUCAAUCAACACGUACAUAUUAUUACUACCCCCCCACCCCCCGCUAUGAGACAUCCUUGAUGGGUCUGGUCGUACACCGGGUCGAGCAAGUGGAGUUGCGCCAUCCUACAAAAAAUCAAUGAAAUAUAAAUUAAGUAUGCAGUGAAACAUAAACUUAGAAAUGUACAAAUAAUUGACACAAUUGCAAGUAUAAAUUGAGACAUGCAUAAUUAAUUGAGUGGAUACGACAUAUAUGAAAUAAUGAAAAGAACCACUAGUCGCACCUCACUACUCUGCCAAUGGCACGUGCAUGAACUGUGGUCCAGUCUACCGCACUUGCUGCACUCGUUCUGCUCGGGGUCAGUAAGAAAUGGGGUUGCCCUACCACGCCUCGCUCUUCCGGGUAUUUGAUCCAUAACCAUCAUGUGCCUCGUCCUCUUUCUUGAUCCACGCCUGUUCCAACGGUAAGCUGGAUCCGCAAUGUACUUUAGCCCAUCAUCAACAUGAGGGACAUGACUAGUAUUCCAACAGAUGCGCUCCUAUUCUUUCUGCACUUCUGCUCCCAUCUCCGUGUCAAAUUGUAUUACGGGUGUAGUUUAGCACUGAACAACAUGAUUUUGUGGUGCUGGGAUUGAAUCAUAGGAGUGCUAUUUGUGUGUCCGGAGCCAACUUUGACUGAUCUGAAUUUUGGUAAAAUUUCAUCCGAAUUUGUUUAAAAUCCAGUUGAAUCCAGGCCCGAAAUUUCCUGAAUUUCCGAAUUUCGUCCAUUUCGGAAGGCUCCGAAUUUUUUCAACUUUUGAAUCCCAGAACCUUGGUUGAGAAGCGGAGAGAUGGGAGACCUAGUUUUCAUCUUCGUUGCCUCGUUGGAGGGGAAUACUGCAUCUGGAGGAAUCGCGCGGAGGACAAGCUCAUGGAAGGCCCCGCUUUCGAUUACAGAGAAAAUCUUCGUUGGUCCGUGGGAUUUGAUUACAGCGAAGGCGAAGCAAACAUGUUUAACCGGUAUCUGAUUACAUGGUACCAGAUACGGAGCGAUUUUUACUGAAACAAACAUCACCUAGAGCUGACUAUUAUAUUCAAAUACUGACAAAAAGUAGAAUACUUCUCAGACAAGCCAGCCAUUACAACAAUAACAACACAACAACUGGAUUACCGGCGUGUCACAAUAACACACAACAAGAAGCUACGUACCACGAAGCAACAGAAACAGCACUCUUGCAAAUUAAGGGAUAAACAACACCCCCAAGGAAAUGGCGAUGAAAUUAAACCAGGCCCCGCCUGCAGAGCUUUGAGCACCUACACAUAUAUAGCAGGUGCAUGCAGCUCUCUAUUACAGAAACAGUAGAUCGAAAACGACGAGCAACCAAGCAUCGAGCAGCAACACUACUUACUUCUUCUCUCAAUGCAAGCAGGAAGAGAAGGCAAGCUAGCGAGCUGAUCAGCAGAGAAGUCGCCGGGAUUCAGAUGACUGCCGCGGUCGGCGUGCAGCGGCGCUCGCAGAAGUUUCCAGCAAAAUGCGGAACUUCAAGCGGGCCGGGGCUCCUAGAUAGCAUGUACAUCUUUGGGCUUGUUCGCUUCAGCUUAUAAGCCGGCUGAAAAGCUGAAACGGCUGAUUUGUUGUAAGAGGAAAACACUGUUUGGUGGCUGAUAAGCCGGCUGAAUAAGCUGAAGCGAACAGGCCGUUUGAUCCAACAGCAGCCCAUGAACAACAAACAGUAGCAGCAGCUAGCGUAUGAGGGUGGUGUGUGGUGGGGCCAAAGGCCAAUCUUGCAAGACAGCAGGAAGGAGCGUAACAUGCAUGCCCGUGUGCAGUACUGCCGUGGGUGUUGAGCACUUUUUUUUCUUGCUCCCGUUGUACUCAUGGAAACAUUUCAAAAGUAUAGAUUCAAUAUUUUGCAUAUUAUUUAAACAUUUCAAACAUUUAUGGAAACCACAUUUUAGAUAAACUGGUUCAAUAUUUUGCAUAAUAUUGUUGAAAUAGUGUACCUUAAACGUUGAGCUAAAUAUAUAAAAAUGUUGAGCUAAUAUAUCUAAAAUGAUGAAACUAAGAAAAUAAAGAUGAAAAAAAUAUAUACAGUCAUGUGGGAUCUCAAUCCGUUAGAAAAAUUUCGAAAAGGCUCAUAGUUUAUUCGGAAUUAAAAUUAAAUGAACCGUUAGAGAGAUAAGUAAGUUGAAAAGUUCGAAAUCAAAACUCACAUCACCCAACAAGUAGCUGACACCUAUCCGUCCUUUCAGCAGCUCCACCCACCUCGCGCCAGCAUACUAGCACAUGGUGGUCCCCAGCCACCUCUCGCCAGAUCGCAGUGCCCGAUGGGAGAUCCGGCGAUGCCGUUGCGUCGAAGGAGAGGGCGGAACCGACGAGGGUCGCCGGCGGCUCCCACCCCGAACGCGUCCUGACCCACUCCGGCAGGGCCUCCCGCAGGUACGGUGAGCGCUUCCAUCCGUGGUCCGCAAGCAGUAAUGUCUGAUUUUUCGCUUUCUUCUCCGGAAUUCGUCACAUAUGUCAUCGUCCUGUGUUUAUAUAUCCUUUUUAUGCUGCAAAGCUUUCACGAUUUUGAUGAGAGAUUUGUUCAUGUUUGUGCCCACAUAGUAGUCAAUGUGCCACUAGUACUGAUUGCAAUACGUACGGAAAUUGGUUUUGUGUCUGUUCUUUCUCCAUCUCAAUCAUCAAUCAAAUGGGGGUAGUCGUCGGUACGCCGGGUGGGCCGAGUUGGCCAAACUGCACAGUGGUGGUGGCAGCCAAGGUGUUGUUCAAGGUCGGGCUGGCACGCACACGGCCGUACCACAUCAGGGUGUGUCCUGCUUCCCCGUCAACUUCCUCAAUACGACUCGGUACGCCACUGUACCUAAUCCUCCAAAACUCCAACUCCAAAGGCUCGCUGAACGGAAAAAAAUUCUAGGAGGACGGUCCCCAAAUCCUUCUCCGUGAGGAUCCACUCCCGAUGGUUGCAGGCAUGGCAACAUAUAAUUGAUCCGCCGCCACCAACGACUGAGGUUUCUUCCACCUCGUCAACUACCACCACCUCCUCCACCCACCUCUCUUCUUCUCCGGCUACCCUGCGCGCGCCCUCGCCGCCGUGCGUGCCUCCAGCGAGCUCCCAGGCCCCGACGGCGCCAGCACUACGGCCGCGCCCCGGUGGCCGGCGGCGUCUCCUACUCCUCUAACGUGGACCUGUUCCGCUCGCCUUCAGCUGCCGUGGGAGCCGCGUAAUGGAGGAGGGUGGUGGGCCAAGCGACAGCUAGCUGUGGUGUGGUGGGCAUCCUCAUUUACUAAUCUCCACCCACCUUCCGAUGAAUAAAAAUUGACCUCUUUAUGCUGCCUUUGUCAUNNNNNNNNNNNNNNNNNNNNNNNNNNNNNNNNNNNNNNNNNNNNNNNNNNNNNNNNNNNNNNNNNNNNNNNNNNNNNNNNNNNNNNNNNNNNNNNNNNNNCAUCUAAGGUUAGCAGCCUCUUUCAGUGUACAAAUGAUUAUGCACCUAAUACUUUCCUCACCUUUGCAGUGCCGUGGGCCGCCACUUCCCUUCUGGCCCACAUGUCAUGGAGGCGCGCGAGGAGGGGGAUCGGUUUCACGUAUGAUUAAUAAAGAAAGGCCCAAGACACGUCACGCUGCGGGGGACAAGGGAAGACACCGCACCGCACGCACCUCCACCACUUGCGUUGCCUUUGCCUUUGCUUUUCCCCUAGCUCGCCCGCCUAGGAGCUCCAGCAGCCGGUCCGCUCCGCCGCCGGUGCGGCAACCACGCCGCCGUCAGAUCGCCUCGCGCGGCCACGCGGCCACCGAUCGUCCCCGCGAUACACCGCCGCCGGUGCGCCGUGCGCGGCGGCGCUGUCCCGCCGCUCCUCCGCCUACCGUCGGCCUGCGCCACCGCCAGCGCACCGGCAGCACCGCGAGCUGCUGCGCCGCCCCGACGUUGGUCCUUCCUGAGCCCGGUGUCGUCACCAGCGUCGCGGAGAAGCUAAUUACCUGGAGCAAUUUGUAGAAACAAAUAGUACUGGUUCGUUCACUUAUUUCUUUGCUCAAACUUAAUUUCUGCUUAGAGUUUGUGCCUAAAUUAGCUGCUUAUUCUGCUGGUUGCACGCAGGAGAUCGAGCUGCGGGCGUACGGCCGGAUCGGAGGAGGACAUAUCAGCCGGGUUCCUGUUGGUUGUGUACUUGUGUUCCUGCCGGCGGAGAAGCAACCAUGGCCGAGUUACUGAUCGGGCCACUGAUCUCCAUGGUGAAGGAGAAGGCAUCCAGCUACCUGCUGGACCAAUACAAGGUGAUGGAAGGCAUGGAGGAGCAGCGCAAGACCCUGGAGCGCAAGCUGCCAGCAAUCCUGCACAUCAUCCAGGAUGCGGAGGAGAAAGGAGCCUCCCGACCUGAAGUUGCAGUUUGGCUUAAAGACCUCAAGACAGCGGCCUAUGAGGCCAACGACGUCUUUGAUGAGUUCAAGUACGAGGCGCUUCGGCGAGAAGCCAAGAAGAAGGGCCACCACAGCAAGCUUGGAAAUGAGGUAGCAAGACUCCUAGUCCCCGCUCGUAAUCCCAUUGUAUUCCGUUACAGGAUGGGCAAGAAGCUACGCAGGAUUGUGCAGACCAUCGAGGCCUUGGUCACCGAGAUGAAUACAUUUGGUUUCAGGCACUUGCAGCAAGCACAGCCAUCAAGGCAGUGGCGACAGACAGAUUCCAUAAUCAUUGACUCCGACAGAGAUAUUCUUAGCAGAUCUAGAGAUCGGGAGAAGAAGAAAAUCGUGGGGAUGCUCCUUGAUCAAGCUAGCAACAGGGAUCUCAUGGUUCUUCCAAUUGUUGGGAUGGGUGGGAUGGGCAAGACCACCUUUGUGUUGGAGUUGUUCUAAAUUCACUCCAGGAAUAAAGGCCGACCUUCCCGACCCUUGACACUCAGGGUCGGGCGAGGCGGAGAAUCUCCCGACCCCGGGACUCGGGGUCGGGCGAGGCGGAGCGUCUCCCGACCCAGGCUUGAGGUCGGGCGAGUCGGAGAUCGACCCUCAAGGGGUCAGGCGCAUCCGACCCCAGGCUUGAGGUCGGGCGAGGCGGAGUCCCAGGCGCAUCCGACUCCAGGACAAAGGACUCAGGGUCAGACGAGAAGGAGUUCCAUCCUUGUACGGGACCAAGAGUCCGUACAGCUCAAUACCCCCUGUCUGGGGUUUCGGUACUAUAUAUACAUACACCCUUGCUAGGGUUUUGGGUGGUGACAGAAGAGAUAGAAGAGAGAGAGAUUAUCAGAUUCUCUUGUAAGCCGCCAUAGGCGUGUAGCCCUAAACUCUUGAUAUAGUGAGAUUGUUGCCGGCUGGUGCCCGUGGUUUUUCCUCUUCACAUUGAAGGGGUUUUCCACGUAAAUCGUGUGUCUUCUUUUGUGGUUUGAUUCUUUACUUCAUAUUCCAUACGUCGUACCUAACAAGUGGUAUCAGAGCUUUGGUUGCUGUUUGGAUUUCAUGUCGACGUCGAUGAAGUUUGAUCUACCGCUGCUGAACUACGACACGCGGUUCUCUCUAUGGCAAGUCAAGAUGAGAGGAAUUCUAGCGCAAACUCAUGAUUAUGAUGAGGCGCUGGAUAGCUUCGGAAAGAAGACAAAGGCCGAGUGGACUCCAGAAGAGAUCCGCAAGGAUCAGAAAGCACUCGCCCUAAUACAGUUACAUCUUCAUAAUGAUAUUUUGCAGGAGUGUCUGAAAGAAAAAACUGCUGCAGAACUAUGGCUGAAACUGGAAUCGAUCUGUAUGUCCAAGGAUCUAACCAGUAAGAUGCAAAUGAAGAUGAAGCUGUUCACCUUGAAGAUGAAGGAGGAAGAUUUAGUGAUGAACCACAUCACUGAAUUCAAGAAGAUCGUCGCCGAUCUAGUAUCAAUGGAGGUGAAGUAUGAUGAUGAGGACUUAGGUCUUUUACUGUUAUGUUCUUUGCCAACUUCAUAUGCAAAUUUUCGUGACACCAUACUCUUGAGCCGUGAUGAACUAACCUUAAAGGAAGUUUAUGAGGCUCUCCAAUCAAGGGAGAAGAUGAAAGGUAUGGUGCAGACUGACAGAACGUCGUCCUCCAGAGGCGAUGCUUUGCUUGUGAGAGGCAGAACUGAUAACAGAUCCUCCAAUGAUGAUGGAAGAAAAAACUAUGAAAGGAGAGGCCGUUCAAAGUCCAAGCCGCAUGGUAACAAAAAAUUCUGUGUCUAUUGCAAGCUAACAAAUCACAAUGUUGAGGAUUGCAGAAAAGUACAGAAUAAGGAGAAGAAGAAAAACAAGUCGGCUGGUAAGGUCUCUGUUGCUGCUGCCGUGUCUGAUGAAGAAUCUGGAGAUGGUCUGGUGGUAUUUGCCGGUUGUGUUGCUGGUCAUGAUGAGUGGAUCCUUGAUUCUGCAUGUUCAUUUCAUAUUUGCAUUAACAGAAAUUGGUUUAGCUCUUAUAAGUCUAUGCCGAAAGGAGAUGUUGUGCGGAUGGGAGAUAAUACCCCGUGUGAUAUUAUGGGAAUUGGAUCAGUUCAGAUCAAGACUCAUGAUGGCAUGACACGCACUCUGAAAAACGUCAGGUACAUACCAGGGAUGUCCAGAAAUCUUAUUUCAUUGAGCACGCUUGAUGCAAAAGGUUACAAAUAUUCCGGUUCGGAUGGUGUUCUGAAGGUAUCAAGAGGUAAUCUUGUCUGCUUGAAAGGUGAUCUCAAUUCUGCAAACUUAUAUGUCCUUAGAGGGUGUACUUUACCUGGUUCUGAUUCCGCUGUUGCUGCUGUUACUAAUGAGGAACCUAGUAAAACUAACCUUUGGCAUAUGCGUCUGGGACAUAUGAGUCACCAUGGUAUGGCAGAAUUGAUGAGGAGAAACCUACUGGAUGGCUGCACUUCGAGUAAAAUGAAGUUAUGUGAGCACUGUAUUUUCGGGAAGCAUAAAAGGGUACAUUUCAACACUUCUGUUCACACCACUAAAGGUACUCUUGAUUAUAUUCAUGCUGAUUUAUGGGGUCCUUCCCGUAAGUCCUCGCUUGGUGGUGCUCGUUACAUGCUCACAAUUAUUGACGAUUACUCUAGAAGGGUGUGGCCUUAUUUUCUGAAACAGAAAGAUGAUACCUUUGCUGCUUUUAAGGACUGGAAGGUCAUGAUUGAAAGGCAAACUGAAAGGAAGGUGAAAUUGCUUCGUACUGAUAAUGGUGGAGAAUUUUGUUCGCGUGAAUUUAAUGAUUAUUGCAGAUCAGAAGGUAUUGUAAGGCAUCACACCAUACCCUAUACUCCACAACAGAAUGGUGUGGCCGAACGCAUGAACAGAUCCAUCAUAUCCAAGGCCCGUUGCAUGCUGUCUAAUGCCAGGAUGAGCAAGCGUUUUUGGGCUGAAGCUGCUAAUACUGCCUGUUACUUGAUAAACAGGUCACCUUCUAUUCCACUAAAUAAAAGAACUCCCAUUGAGGUAUGGUCUGGAACGCCUGCUGAUUACUCACAGUUGAAAGUUUUUGGAUGCACUGCAUAUGCUCAUGUUGAUAAUGGAAAAUUAGAGCCUAGAGCUGUUAAAUGUCUUUUCCUUGGUUAUGGUUCGGGUGUCAAAGGCUAUAAAUUGUGGAACCCGGAAACAGAAAAGACCUUCAUGAGCAGAAGUGUUAUUUUCAAUGAAUCUGUGAUGUUUACUGACAGCUUACCCUCAGAUCAAGUUCCAGACAAAGGACUGCAGCGUAUGCGCAUGCAGGUGGAGAACGCUCGUAAUGAUGUUGAUAACCCCGACCCCUUGGUCUCGGGGUCGGAUGCGCCAGACCCCUUGGCUCCAGGGUCGGCUGAUGCUCAAGCGCCAGACCCCUUGGCUCCGGGGUCGGAUGUUGCUGCGCCAGACCCCUUGGCUCCGGGGACGGAUGUUGCUGAUGCGCCAGACCCCUCAAUCUCGGGGUCGGCUGAUGCUCAUGAUAAUGUCCAGCAAACUCCAGAGGAGGAUCUACCCAUUGCUCAACGCAAGUCCAAAAGGACAGUUGCCCCUCCUAACCGCCUCAUUGAAGAGUGUAAUUUGUCUUACCAUGCUUUGAGUUGUGCUGAACAGGUGGAGAAUGUUCAUGAGCCAGCAACCUAUAAAGAAGCUAUUCAUUGUGGCGAUACUGAAAAUUGGAUUUCGGCCAUGCAUGAGGAGAUGCAAUCUCUUGAGAAGAACAGUACAUGGGAACUUGUACCUUUGCCUAAGAAUAAGAAGGCCAUCCGCUGCAAAUGGAUCUUCAAAAGAAAGGAGGGUUUAUCUCCAAGAGAGCCUCCGAAAUAUAAGGCAAGGUUAGUUGCAAAAGGCUACAGCCAAAUUCCGGGUGUCGACUACAAUGAUGUUUUCUCUCCAGUGGUAAAACACAGUUCAAUUCGCACUUUCCUUAGUGUUGUUGCUUCACAUGAUCUUGAGCUUGAGCAGUUAGAUGUGAAGACUGCGUUUUUGCAUGGAGAGCUCGAGGAGGACAUAUACAUGAACCAACCAGAAGGUUUCAUAGUGCCUGGCAAGGAGAAAUAUGUGUGCAAGUUGAAAAGAUCCUUGUAUGGUUUGAAACAGUCCCCUCGACAGUGGAACAAGAGGUUUGAUUCAUUUAUGUUAUCACACAGUUUUAAAAGAUCUAAGUAUGAUAGCUGUGUUUAUAUCAAGCAUGUUAAUGGAUCACCUAUAUACUUGCUGAUAUACGUUGAUGAUAUGUUGAUUGCUGCCAAGAGUAAGACUGAAAUAAAUAAGUUAAAGAAGCUAUUGAGUAGCGGUUUUGAUAUGAAAGAUCUUGGUAGUGCUAAGAAAAUUCUUGGUAUGGAAAUUAGUAGAGACCGAAAUUCUGGUUUGCUAUUUCUUAGUCAACAGAAUUAUAUCAAGAAAGUUCUUCAGCGUUUCAACAUGCAAGAUGCUAAGGCUGUAAGUACUCCUAUUGCACCUCACUUCAAGUUGUCAGCUGCUCAGUGUCCUAGUACAGAUGCAGAGGUCAAAUACAUGUCAAAGAUUCCUUAUUCUAGUGCUGUUGGGUCCUUGAUGUAUGCCAUGGUUUGCUCUCGCCCAGAUUUGUCAUAUGCUAUGAGUCUUGUUAGUAGAUAUAUGUCUAAUCCCAGCAAAGAACAUUGGAGGGCAGUUCAGUGGAUUUUCAGAUACCUCAAAGGCACAGCAAAUUCCUGUUUAAAGUUUGGAAGAACUGAUGAGGGUCUUAUUGGCUAUGUGGACUCAGAUUAUGCUGCUGAUCUGGACAGGCGAAGAUCACUCACAGGCUAUGUGUUUACUGUUGGCAGUUGUGCUGUGAGUUGGAAGGCUACUUUACAGUCGGUUGUUGCUUUGUCUACUACUGAAGCAGAAUAUAUGGCGAUUUGUGAAGCGUGCAAAGAAUUGAUUUGGCUGAAAGGUUUGUACGCCGAACUUUGUGGAAUUGAAUCUUGCAUAAGUUUGCACUGUGACAGUCAAAGUGCAAUUUACCUCACUAAAGAUCAACUGUUCCAUGAGAGAACUAAGCACAUUGAUAUCAAGUAUCAUUUUGUGCGUGAUGUGAUUGAAGAAGGUAAGCUAAAGGUAUGCAAGAUCAGUACUCAUGAUAAUCCUGCCGAUAUGAUGACAAAGCCUGUUCCUGUUACUAAGUUUGAGCUGUGCUCAGGCUUAGUUGGUUUAAUUGGAUAGUCCAAGAGACUAUUAUUGGCACCAGUGGUUUUUCCUGUCUUUGUUCUGUUCAGAAUGAAGGGUUGAUGAUACAAGAUGAAUUUGUCUCAAGGUGGAGUUUGUUGGAGUUGUUCCAAAUUCACUCCAGGAAUAAAGGCCGACCUUCCCGACCCUUGACACUCAGGGUCGGGCGAGGCGGAGAAUCUCCCGACCCCGGGACUCGGGGUCGGGCGAGGCGGAGCGUCUCCCGACCCCAGGCUUGAGGUCGGGCGAGUCGGAGAUCGACCCUCAAGGGGUCAGGCGCAUCCGACCCCAGGCUUGAGGUCGGGCGAGGCGGAGUCCCAGGCGCAUCCGACUCCAGGACGAAGGACUCAGGGUCAGACGAGAAGGAGUUCCAUCCUUGUACGGGACCAAGAGUCCGUACAGCUCAAUACCCCCUGUCUGGGGUUUCGGUACUAUAUAUACAUACACCCUUGCUAGGGUUUUGGGUGGUGACAGAAGAGAUAGAAGAGAGAGAGAUUAUCAGAUUCUCUUGUAAGCCGCCAUAGGCGUGUAGCCCUAAACUCUUGAUAUAGUGAGAUUGUUGCCGGCUGGUGCCCGUGGUUUUUCCUCUUCACAUUGAAGGGGUUUUCCACGUAAAUCGUGUGUCUUCUUUUGUGGUUUGAUUCUUUACUUCAUAUUCCAUACGUCGUACCUAACACUUUGUGCAACUCAUUUACAAUGACCCUGCAAUCGAGAAGCACUUUGAGUUUCGGAGGUGGUGCUGCGUGUCAGAUGAUUUCGAUGUCAGUACCAUUGCAAGCAACAUCUGCCAGACCAAUGAGAAAUAUCGUGAAAAAUCAUUGCAGGAGCUCCAGAGUACAAUAAGUGGGAAAAGGUACCUCAUUGUGUUAGAUGAUGUCUGGAAUCGGGAUGGUGAUAAGUGGGGAAAACUAAAGGCCUGCCUUAAGCAGGGUGGCAAGGGCAGUGCAGUACUAACAACAACUCGUGAUGCAGAAGUGGCUCGCAUUAUGACCAUGGGUGUAGCUGAAGCCCAUAAUAUCGAGAAUCUGAGUGACGAGCAUUUAAAGGAAAUUGUCCAGAGCAGAGCAUUCAGCUUGCAAAAUCCAAAUAUGGAAGAGCAAGAUGGCAUUCUCAGUGGAUUUGUUCGUCGAUGCGUUGGAUCUCCCUUGGCUGCCAAAGCCUUUGGCUCUAUGUUGAGUAACAGGACUAGUGUAAAUGAAUGGAAGGAUGUAUUAGCUAAAAGUGACAUUUGUAGUGAGAAAACCGGAAUUUUACCGAUCCUCAAGCUCAGUUUUGAUGACCUAUCCUCAGAUAUGAAGCAGUGCUUUGCAUUUUGUGCUUUAUUUCCUAAAGAUUAUGAGAUUGAUGUGGACCUCUUGAUUCGACUGUGGAUGGCACAUGACUUCAUACCUGUGCAGGAGGAUGACAAUCUAGAAACCGUAGGAAAAUAUAUUUUUGAGGAGCUAACUCGGAGGUCAUUCUUUCAAGAGGUCAGGCAAACACUUCAAUUUGGCUAUUUUGGAAGGUCGUCACUUCGUAAGUCAACCAUAUGCAAGAUACAUGAUCUCAUGCAUGACAUUGCUCUAUCUGUUCUGGGGAAAGAAUGUGUCACUAUAGUUGGUAAGCCGAGCAUCAACAAGGUGUUGCUAAAUCCGACCCGCCACGUCUUCUUAUCAACAAGGUGUUCUCAUUUCUGGAAAGAACAGGUUACAAGUCUACUAGAUCAUCUAUUGAAGAAACAAACUGCAAUGCUCCAUACGUUGUUUAUCAAAGGUUAUGGUCAACCCCUUGAUAUAUCAAAGUACACUUCACUGCGAGCAUUACACCUUCCAGCAUAUAUAUAUAUACCAUGUUCAGGACAGGAACAGCUUACAAGACACAUACAACACCUAAGGUAUCUUAAUCUGUCGUCACAUGAGUUCGAGAAACUUCCUGAAGGUAUAAGCAUUAUGUAUAAUCUACAAACGUUGGACCUCUCAUAUUGCAAAUGCCUUCGUCAACUUCCAAAGGAUAUGAAGUAUAUGGCAAACCUCCGACACCUCUAUACCCAUGGAUGCGAAUCAUUGACAUGCAUGCCUCCAGGACUUGGACAGAUCACUUCUCUGCAGAAUCUAACAUGUUUUGUUAUUGGUGAUGGCUUGGGAUGUAGUACUAUAGGAGAACUUCAAAACUUAAACCUUGGUGGAGAGUUAGAGUUAAGUGGUCUGCAAAAUGUAACAGAAGUGCUUGCAAAAGCUGCCAGUCUUGAAAAUAAAGAGAAACUCACACACUUAUGUCUCAAAUGGAAUGAUGAUGCCCGUGAGAAACCAGAUUCUCAUAAUGAGGUGUUAGAUGCCCUUAAACCUCAUCAUCGGCUGGAGAUGCUAGGCAUAAAGUCCUACAAAGGCACCAAUUUACCGUCAUGGAUAACAGAUCUUAGUCUGUUGCAGCACUUGACUGAGCUCCAACUGGUUGGUUGCACGCUGUGCGAGGAAUUUCCUCAAUUCUGCCAUUUCAAAACCCUUGAAGUUCUGUAUUUGAAAAAGUUGGACAAAUUGUAAAGCCUAUGCAGUCAUAUGGUGUCUACGCCAUUUCCAGCACUGAAGCAACUCCGGUUACAUGAUUUGGAGAGCUUGGAGAGAUGGGUCGCAACAGAAGGAAAAGAAGAUGAAUUAACCUUUCCUGUACUUGAGGAGGUUGAUAUAAAAAACUGUCCAAAGUUGACUAGCCUACCUGAAGCACCAAAGCUCAGGGUUGUAAGUCUGGAUGAAGGCAAGCCGCUGCUCUCCUUAGGAAUAGUUAAAUCAAGGCACAUGUCUUCAAUUUCUAAGCUAAUCCUGUGUGUCCGUGACACAGAAGCACUGCCUCAGAUAGAUUAUAAUUGGGAUUCAUCACAGAAACUGGAACUAUCCUUGGGUGGCACAGAAGCCGCACCUCUGUCACAUCUGAACAUAUCUGGCUGCAACUUUUUCUUCGUAUCAAGCCAGUCACAGCUAACACCUGGGGUCUGGAAAUGGUUUGAACAUCUUGCAGUUUUAGCAAUCAAAAACUGUGAUGUGCUCAUCUACUGGCCAGAAGAAGUGUUCCAAAGCUUGGUAUCUUUGAAGGAGUUGUGGAUUGAGUCCUGCAACAAGCUAAUAGGGCCCACACAAGCGAAAGGUGGCGAACCUACACAAACGACAGAUCAACUCCUGCCACAUCUAAACAGGAUAUGUAUACGCAGUUGUGAAAGCAUGGCACAGCUCUUCAUUCUUCCCCCAUCUAUCAGAAUUAUUGAUAUUAUGGAUUGCCCUAAGCUUGAGUUCAUAUGGGGAAAGGAGGAGCAUCUUGACACAUAUACAUCGUUGGAACAUUGCCGCGACCCUGCAUCCACUACUGGUACCCUAGAGCAAUCGCCGUUUCCAAUUAUUCGUCGUCCAUGCCUUGUACGUUUAUCAAUAAGAUUGUGUGAUAGCCUGGUAACACUUCCAAAUCUACCACCGUCCCUCAAGGAUUUAAGCAUCUACAGCUGUGAGAAGCUCUGCUCUGUGUCAGGAGACCUGUGUGCACUCGAGGAGCUACAUAUUUAUAACUGCAAUAAGUUACAGUCAGUCAAUUCCUUGGGAGACCACCCAUCAUUAGAAACACUGAUUCUUUAUGACUGCCGAUGCCUUGCAUCUUUAGGAUGUGAUGGUGGUCGUGGAAGUUACUCUGCUCUUCAGAGCCAUAAGAUCGAAGAGUGCCCAGCCAUAGACAUGAAGCAGUUUUACUAACGCCAUCAAACAGCUGCUUGACAGCUUUGAAUAUGAAGACGUAUCACACGUUCAUUCAAGCAGCUCUGAUGAAGGUACGACCUUUCACUUUCCUCUUAUUCAAUUUGUUUCCUUCAAAUUUCCCUGCUUUGCAUGCCCUCCUAUUUCACUCAUGUAACCCCACAUGCAUUUCAUUUUUGCUGUGCAGACAUGACCCAUUUGUCCUUAAAAAGCAUAAAGGAGGGCACUCACAUGUACACACGACUGCCAUCUGGAAGCUUCAUUAUUGCGAGCCUCUGCUAACGAUGACAGGCCUGCAAUGGACGACAAAAACGACAAAGUUUGUUUUCACGGCACUACCAGCUAGCUGCUGGUAAUGCUCUUGUCACUAAUGUACAGUACUCCAUUCUGUCAUCCAUGAAAGUCGUGGAGAAUGGUCUAUGAUGUUACUCCAUUCUGUCAUCCACGUGAGCCGAUGAAGCAGAAACAAAUGAUGAUGAUGAUGGAUGAUAUAGCUGCCGGGACCCACUGCAACCUCGUGCAUCAAUCAUGACGAUCUCUAACGGCAAAGGCAUGCAUCCAGUAUGGCCUGAUGAAGUAAUUUAGUCUGCCAAAUUUCUUUCUGCUCGUUGCGCAUAGAAGGCGUAUUUUCUUUUCCUUUUUUCCACCCGAGAAGGAAGAAGAAGAAGAAACUGCUGUGGCCAAUUCAAUCCGGAUCAUCAAAACAACAGCCCAUUCCAGACUAGAAGAAUUUGGUCACCAAAUUCGGAUGGAGGUAAAAAGUCACUAGUUACCUGCAGCACCGAAUAGUACUGGUUCGUUCAUUUACUGUUUCCAAAAACUUUCUGCUGAGAGUUUGUGCAUUGUGGUGACACUAAAUAUGCGCGUGCGCGGUUCGUAGGAUUCGAACCCACAACCUCCAACCUCGCGCGUAGCUUUCUUGCCAUCCCACCUACACACCACAUCUAAGUAUGUAGGGGAUCCUAUCCUUUUGUAUUAACUCGUGGGGGACCCUUUUAUCCCGGUUGGAAACACCAACCGCGAUAAAAGACCCCCUUUUAUCCCGGUUGGUAUUACAAACCGGGAUAAAAGGGUUCGAGGAUUUAAUCCUCUUCCAGCCACCUUCCAGUCACCUCGUUGGGGACCCUUUUAUCCCGGUUUGAAACACCAACCGGGUCAAGAGCCUUUUAUCCCGGUUGGUGUUUCAAACCGGGAUAAAAGGCCCCUCAGAGUCUUUUUUCCCACUAGCCUUUGCAACCGGGAUAAAAGGUCCCGGUUGGUGAGCCCCCCACCAGUGACCGAGUUUUAAUCCCGGUUGGUGAACCUUUGUCCCGAGCCAACUUUAAACCGGGAUAAAAGAGGGCGCAUGGAAAGUUAAUUCUCUACUCGUGUUUGCGGGACACAAUCAUUUCAAGCAGGAGACGGUGGUUCAUCUGGAUGGACACCGGCCUCCGAUCAACAAUUUCCCCAGUUUCCCGUGUAGGCAAGGGGGAAGAUGGCAGGUCGCCAAGAAAUAGCAGCAGAUAUGUCCCUUGUCAAAACUUCAAGCCAGUAGUCUGUAAAAUAGAAAGAGAGAUUUGUUCCACUUAGGCUGCUACGCCUACAACAAUAAUGACUGUGGGGAGCUAGGAAAUAGCAUCAUGCUGAUAAGCCCAACAUCAUUGGAAUACAGUAACAGCGUACUGAAAACAAAAGAGGCUACAUCAUGGGCCAACUGAAAUUGUGUUAUCCAUAACAUUUUUUUUUAGAAAAUCCUCAGCCAUCAACACACGCAACCAAAUUAUUACAGAAUCUUAAGCUCAGUUGCUGAUUAAAAAAAUAAAAAGAGAAAAUAAUUAUAAGCAAUGUUUAAUGUUGCUUAUCCAUCCAUUUUUAAUAGAAACUUUCCAAAGCUUUCGUUGCUCUACUAUCGAACGGACGGUCUCCCUUAUGUCUUCACACCACGUUAAUAAAUCGCAAUUAAUAUGUUCUCCCGAAGGUAACCUUCAAAGCGAUGAAUGUAGAUCACCCACGAGCAACCGAGCACGCACAAGGGAUGCUGAAACACCACAUGGAUCUCCAUGACAACACCUUCAACAAGAACAUGACGCUAAUGACACCAUUGUCAUUGGCCCAAGUAUUGGGUUGGGUUUACACCCGGAGAAUUAAAAAAUCACCAUUCGGGGGAGGUGCAAACAAAGUCGCCUCCAAGGAGGCAACGGCACCCGCAAGCGUCACCAUCCACACUUUCAUCCCGACCUCCACCAUGCCAUGCCGGCAGCAGCCUGAGCAGAAAUCCACUCACCAAGCUGUUGAUGGUGCUGAGCAAGUUCGCAAGUGCCAGCCAUCAUUAUUGAGAGCCAGCUGCUGCCGCCGCAAACUCAUGCCCAUUGCGCUAGGGCUAGGGCGCCGGCCAUAGCAAGGCCUAGAUGCACGUGUUGCGUCAUGGCUGGCACCACACUAAGCCCACCAUGUCACCAGACUGUCACAGCCGGAAGGGCGCCGGUCGUCAGAUCCGACCCCCAGCGCAUGGAAUCCACCGCCUAGAAGCUAAUAUCUCUAGAGUGAAAAUCAACACUUCAGAAGAUCCCUGAGGGAGGGGGAACGUGAAGGAGAGGCUCCCCGAGUGCCGUCAGCAUCACCGGAGAACCCAAGCAGCCACAUAUCCAGGGGUCUCCGAGGGACCCGUCGUCGGAUCCGGUCACGCCAAGGGGAAGCACCAUCACGUUCAAAGGUUUCACCUCUAUGUGUAACGCUGCACUGUCCGACUGCCCGAGUACCUCCAGCAUUGGAUGGAGUGAUGGCAAUCUUAUUAGGGGGAAAAGAAACUACACACACCAAUGACAUAUGGUAACAGCUUACAAUGAUGGUAGUGGAUAAAAGAAAUGGGAGCACCAGAAACAAAAUCUAGAGUCUCAACAGUCAAAAUCAAAUUAACAAGAUCAAACAAUAAAAGUUAUGAGUACCACAAGAGCUUACACUGUCCGACUGUCCGAGUACCUCCAGCGUUGGUUGCAGAGCACCAGGGGGGGGGGGGGAUCAUUUCCAAAGUGGAUGCAUCAGUGGAGAUCUCUCAAUGUUUGUCACAUAAGCAGUGUGGUGCCCUCCAGGUGCCCAGGUUGGUGUGUUAAACUGCCUCCGAUCCACAGCCAUCUUAGAACACUGCAUUCCAAGUUUCCAACACUUUUCAUGGUCUCAACUCUACUUUUACAUUCUCUCAGGGGGUGUUUGGGAACACCGUGCUAAACUUUAGCACCUGUCACAUCGGAUGUUUGGAUACUAAUUAGGAGUAUUAAAUAUAGUCUAAUUACAAAACUAAUUGCACAGAUGGAGUCUAAUUCACGAGACGAAUCUAUUAAGCCUAAUUAGUCCAUGAUUUGACAAUGUGGUGUUACAGUAACCAUUUGCUAAUGAUGGAUUAAUUAGCCUCAAUAGAUUCGUCUCGCGAAUUAGACUCCAUCUGUGCAAUUAGUUUUGUAAUUAGCUCAUGUUUAGUCCUUCUAAUUAGCAUCCGAAUAUCCGAUGUGACCCUGCUAAAGUUUAGCACCUCGUAUCCAAACACUCCAAUGUGCUUUAUCUUGCUCCAAUCAUCUCCUGACUCGCUGCAUCUUUGCUUAAACCUCUUUGUGCAUUGUGACAGUGUCAAGGUAUGCAAAGAGGUCAGCCUCUCAAUGCACGGAGGCAAAGUUUUCAUCCAGUAGGCCUCUACUUUGAGCUCACGGAGAGAUGCCAUAUCUCCCAACCAUUCUGGCAAGGUUUCCAUGUCCUCACAGUUCAGUAUCUCUAGCUUCCUGAGGGAUUUCCAGCCUAGAAUGCACUUUGGCAAAGGUACAGGAUCGAUGCAACUGUCAACAGUUAAUUCUUCAAUGUCAAGCAGUUGAAGAGAAUCAGAGUCAGAAGAUAUAUUUUUGAUGUACUUGAUUUCCAUUUUGGAUGAUAAAGCAGAUGUUGAUAGCCCCAUGAUCGACUUGGUAGAAUGAUGGCCAAUUGAAUAAGAACGGAUAUUGUUUAAUUCCAGAUAUGAUAUACCUGGCACUCCAAGGGAUUGAUGGUUCGAAUCUUACAUUCAAACAACAGUCUAUCUCCACAGUAACUUCCCUACUCUUACUAUUGUAACUCUUCUGAGAUUUUUCACUGGCUGUGUGAUCAAGAUGCAUAUCGAUGAUUUGGCAUAUAGGUUCACUAUAACUUCACCAUCCCCCACAAGCAGAGACACCGGGACAGACGAGAUAUACAAGUCUUCAAGAGAUUGUAAAUAAUCUAAAUGGAGGUCACCAGAUUGAACAUUGAAAAGCUCCAAUCGUACAAGAUUUGGUAGCCAACGUAACCAGUUAGGAAAAUCACCACCAACAUAGUUCUUUAUGCAAAGCCUUUUAAGGUUUUCACGAGGCUGGAGCUCUUCUAACGCGACCUUGUUCAACACUGGCCCACUCCACUCCAAACUUAAAAAUUGGAGCUCCUCUUUUUGCGCCAAUUCAAUUAUGUUUGCGUCUGAGCUUGAUAGAUCUUCGAGAUGUUUAAUAUUAAGUUCAGUAAGCUGGUGACUUGUAGUCUUUUGUAGAAGAGCCAUGUCCUUUGAUGAACUGACGGCGAAACUAGGGCCCUGCUAUUUUACAAAAACAAAGAAAAUGAAAAAUAAAACAUUCUGCUUUAGUCAAGAUGGCAUGCAUACUAUAUAAAACCAUCUCUAGGUGCAAACAUGCAGCUUAGAGCAUCUCCAAUAGUCAUCUAAUUAAUGUUUCUAGAUAACUAGUUAAUAGGGAUAUCCCGAGUUGCUUUUACAGUCUUCUAUAACCUCAUCCCAAUCUAACUACCGUUGUUGGGAGAGUCACAGCUCCUCAUUUAUUUGGGGAGUUGGGGUGAAUUAUUUGUCGAAUAAUUAUUGUAAAAAAGGAAAGGUAAAGGGAGUGUGUUAGAGCACUAUUUUUUCACAAACUCUCCAAAUAUGGUAGUUGUAUUGGAGCACUGAAUAGUACUGGUUCGUUCAUUUACUGUUUCCUCAAACUUUCUGCUGAGAGUUCGUGCAUUGUGGUGACACUAAAUUAGCUGCUUAAUCUGCUGCAGGACAUCAAGCAGUGGGCGUAUGGCGCACCUAUCAGCUGGGUUCCUGUUGGUCAUCUUAAUUCUUGCUUGUGGUAGAGCAAACCAUGGCCGACUUAGUGAUCAGGCCCAGGGCCGGCUCUAGGGGAGCGGCAGGCCGUGCGACCGUCCGGGGCCCAUGAAGCUGCGGGCCCAAAACCAUAUAGGUAAUCAAUACAUAUAAUUUGGUUGGUGGACUUUGUUUCGGCCUUUCUAAAUGGCCCGCGUAACAACUGCGGCCUGCCUCCGUCCGUGCCAAAUCAGGCCUACCAAAUUGCUCCAUGACUAUGCUGUCCCUGAUUCUGUAUACAUAUACGCUCCUGACUCCGUGGUUGUGCUGUCGCUGAGCACCGCGUCUGGAGCGCGUCAGAGGAUAUAGGCGAGCCGCGAGCACCGUUAGGGUCAGAGGCGAGUGCUUAUUUGAAGUUCAAUCUUUGUUUUCUUUUUCGCCAAUUUCGUCAAAAAGCAAUCAUUUAAUUAAUAUUAUUUCUUUCGUGUAGUAAUUCCAUUCUUCAUCAAUUGCGUAGAAGGAGCAAUGCCUUACGACAUUGAAGGAGAAUCUUGGUAAUUCUAUCGUCAAUUGCAUAUCAGAUUCUCUUAACUAUUCCAAUGACAGUAGUAUCAGCCGAAAGUAGUUUCUCCAUUUUGAAACUAUUGAAAAAUUAUUUGAGAUCAACUAUGUCACAAGAAAGAUUGAAUGGCUUGGCUAUGUGCAAUAUUAAGAAGGAUGUUUUGGACGACAUUAAUCUUGAUACUGUUCAUGAAGACUUUGCAUCAAGAAAUAUAUCCGAAGAUGUUUUUCUACAAAGCACUAAAGCAUUAUAUUUUUAUUUGAGAUAAUCAUAAUGGUUAUUGUUUUUAGUUUUUUUGUUACACUAUUAUUAUGUUUUAUGAGAGAUAUAUAUUGCAAAAAUGAUGCGUAGCUCUCCUGAAUAUAUAUAUAUAUAUAUUGCAAAAUAAUUUUUAUUAUUCGUAUUAUAUACUUUAGUUUUGAUAUUAAAAAUAGUUCAACGGGUCCUUAUGUUUGCCCAAGGGUCUUCAAAAUUAUAGAGCCAGCCGUGAUCAGGCCAUUCAUCUUCAUGGUGGAGAAGGUGAUCGAAGGCAUGGAGCGCAAGCUGCCAUCAAUCCUGCAUGCACAUUAACAAGGAUGCGGAGGAAAGAAGAGCCUCCCGACCUGAAGCAGCAGCUUGGCUCAAAGACCUCAAGACAGUUGCCUAUGCGGUGCUGGCCGGUGGCGCGAUCCAACGCUCUUGGGCAGCGGUAGCGAUGGCUUCCUGUUCCGCGGGCAGCCACAGCAGCGGCGACGGCGCGCUCAGCGGCCUCAACCCGUGCGCGGGCCCACUAGGAUUAAAACAAUCUAACACAUCCCAAUCUUAAGGAAGUGCACCAGUAGGUUCUUUUGUAUCACUUUUGGAUAGUCAUCGAAUUGCCGAACCUUUGAGCAGCGGAUCGACCCCCGCAUGCACUCAUGUCACACCCGAUUUUAAGGACAAAAUCGAGUGCAUUAAAUACAUGUGUGCCAGGAUCAAGUUACACACAUGUACGAUAAUAGUGAAUAACAAAGAUAGUGCUAAAACGAAUAAAGAGAGUAUUAAACAUUAUUACAUGACCGAAAGUCUCAAUAAACCAUAAGCCUAAUUUAUUAUGCAGCGGAACUCCAAGGACGACGACGACUCCACAGGCAGCUGACUGAAGAAACGUACGCCUAGAACUCCUCAAAGUCGUGUAGGUACUCCUCCCAAUUAGCUUAGUCUGAACAACGGUUUUGCAAGGGUGAGUACUGUAACAACUCUACCUAAAUUAAGUACUUUUAACUCUAAACCAGUGAUAAAUCCCUAAGUUAAGAAGUGAAAUGACCUUUAUAAACCUAAGAAGCUCGUUUUGGAGUUUGAAUUAAAGCUUGAAAUUUUGUAUACAAACCUGAGUUUCUGCCCAAGUAAGAGUUGUAAAACUUUUUAAUUCCAACAACUUUUGUUAAAGUCACUUUGACUAAUUCGGAGUGGAAGGAAGUCAAAAACAUCAACCAAAGCCAGUUUUUCUAAAGGACCCUGAAAAUCUCUUAAGUCCUGAAAUUCGAGUUUUCCUCCAUCUUGCAAGCUUUCAUCUCCUGUUUUCCCUAUCUAAACUCAAGUCAGGGCCUGAAUGAAAGUUGUAGUACCUCAAGAUUGUUCCAACUUUGUUACACUGAUCCAGAUCCAAAUCGGGCCCGAACUUGUUCAAAACUCCGGUCAAAGGGAGGUAAACCAGUCAACUCACCCCUGGUGCCUUAAAAAUCCUAAGUCUGGAAUCCCAGAUUUUUGGCUAACUUUGACCGGAAAUAUCUUUGAAUCCUUUCACAAUCUAAACCAGCACCUUAAACAAAGUUUGAAGAACAAUCAGAGUUGAGCAAGUUUGUUUAAGGGAGUUUUGGAAGUUGUGUUGAAAGAUUCGGAGGAAGGAUCACUCCAAAGCUGGUCGGGCUUGUUGCCCGAAGGGAGCCUCGACGCCCGCGCGCCAGAGCACGUUCACUCGCGCGCCGCGUGCCGCGUGGCCGCCGGCCACCGGCAGCUCGCCGGCACCCUAUCCCCAGCACGACAGCGAUAGGACGAGAGCCACGGCGCCCAACCCGCGCCCGCGACAGGACGGAGCGAGCGCAGGGCUAGCCAACCGCCAGCCGCGCGCAGGUCGCCUUCCGCCUGCCACGGCUCUGCUCCGCCAACCCUGUUCCGCCCGUCCGCUGAGAAAGCUGACACGCCCCCGACGUCCCGCGCCUCCGCCCGUUCGCCCAACCCCCACGGUAGCCCUUCCGUCUCGCCCGCCCGACAGACCGGAAGCCCUAGAUGUGCGCCGCCCAAGGCCAAUCGCCGCCGAAGACCACCCGGAGCUCCGCCUCCUCUGCCCAAUGGCGUUGUCGGCCAAUGGCCGCCUCGCCUGAGCACUCGCCGCUCCCGGCCUUAUCCUUUCCCCACCGGAGCCCCGCCUCGACCCUCCGCCCCACCACGACCCUAUAAAAGAGAACCCCCUCACCGGCAAUGCCACCCCUUGCCACCGCCUGCACCUGCGCCACCGCUUUCUCCUCUGCGCCCCCGCUUUCUCCUCUGCGCUACCGCUGAGCUUCCGUGGAGCUCACCCCUUUGCGCCACCCCACACUCCGGCGAUUUCGCCGCCACCCUCUUGAGAAAGUUCCCCUCUCCGCUCCAGCCGCUUCUUCCAACCCACCAGCCGCCCGCUCCUCCGCGUGGUACUCGAGCUUGCUAGUGUCCGCAAGAAGCACCGCCGCCGCCGGAGCACCGUCGAAGCAACGCCGCCGCCGGACCACCGUCGAAGUCUCGCUGCUGCCCAAGCCUUAGCGCGUACAACUUCCCGCCCCAGCCUACUCCUGUUCGGCCCCAAGGCUUCACCGGUAGACCUGGAGGUAAGUGACCGACCCCUUGUGUUCCGUCUCGACCGACCCCUUGUGUUCAGCCUCAACCGACCCCUUUUCUUUCCGUCUCGCCCGACCCCUGUCCUUUUUGUUUCGCCCGACCCCUGUCCUUUUUCGUUUCUCCCGACCCCUUUGUUUCGGUUCGCCCGACCCCUUUUCUUUUCCUCUCGCCUGACCUUUUUCCCGUUCGCCUCGCCCGACCCUGCCAAGUUUCGCCGACCCUUUCUCCGUCUCGCCCGAGGGCUCGGCUGUAACUUUUUCUUUGACCCGAGGGUAUCGGUGAAAUAUUUUCGGGGAUUCCUCUGUGUUGAGUCUGAGGACCUCGGUACGGUUUUCCUUAAACCUGAGGGUCAGACCCUAAGUUUCCCCUAAUCCGACCCUCUCAUCCUGAUCUCCUCCAACAGAAGUUGAACUCCCCCACCUUUCCUGUAGCUUGGCUACAAGUGUCCGUGUUAAAACAUUAGUGUGUUGAAAUAACCAUCUAAAAUGUUUAACCCCUGCAUUGCAUUUCCGUGUAGAGUUGAAUCUCGCCGAUGGAACGUACGAGCUUCACCCGGCACCGGAAGAAGACCCCGCCGAGGAACUGCAUCCCUUCGAAGGAGAGCCCGAACCGGAGCAAGACCCCGAGGACCCGCAAGCUUUUCCUGAAGGCAAGCCCCGGAGCAUAAAUUCCUAUCUUGAAUUCAUGCAAUAUUAUUGAUUACUUGAUUGCGCAUUUACGUUUCGAGGAGUUGUAAUGGAACCUUAGAUGCAUAACUUAGUACCUUAUUUUUGAAUACUAGUUGCUAAGGCCGAGUAGUUGCAUUGCUUAAUAGGUUCCGGUAAAAGUCGAGUGAUCUCCUGUCACUCGCGAGUUAUAGGAGUUGAAUGUUUCAGAUAUGUCGCAACUAUAAGGACGACGGACGGGGUCAGGCUUAUGUUCGAUACUUGGUGGAUUGCCCCGUCUGUCUAAAUGAAAAUGAACUAAGGUCGAAACGUGUCGGCGUUCGUGAUCAAGUGUUUGAAAGUACUAAUCUCAUACCUAGUAUGGGAUGGGGAAGCCUAGUACCUGAUUGAAUUGGGGCGUGGCAUACCCUCCGGCUGUCCUUGGAACGUCGUUCCCAUGGUGCAUCAUGUGGGUGCAAGUGCGGUCACAGUGCAGCAAUAGGCCGGGACUGUGGAGCAUUGCAUGCCAAAGGAAGUUGGCCCUGACACGUGCCUAAGGGAUCGAUGGGGACGGCUGAUAAAUGAAGCGACCCUUCGUGGUGCGCGGAUGUCAUGAGAUUAGGUUUGCCAUGCAUGGUUAAUAAAUUCGAAUCGAUUCAUCUGCCUCUCAUAGAUUGGGACUACUUGAUCGCUAUUCUGCACUGAGUAAAGAUGGAACAUGAUGAUGAUUUUAAUCUUGAUGCUUGUUAAGUAAUUGCUUGGAAACCAUGUUUGUUUAGUAUAAGUUGCUAAUCUGGAAUGGAUAAAGAACAUAGAACAUGAGCUAAAAUGUUGAAAGUAAGGACUGACUUUAGACGCUUUUGGCAAAGAAAACCCCAGAGCCAGAAAGCCUUGCAUGUCUAGGUCUCGGUCGUGUCUUUUCGACAGGUCAGUCUUGCGGAGUACUAGUUGCUCAGCCUUGUUGUGGCUAAUCUUUUUCAGGUAAUGUCAAUAGUUUGGGUGUUGGUACCACUUGGCCGACCCAGCUUCCUCCAGGUUGGACCGUCGAGUGGGAUCCUUCCUUGGAUGGCGAAGGAAGAAAUUUUUGAUGUCAUGAACGGCUCCGUCGUGAUGUCAUGUAUCGACGUUUAGUUUUCGCUAUUUUCCUUUGACUUCGAACCAUGCAAAUUUCGAUUUGAAUUUCAGAAACUCUGAUGUAAUAAAUUGUUGAACUAUGUUGUCAUGAUGGAAUGUUGUAACCUCUGUGCUACUCACCUUCGCGUGAGCGAUGCUUCUCGAUCCUGUUUAUGUGGUUUAUCGGAGGAAAUCCGACGGUCGACCAAGUUGACUUGCUUAAAGUGCAUAAUCGCGUGUCAGACGACUUCAAUGCAUUUUAGUCAGGUUAAUUUGGGCGGUUCCGCCACAAGUACACUUAUGGUUGGUACUCAACAAGUCGUGGGGAAUAGUGUAGUGUAAGGCAAAUCAAGGUACGGCUAAGGCAUAAUUAGCAUUCGCUUUUAUUUAAGUUGGUCAAGUUUUAUUAGCAAUUAACUAAGUAUAAGUUCGUACCACUCGAAAUUAAACAUGAUCAUAAAUAAAGUAAACAGCAUAUGCAUGAAAUGACAACAAGUUAAAUCCAUCUUCCGAUAAAUAUUAUCAUGUGAGGGUCCAGGCCUCUCUUAACCGUGAGCACGGCUGAUCGAUCAGUUUUACACUCUGCAGAGGUGGCACAUCUUUACCCACAAGUCGCGUAAAAGUUCAAAAGAACUUUGGACCCAACCAUGCGGUGUUUGCAAGGCACCAUACCACACUUCUGAGGUGUGAUUGCAUAGGGACGCUACGAGGCCUUUACAAAGAUUCAUUAGUCAGUGGUAACCCGCUAAGGUUUCGAUGUCUGGCGUGCACCACCCAUCCCAGGCAAAAAUGCAACGACUCAGUCCCCCCUCUUGCCUCAUCAUGAGUAAGGUCACCCUAGACUAAGGUUUCUAAUUAUUCAGCCAAGACCAGAGCCAUUUAGUCUUGUGGUAGCACUAUUUUCCUGGGUGGUCGCUCCAUGUUACGAUUAAUAAUACAUGAUCUUAUAUUAAUGAAAGGUAUAACAGAAGUAAAGCAAGAUUAAACAUUGUUUUUAGUUAAACCACCAUGUACCAAGUAAGCGCUAAGCAUGAGCUACCCAACAAAAAGUAAACCGGUUGAUCAAGGCAAAGGUAAUUCAAUCUAGGCGAACCUUAAUUGGGACCCAUCAAUUCAAUCUUAACAUGUGCAUAGCAUAAAUGUUGAGUACGAGAAAGUAAAGGUGUAUAGGAUGAAAAGUAGUGAUCAAGGACACGACUUGCCUUCUUGGCCUUGCUCCUACUGUUCGUACUCCUCGAAGGCUUGGUCUUCAACUCCCUCGAACUGCGGGACGUCUACACGCGUCACACGAGCACAUACAAGCAAACAUGGGCAAAAAGUAAGAAACAGUACACCAAUCACAAUUAAACAGAGAAAACAAGCUUGAAAAGUUGAUCUACGCUUUAAAACGAACACGUGGAUAUAAAGAACGCGAAAAACGGAGUUAAGAUGCAAAAGAGAUGAUUAAAACAAGAUCCAGGGGCUUUUCUGUGAGAAAAACAAAACUUUUAGGGCAAAACCGCAAAAACCGAGGGCUUAUACGUAAAUACGCGUAUAAACCAAAGGUCUAACGCGCAAAAACUCCAAAACGGACGGCGGGUUGAUUUUUAGAAAACUCGGGGUUUAAACCGAAAAGCACGAGGGCAGAUCUGUGAAUAUUUUCAACGCGAUCUGGACCGCGGGUUGAUUUGCGGAAAAGGCAGGGGCUUAAGAGCAAAAUGGCGCGGUGCGGCACGGUUGACCGUUACGCGGUCUUGUUUGACUCGCUAUCGGCCGUCGGAUUUAGGUCCGACGGUCACGGUCGGCGAUGACUCGCGACGGCGACGGGAAAAGGGCAGCCAGCGGCGGUGAGCGACGGCGAGGUCGCCGGAGUAGGCCGAAACAACGCCACGGGGCUCGGUUUCGCGCGCGGAAAGCACCAGAAGAGAGCGGGGAACAUGGCGAACCCGUUUAGUGCCUUGGCGGGAGCCACGGCGCGGCGGCGCUCACCUUUUGGCGGCGGCGUGCGGCGGAGAGAGGCAGCGGCGCAAGAGCUUGCGGCAGCUAGGGUUUGGAGGGUGCUGGCACGGGUGCUCGUGGCCGGGGGAGGCGGCAGCUUAAAUAGGGGCGGACGGCUUGGAGAUAGAGGCGGCCCCGGAUUCAAACCGGUCGGGGAAUACGGCACCCACCCGGAGAUCUCGCGCGGCGGUUGCGGGCGGAGGAGAGUCUGGUCGGAGGUGGGAGACGAUGGCGGGUCCCACCUGUCGGCGGUAGCGGGCGGUAGGCGGGCCGUAGCGGCUGUGGGCUGGCGCGCGCGUUCGCGGGCCGCGGGAAAGGGGCGAGCGGAGAGCUUCGCAGGCCGGCUGGAGGUGGAGCGGUGGGCCGCACGGGCAAGGGGGUUCGCGGGCCGGCGAAGAAAGGCGGAGCGGGCCGAGCGGCUGGCACUGGGCUGCCGGCAGAGGAGGAGGCGCUAGGCCGAAAGAAAAAGAAGAAGAGAAAGGAAAGCAAGGUGCGGCCCAGGAGGAGAAGAAGAAAAAGAAAAAGAAGAGGGAAAAGGAAAAAGGUUUUGGAGAUUGAAUUUAAAUUUGGAAUUCAAAUUUUUGAUUCAAACCCAAGCAAUCAAAAUAAAUGCAGCAGCAUGAAUGCACAAUUAACUCCUAUGAUGAAUUAAUUAAAUUAAAGAAAAUGAAAUUAAAUGCCUAGAAUUUAAAUGACACCCUAAUUUGAGUAAAUUUUAAUGAAUUUGAAUUCUCUAAAAUUUUGGGUGUUACAACUCAUGAAACUAAAAGGGAAAUCCUUUUCUCAUAGCUGGAUAAUAGCGCGCGGCGACAGAAAAGCCAGCAUCGUUUCUGAUCUCAUUCACGUAUAUACAGCCAGUUGCUCGCUUCCGACCAUGCAGCUGCAUGAAGAAUAUGGACCGAAUGUUUAGUCAGUAAGCAAACACUGCCUAAAGUAAGUUUACAGAGCUACAUGCUGGGCAUUUCAGACUUGUUUAAACAGAGGUGCAAACAAAGUCGCCUCCAAGGAGGCAGUAGCACCCGCAAGCGUCACCGUCCACGCUUUCGCCCCGACCUCCAUGCUAUGCCAUGCCAGAAGCACCAUCACGUUCAGAGGUUUCACCUCUAUGUGUAACGCUGCGCUAUGGAGAGAUGACAAUCUUGGGGGGGGCGGGGGGGGGGGUACCAAUGACAUAUGGUAACAGCUUACAAUGAUGGUAGUGGAUAAAAGAAAUGGGAGCACCACAAACAAAAUCUAGAGUCUCAACAGUCAAAAUCAAACAAGAUCAAACAAUAAAAAGUUCUGAGUACCACAAGAGCACCAGGGGGGGAUCAUUUCCAAUGUGGAUGCAUCAGUGGAGAUCUCUCAACGUAUGUCACAUAAGCAGUGUGGUGUCCUCCAGGUGUCCAGGUUGGUGUGUUAAACUGCCUCCGAUCCACAGCCAUCUUAGAACACUGCAUUCCAAGUUUCCAACACUCUUCAUGGUCUCAACUCUACUUGAACAUUCUCAAUAAGCUCUAUCUUGCUCCAAUCUUCUCCUGACUCGCUGCAUCUUUGCUUAAACCCCUUUGUGCAUUGUGAUAGUGUCAAGGUAUGCAAAGAGGUCAGCCUUUCAAUGCACGGAGGCAAAGUUUUCAUCCAGUAGGUCUCUACUUUGAGCUCACGGAGAGAUGCCAUAUCUCCCAACCAUUCUGGCAAGGUUUCCAUGUUCUGACAGUUCAGUAUCUCUAGCUUCCUGAGGGAUUUCCAGCCUAGAAUGCACUUUGGCAAAGGUACAGGAUCGAUGCAACUGUCAACAGUUAAUUCUUCAAUGUCAAGCUGUUGAAGAGAAUCGGAGUCAGAAGAUAUAUUUUCGAUGUACUUGAUUUCCAUUUUGGAUGAUAAAGCAGAUGUUGAUAGCCCCAUGACUUGGUAGAAUGAUGGCCAAUGGAAUAAGAAUGGAAAUUGUUUAAUUCCAGAUAUGAUAUACCUGGCACUCCAAGGGAUUGAUGGUUCAAAUCUUACGUUCAAACAACAGUCUAUCUCUAAAUAUUGAAGUCCAGGAAAUAAUGUGCGCUGGUUGGAGGAUUCCCUGCCACUAUCACUGUGUCUUCCUCCCUGCUGCUCUCUUUGAAAUACGUUCUUAUCAUCCUUCUGCUCAAUACAAGGCAACGUCGAUGUUUUCCACAGUAACUUCCCUACUCUUCCUAAUGUAACUCUUCUGAGAUUUUUCACUGGCUGUGUGCUCAAGAUGCAUAUUGAUGAUUUGUCAUAUAGGUUCAGGUCAUUUGGCCUAUUAAUCACCGGGAAAGACGAGAUAUACAAGUCUUCAAGAGAUUGUAAAUAAUCUAGAUGGAGGUGACCAGAUUGAACAUCGAAAAGCUCCAAUCUUACAAGAUUUGGUAGCAAACGUAACCAGUUAGGAAAAUCACCACCAACAUAGUUCUUUAUGCAAAGCCUUUUAAGGUUUUCAUGAGGCUGGAGCUCUUCUAAUGCGACCUCGUUGAACACUGGCCCACUCCACUCCAAACUUAAAAAUUGGAGCUCCUCUUUUUGCGCCAAUUCAAUUAUGUUUGCUUCUGAGCUUGAUAGACCUUCGAGAUGUUUAAUAUUAAGUUCAAUAAGCUGGUGACUUGUAGUCUUUUGCAGAAUAGCCAUGUCGUCUGAUGAACUGACGGCAAAACUAGGGCCCUGCUAUUUUACAAAAACAUAGAAAAUCAAAAAUAAAACAUUCUGCUUUAGUCAAGAUGGCAUGCAUACUAUAUAAAACCAUCUCUAGGUGCAAACAUGCAGCUUAGAGCAUCUUCAAUAGUCAUCUAAUAAAUGUUUUCAGAUAAAUAGUUAAUAGGGAUAUCCCGAGUUGCUUUUGCAGUCUUCUAUAACCUCAUCCCAAUCCAACUACCGUGUUGGGAGAGUCACAGCUCCUCCUUUAUUUUGGGAGUUGGGGUGAAUUAUUUGUCGAAUAAUUAUUGGAAAAAAGGAAAGGUAAAGGGAGUGUGUUAGAGCACUAUUUUUUCACAAACUCUCCAAAUAUGGUAGUUGUAUUGGAGAAUAGGGAUCUGCUGGAGAUACUAUGUAAACCAUUGGACAAUUGAAUGCUGAUGAGGCUUAUGGAAACAGAGCCAGCCAAGGAUCCCUACCUAACUCUACCAAUCACGGGUAUGCACAGCAGAUAUGCUGGCAACAGAUCCUACCAGUAAGUUUUUUUUUCCAAAAAAAACAUAUCCUACCACGUACACAGCACAAAAAUACAAUUCUAAAAAAUUUGAUGUUCGCCUGGUAUAUCCCAAAAGUUGCAUGACUAUUUUAAUUUGGAACUUGCUUGGCUACUCCUUCCAUCCCAUAUUAUAGGUCAUUUUGGCAUUUCUAGGUUUAUGAUUUUUUGUUGUACACCUUGAUGUAUAUUAUAUCUAGAAGCUAUGAAUCUAAAAUUGUCAAAACAACCAACAAUUUGGAUAAUUUGGGAUGGAGGGAGUAUUUUAAUUUGGAGAAUCAGGUCUACUAUAAGUGCCACAAUUAAGCAAGGUAGUGGCAUAUCAAACAAUAAAUUAAAUAUUUAUGUUAGAAAGGGAUUCCAUUAAUUCAUUCAUAUAUACGAUAUUCACUCCCUAGAAUUAAUGAAAAUACAGUAACAAAUCACAUGCCUGCAUGAUAGAUUGAGCCUCUUGUUAUGCAACCGUAAUUUAUAGUAUACAUUGUAGAACAAAAAAAGUAAUAAUUAAAAACAGUGCAUAUUACCUCAUGUGCAUAUACAUGUUUGAUGGGUUUAAUCUUGUCGUAGUCCUCUCCUAAACGGCUGCAGCAUUCACGCAGUUUGUAAUUGCACUUCUUAAGAGUUAAUGUCUUCAAGGAGGUUACAUCCUUGAUGGAGUGAGGCAAACGCUGCAGUUUGGCAGAAUAAACUUCUAGAUGCUCCAGAGAUGCCAGAUCCCCCAACCAAUCUGGGAGUGCCGCAAAAUUACAACAACUGUCCAAUAUCUGCAAGCUCCUAAGGGAUGAUCUCCGGCAAGGUGAUCAGAUCACUGUCAGAUUUAAUAGUUAAAUACCACAAGUCGGUGCUGACGUAUUGGAGAAAUUCUGAAGCGUCAGAGAAGCCAAACAUAUUUGGUUCCAAUUCAAGUGUAAAAAGGUGUGAAGAUCCAACAAGUAUCACGGGUGAUAGUUCUACCUUACUGCAUGAUGCAACUAUAUGCUCUAUGUAUCCUUGAAAAGCUGAACCGAGGGUCAACGUGGAAAUAUUUCAUCUCCUUGCACCUUCUGUUCAUCAUCAUCCCAAGACAUCUCUCUAGCAGACAGCUCCAAGUUCGUGGACAGCACCUCCAAAUUCUCCAUCUUAUUAAUACAAAGUUCCCUUAAUUUCCUGAAUGGGUUCCUGCCUCCAUAAAAACUAGUAGCCACUUCUCGAAUAUUAGGCAUAUCUGAAAUGUGCAGUUCUUCAAGGUUUGCUAACUGUCCUAGUGAAGGGAGGCGUGCGCACCUUGGCUGCCCAUCAGCACUAUCUUCACAAGAUUUGGAAGAUCGAGAUUUGGAUCGCUCAUCCAGCCACAAAAUGUGGCAUCUCCAUAACCUUCUAUUUCAAGUGUUGAUAGGUUAGGAUGAGGAUGGAGUCUUUGGAGAACUGAAGAAUCAUCAGCUCUGGAGAAUUUUUUGCUCAGAUUAAGAUAUACAUUGUUAGGCCUAUCGUCUGAUCCAGAUAAACCAUUGCUGGAAUAAGAGUUUGCGUCAGCGUGCGCAGCUGGUCAUAUGUAGCCAACUCUCCAAGGCCAACUUCAUCAGCGCUAUUCACCUUCUCAAGAUUUGAAAUAAAUAGGUCUGUGAUUCCAAAGUCUGUAUUUUGACAGAGGAGAAAAUCACUUUCUUGUACUGCAAAAUACACUCCCUGUGAAGGAAGAGACAGAGUUAGACUAUUACCAAAUGCAACGAAAAUAUUUAUGCAUCCAUUCUGUUCUAGAUAAGAAUUAGAAAAUGUCCAUUGUAAAAGAGGAGUAACAAAGCACAGCCAAGAGAACUUACCUCAUUUAUCUUGAUGCAUUGAAUGUGAGGAAUAGCCUGUAGGAUUGCAGCUUUGUCUCUGUCCAAGAAAUUCCCAGGAGAUGACAAAGUUAGCUUCGCCAAACGAUCCAUGCAUCUCAAUUCAUCAAAACGGUCAAACAUCUCGAGGCAAUCAAUUUCAAGCUCAUGUACUGAUUGAAUGCCAGGAAGUUUCUGAAGAUCAUAGCUCUUACAGUUCGAUAUCUUGAGUUUUUGGAUGGUUUGUGUCAAUAUAGGGGUUUAUGACCACAGAUUAAUCUUGGAUAAAUCACUCUCGUUGAUGAAUAACUCCUUGCUGUUGGGGAUUCUUGGAUAUAGUUCCAGAUAACCGCAGUGUUCUAUCUGCAGAUAGCAAAGCGGAGGGAAUUCUUCUUCAUCAGUGUUCAUCAGUGCGGAAGAAGAUACAGGAACGUGUGUCAUCAGUGUUCUCUUUUUAGUCACUCCCAAAAAUAUUUCCAUCAUGUUCCUAAACUUUGCUUUUCCUUUUCCUCGGGAAGGAUCACCAGACUGCGCCCUGAACAUUUCAAGCCUCUUGAAUUCUUCUAAAGGAUCUAUUUCCAUGUCACGUAUCUCUUCACCAUCUUGGCAAAACCACAAGGUGCAUCUGGAUGCUAGUUUAACAAGCGACAGUCGCUUUAGGUUUCUGCAUGGUGCUAAACAUGCUUCCAUAAGUUUAGGCAUAUUACGAAUUUCAAGCUCCUCUAAGUUUGAUAGAUUUCCUAGAGUUGGAAGCUGGUCACACUCUACGAGAUCAGACAAUACCAGUUUCACCAGAUUUGGGAGUGUAGAACAUAUCUUCCUCAUCCAACUAGGAAACAUACUGUAAUUAUAGCCCUUUAUAGUGAGAUGCUUUAAAGCUGGAUGAGGCUUCAAAUUUUCUAGCACAUCCAUUGUCGUCACUUUGGGUUCCUCUGACCAUUCUAAUAAGGACCACUCCAAACUCAAAGAAGCAAGCCGAUGUCUCCUUCCCAAUUGCACCCCCUUUGCUUCCUCUGCAGACUUCACAACCUCAAGGCAUUUGAUAUUUAGUUCACUGUUUGUAGAAUCAAGGAUAUUCUGUAGAAGGAUAAUGUUGCUGCAAUCACCACUGCUGCCACUUUCUGAGACCACAAAAUCCGGUAGGGUUAGUAGGUCACUGGAGAUGCCUUCCUUUCAGAACAGUGACAUCCCUCCAACUGAAAGGUACUCAAGACGAUGCAUGUUUUUCAAUGUGUCAUGCAGCAUUUUCAGGCUCAACUCCUCACCAGAAUAAUCAGAGGAAUGCUGUGUAGAGGAGCUUGGAGCUUCAGAAUCUUUUCUUACAUCAAAUCCUGAUAAUGCUGAUAGGUUUAGGUACUCCAAAUUUACAAAUUUACCAAGAAAGCAGAUAAUUUUCAAAAUGCAAGGACAGCCAGAUAAAUUCAGAAAUCGGAGUUUAUUUAGUCUGGCACAAGAUUCAGAAAGAUCAAUAAGCCUCGCACAAUCAGAUAAAUCCAAAAUCUCCAGGUUCAGGCAGCCAUUGUUGCCCACACAAAAUUCAGGAAGUGCCUCAAGGCAAGUACAACCAGACAUAUUAAGAUAAAGAAGUCCCUUCAUUCUAUUGAAUGACAGGGUACGCAGUUGCUUAAGCUGGCAGCAGGAGGACAGAUUCAGAUGUUCCAAAUUUUUCAGUAGACUGAAAGAGUCUGGAAGCAUCUCAAGCUUUGAACAACAUGAUAAGUUCAAGAACGAAAGCUUUGGCAGCUCUCCAAAUUGUGAAGGUAGCUUUUGUAGGCUGGUACAACCUGAUAGAUCGAGGUGUUCCAAAUUUUCCAGUAGACUGAAAGAGUCUGGAAGCAUCUCAAGCUUUGAACAACAUGAUAAGUUCAAGAACGAAAGCUUUCGCAGCUCCCCAAAUCGUGAAGGUAGCUUUUGUAGUCUGGUACAUCCUGAUAGAUCAAGAUGUUCCAGGACUUGGAGUCUGUGAAUGGGACCUGGAAGUUCACUAAGAUUCGAGCAGCCAUGUAGAUCCAAAUAGUGAAGCUUCUGAAAGUCACAAAUGGAAGUGGAACUAUGGAGCUUUAAUUUUUCAGAAAAGGAGCUAUGGAGCUUUUUGAGGCUGGUAUUUUCUGAAAGAUUUAAAAACUGCAGGUGGUGCAAGUUUUGCAUAGAACUGGGUAGCUGGACAGUUUGCAUGCGUGGGAAGUCCAAUACACGCAGCCAUUUAGUUUCUGAAAAGGCACCCUUCGAAGGCUGACAUCCUGUGCAGCCACUAAAAUGAGCAGCCCUUGCUUUGAAAGGCGUAUCUUUGCAUUUUGGGUACUGACCUUUGAAAUUCAACAACAACGUGUAUCGAUAGUUGUCCUCUUUACCGAAGCUUCUUUGUUUGCCAUCACAGAUGGCAACUUCCUCAAUAGCAACUGACCUAGCAAGUUCAUGAACUAAAUCGUGCAUUUUGAAUAAUACAUUAUGCAUAUGAGGGUUAUUAAGCUUGGAGUAUCUUGCAGAAAUCUGAAAAGCAAAUUUGCAGGUCGAUUAGUAGUGCACUAGAUAUUUUUUUCAAGGACUCAACGGUAGGUCAAAAGAAAAAAAUAUAUAAAGAGCAUGCCAAUUUCACAUUUAGAAACGAGAUUGAUCAUUGCCACAUCAGCCGUCCCGCAUGGAGAUGCUAGAGCAGUCAAAGGGAGUGCAAAGGGUUUAAAAUUGCAACGAAUGAACAUUAUUUUCUCUCCAGUAGCAAUUGUGUCAAGACAACCAAGUUGACGUUUCUUCUAUCUGAAAUGAAAGAACACUGCCGAUUUAUUUAUUGCUAUAUCCAAUUUAUAGAAUGGAUAUACCAUUUAAUUGAUAUCUUUUCGUAAAAAUGAAACGCAUAAUAUGCAUCCACAUUUCAGCUUCGAAUUUUACUGGAUAGAGAUACAUGAUCUAGGCUAUUAAGUAGCGACUCAUAAAAGCUAAAUCUUGUAACCAAUGGUGGGUCAAUAAUGAUCAUUUUUGUAUAUAUGUAUCGACUGUUGUAAAAAAGUGAUUCGCUUUUCCUAUGCAGUAACCUUCUGCUCCUAAAGAAUGCCAGGAUUGUGUUUUAAUUAUUGCAAUUACUAUUCACUUAGUAACUUAACUCGCUGUCUUGGCAAUGUUGUAGAGCUUAUGCCAAAAAUACAGCUCAGCCCUUUUUGCUCAGAUUCCAUGACUUUAUGCAGAGAAAACUUGACUUAAAACAAAACUUAGGCUAUGUUACUAGUAAUUUGCAACCUCAGGGAGUUUACUUGUCAUGUUUAUUUGCUUGGUUGAUUUCAGUAAGCAUAAAACUGGCAACUUAAGAAAUAAUGUUCGUGUCGCUAUAUUUAUCUUUUAAAUAAUGUUGACUCAAAUAUUUAUAAGGUGUUAGAAUUGAGGAACCAAUACAACCAUGUCCGAAUGAUUCAUCGUAGGAUCACUCCAUGAAUUUUACACCUUGAUCAAUAUGCUUGUGCGAAAUGAAGUGGAUUAUUCAAAACUAGAAUCAAAGGAUUUAUGACUAUCUCAUUCUUCAAACCAAAGAUUAUAUUGAAUUAGUAGUAGAUAAACACCAUAUUCUGAAAUAAGAUUAAAAUACUAAUAAAUCAUGCGAGAAAUGACAGCACAACUCGAUACAAGGAAAAAAGUUAACUGUACCAAGCUUGGGUAUAUAAUAUAACUCACCGAGAUAGAGUCACUUGAAGCCUCCAGGAAUGACAUCUGACAAAGUUCUAGUAGGUAUUCCUCAGCACGAUGUGUGGUCAGAACAAAUCUCAGAGCAAUCCACUUAUGAAUCAGUUCUCUCUUCUCUAUGAUGAAGCCUUUUGGGAAGGCAGAAAAGUAUACAAAGCAAGGUCUCAGAUAAUAUGGCAUGUGGUAGUAACUAAUCUUCAAGGAUGGUAAUAUUAAAGUAGAUGUUGUUCCAGUCGUUGGAUCGCAUUCGUCUUCCCACAGGUCACUCUUCAGUGUUUCUUCCUACUUGUGCAUCGGCAUAUCUAGCAGACGAUCCCCAAGAGACUUGACUGCCAAAGGCACUCCACCGCAUUUCUUUACUAUUUUCUCCCCCAUAUGUACCUUUGCCAUUUCAGAUUCUUUAAUUCCAUUUGGAAAUGCCUUAGCUUUGAACAGCUUCCAGCAGUCAUCGUACGGCAAGGCACCCAACUUGAAUGGCAACUCACGAUUCAGCCGCUUAGCAACCUGUUCACUUCGAGUGGUCACAAUUAUCUUUCUGCCUGGUGCGCCACCUUUCAACAUCGCUUCUAUCUUUUCCAAUUGUCCUGUGUUUUCUUCCCAUAAGUCAUCUAAAACAAUAAGAUACUUCUUUCCACGGAGGAUCAUCUCCACGCGCAUCUGCACGGAGGACAGGUCAUACUGGUUACUCUGUCCAUCUACUUGGGAGAUAAUUGAUCGACCAAUCUUUUCAUCGCUAAAACUUGUGGAGACAUAAACCCAAAUCUGGAUAUCAAAAUCUCUCUUAGUUGUAUUGUCGUCAAAAACCAUUUGGGCGAGAGGUGGUUUUACCCAGACCACCAAAGCCAUAUAUAGGGAUGAUGAUGUGUUUGCAAUCUUCUUGCAGCAACUUCAUCAACUCUACCUUGUCCUUGUCCCUCCCAAGUAUACCUUCUACAAGGCAAGGGCCUGUAGCCCUUGUCUGGAUCACGUCCUGGUCGUCAGAGCUUGUGUCCACCAUCAAGUCGAACUGCCUCAGCUUUUCUAUGUCGUCCAAUCUUUGCUUCAUGGCCUUCAACUUGCUAGGCAUGUUUAGCCGCAACUUCAGAGGAAUGGAGAUCUCCUGCAAAUCCAUGUCGUGAAUUAGAAAAGGGACGAGAAAUGGAAAUGGACAUAUCGACAUCAAACACACUCGAGACCUACCGUUGUAGAUUUGUUAUUCUGAGAGCCAUCUUUAUUACUCAGGAUAUCACCUUCCAAUUCCAAUAAUAAUGUCCUCCAUGUCAUAGGCUGCUGCCUUUAGCUUCCUCAUCCAGACGCAGACGUCACCAUCUUUCAUCAGCCGCUUCUCCGCCCUAACCAUGCUAUUUUGGAUGGUAUCCACAGUAUCCUUGAGGCCUUUGAGCUCAUCACCUAGCUUCAGCUGCGAGGCGAUCGCCUCCCAGAUGGCACUACCUAGCAUGCCGCCGACCUUCUUCAAUGCGGCCGAGGCAAGAAACUCCCCUACCCCCACCAUGUGGCUGAAGGGGACGCCAAUCACACAGUGUGAUGAGUGCUUGACGUCAGGCCGGGUGAGGAACAGUCCCAAGAGAAAACUGGAGAAGACACAGCGAGAAAUUGUCAGAGUCUCUCUGUUUUUGACCUGAAAAUCACAACCCUUGCAGCAAACUCUGUAUCAAGGACAGGCAGGAAAUAUUUACAAGCAAGGAGGAAAAGGGCAAAUAUUUCAGUCAGAAUUGAGACAAAUAAUAGCACCCAAGGUGCGCUUUAGAUCGCACUCUGUUUCAAUUAAACUGACUCGAGAUGGAAACCCCAAUUCGGAUGCGAGGUGGAAGGAAAGAAAGGUGAUUAGUUCUCAGCUUUUACCGUGAGGGUGGUGUGUUGUGUCCAGCACCCGAUGGGAUGGCAGGUAACUAAGGCCCCGUUUGGGAGGGCUUCAGCUUCGGCUUCUCUACUGGCCGAAGCUUGAGCCCUACCAAAUGACGAGAUGGCGAAAGGCUUCGGCGGAGAAGCUCCGCGAAUCGCUCUGACUGAAGCUGAUUGAGGGAGCGGGAGCUAAAAAAAAUUGGCUCCCCGCGGCUUCUCGCGUCGUUGGACACCCUUGUGCUUCGAUGGGGCCCGCGGGUGGAGGUGGCUGGCGGUGGGCGCAGACGAGGCAUGAGGAUGGCGGCGCGGGAGCAGAAGUGGCCGGCUGCGGACAAGCCGCGACAGAGGACGGCCCAGGACGACCGGCGGCGGUGGGCACGGGGCGGAGGACGUCCGGCGGCGGCGGGCGCGGGGCAGAGGUGGCCGGCGGCGCGCGCUGGGGCGUGGGCGCGUGAAAAGGGGAGGCGGGGGCGCUAGGGACGUAUCUCAGAUGGCAGCGGUGAGAUUCAGCCGGGAGAAGGAGGCCGGGUCAGAUCUUUCACCGGGUGAGAGAGGGGCGCGGCGGAUGGAACGGUCGGUGGUGGUGGAUGGAACGGCGCGUCAGUGGAUGGAACAACGCGUCAGGGUGCCUGGGAAUCAGGGGGUGAGGAGGUGACGAUAGGGUUCGGGGCGCGAUCGAUCCUACCUCAACGUAUGCGUAAGUAGAAGAAUGCAGUGGCGAGAAAUGCGUACGCGAUGGAGAGGGCUAGAUCCAGAAGUAGCAAGUUGCCGAUUCGUAGAAGCGGAAUAAUAAGCUAGUGAUGAAACAAUGCGUUAUUAGCUCGCGUUACGUUGUUUAGGUCCAGAGAGGAGCAGCAAACUCCAUAGCUUAUAGUUUUAAUUUCUCAUUGUUUAUUGCGGCCGGUCUUUUGACAGUCUAGGGACACAGUCGUCGUAGAUCUCGGGAGCCCUGGUGGAAAACAGAUCAGCUUGCGGUUGUUUAUGUAGAGUCUCUCGAGACAAGGCAUGCAUGGCUAUACUCCCACUCACCAAGCCCAAACAGUGCCAGCUCUACUAGUUUAGUUAAUAAUGUUUUAAGUGACUUUUGCCUUUGCAGAAUAGCCCAUUCUACUACGGAGAGGCGACGAACAAGCUGACCAUGUACGUAGCUGCCUGCUUGUCGUCGACCACCACCGCAGAUUCUUCUCUUGCCAUGCAUGUACUCAGCAAAGGAGCGGACCACAUCGUCGUGCAUCUCCAGUUAUCCAGUUGCUCAGGCAGUCCAGCUACUGACCAUGCAGGACUUGUCAAAACAACAUUCCACUCACGCUCGCCUUGCGUAUCUUGUGCUUAAGAGCCCUCCAAUCGCUUUAAUUGCAAGUGGUAAUUAUGCCUUCACACUUCUCAAGAAUUUCCAUCCCAACGUUUUUUAGGCGGUCAGUGCCGACUACCUGCCAACAGUUAAUUAUUUAUUGGAUUAUUAUUUCUGACUACAGUAAGGUCGUCGCGGCACUACUUGCUUAAGUACAUUUUCUUACGUUCCUGUUGUAAAAAACAAUUGGUCAUCAUUUUUUUCAUCCCUUGCACAAAGCAUGAACAGACGAUCCAAUUUCAAAUGGGCUUUACAAGGAUUUUGCAUAAACCGCCACAAAAGUUGUAACGAUCUUACGUAAAUCCUGCAUUCCAAAUGGGGCCUAAACAUUUCAUUUGGGACCUUGGAAUGCAGACUAGAUUGUGUUCCAGUAGCUUGUAUCGUCUUUCAUAAUCACGUUGCCUUUUGUUUUAAAAGCAACAAUUUCAACUAAUAAUGCCAUAAGAUCAAAUUUGUCUACUCCAUCUCAUUUCAAAUAUAAUUCAGUCGAGCUUGUGCACAAGAAUUCAUAAGGUAGGUGGUGAAGUGACACUACUUGCUUAAGUACAUUUUCGGGCAAAAAAGAUUUGGCUACGUUCCUGUUGUAAAAUAAAACAAUUGGUUCACCCUCAGCAUCAGUUCAACAAUGGCCGACUCAUCAAACUCGGACGUCAUCUUCUGUAUAGAACUUGAACUUGAACCCGGACUCAACAGUUAGCAUCCUCGGCUCCGGAUUGAACUUGAACUCGAACCUGUCUGCCUCCUUGUGGAUGCCAUCAAGCCUCUGGUUGACGUCCCUGAUGCUGCUGCCUAUCUCGUGGGCGAACACGGGUUACGCAGGCAGAAGAGCAAUCGCUGGAAGAAAUCCUGCAUCUUUUCUAUGCUCCUGCACGUGAGGGUGAAGAUGGGGUUCCGUAGGCACAUCAACCUGCACUCAUCAGCCUUGAGUUGGCACAGGUCUAGGAUGUCUGUGUGGCAUCGUACAUGGCGUCCUUGAGCUUCCUCACCCAUCUUUGCACACUCUUGUCAGUGACGCGCACCUCCUCUCUGCAUCCGCGAGGAAAGCUUUGAGGCAUCCGGGAUGGCGGCCAUGGCUCCAGAGUACGAUCUAGCUAGUACACAAUACAUGAUCCCUCCGUUUCAGUGGGAUGAGCUCAACCGGAUCUCAAAGGAAUAUACUAUAAGGGUUGGGAUUCAACUCACACUCCUUUGCAACCAGAUAUGGGUUGAAGCGGGUCGAACCCAUCCUAACCCACUUUGACUCCAGAACCAAACACAUGAAAAAAGAUUGCACGAGGAAAAAGAAGGAAAGAGAAAUCGGCGACUCGUAGCAGGGAUGACUGUACGUUGAUUUGGUUGGUUCGGAGCUAAUGUCUUAGAAGAAAUAUCUCUGUAGGAUAAAGGAGAGAAAGUAUUUUUAUUGUGUCACGGCAGGAAUAGAGCAUUCGUCUAACGCGUUUGUCGUUGUCAAGAUUAGCGGAUCAAGACUUAGACUAGUAAAUUUCUUUUAUGCGCGUAAGGCUUCGGAUGGUGGCGUGGGAGACACGGGGUUUAGACUGGUUCGGGCAAGGGAAUGCCCUACGUCCAGUAUCGGGAGCUGCUCGUGUUGCCCACGCGGGGUUCUGUAGUAGGGGUUACAGGAGUGCGAGAGAGGGAGCUGAUCCCAGGUCUCUUGGGUGUACACUGAUGCUCUAGGUGGGUAUGAGUGUGUUUUGUGGCUUGGAGAACCUCCUUUGUCUCAGGCCCCCGGUUCUCCUUUUAUAGCGCAAGGAGGCCACCAAGGUUACAGGCGAGACCGGGUGUAUGGAGAAGUAAAAGAAAUAAACAAAGCUAGGUAAAAUACAACACAAGGGGAGGGACCAAGUCCCCAGGCCACCGGCAUCCUCGCCGGCCUUCGGCUCCUGCCGGCGCGUCUGCCGGAGGAGGGCGGCCGCCGUCACGUCCCGUCGAUGGUCUCCUCGGCGGCUGUCGCCGCCAGGCGUGAUGAUGGUGUUUUGUUGUGGCACCUGUGUCCGUUGGGGCAUUAACGAGUCAAAGUUAAUGCCCUCUCACCGUGUUAUCUUGUCUAAGUUUAAUUACAUAGUCAUGAAAUUGAUUAGAUUUUGUUAACUUAAUUGGCUUGUAAGCGGUAGGCAAGAUGUCUUUGGUGAUUGUGCUCUAGUCUUUUAUGUUGAUAGAUUGAGGUUAAUUCCCUCUCAUUCGUGUUGCCUUGUCUAAGUUCAAUACACUUAUCAAGACAAUUAUUAAGAUCUAUUAAUGUAUCUAGGUUGCGUAUAGUCAGCAUCGGCUGGUCCUUGUUGUUAUGUUCUAAUCUUUUAACUUAGUAGAUUGAUGCCAAUACCCUCUCAUUCUUGUUACCUUGUAUGAGUUCAAUACACUUGUCAAGAUAUUGGCUAGAUCUGUUAGCUUAUCUGAUAAGCAUGUGGUUAACAAGGACUCCCCUUUAUGGUUGUUGCGUUACAAUGCUUUGUCUUAGCGCGUCGGCUGAGAUAGCCGAUGGCACAUGCCAUUAAUGUUUUAUUUAUUUACACUGCAUGCUUACAUUAAAUAUCUAUCUGUCAUAGUGUUUAUUCCAAGAAUGCCUACCCAUGAGUUCGAAAGGCUUCGUCGCCGAUCGGCAAUGUUUACCUUGUCAAUUUUCAGGUCAAAUUGACUGACAGGCCUUGCACCAUUCGCGAGCUGAUUUGGAGCCUGCACUGGAGGUAAGCAGAUCUCCCAGAUCAUCCGUGUUGUUCAACGCAGAAGCCUGAAGUCCGGAUUUUGCAUCAACAGGUAUAGAGAAACAAAAGGAUCUAAGGAAAUAAAACAAAAGAAAAUUAAAGGGUAUUGAGCUACGCAGACAUAGCCAGAAUCAAAGAGGGUUUGGCUCUGAGCAACAGUAAGGAGAAUUCAGACAUAAAUUUUCUUUUACAAGCUUCGAUUAUAGGAUCAAUGUUACUGAAAAUCCGUUCGUUUCUAGUGGACCAUAUGCUCCAUAACAUUAAAAUGAUGACCUCCAUGAAGAACUGGACUUGAAGCUUGUCUUUGAUGAGCUUGAAAAUUUGAAGGAGGGGCCUUGUUGUUAUGACUGACACCCCUAUAGAGGCCCGUCAAGCCUUGGUAAAGUUACAUCUUAAGAACAUAUGGGCAACCAUUUCUAGCUUUUGAAGGAUUCACAAGUCACAAGUAUAAGAGUCUAGGAUCAUGUUUUUUCAUCUAAGAAACUCUCUUGUGCUUAAACGGUCCUUGAGACUAACCAGAAGAAUACCUCGUGUUUCAUUUGGCAUUUUGAACGUUUUGAUGUCCAAUGAUAACGGGAAGCGGCAAGACGGUGAUGUCUUGCAGUGUAGCAUUGUCAUUAGUUGACGGCCAAGAGCAGAAAAAAUUAUGAGAGAAGGAAUGAUAAUGAUUUAGCCAAGGUUGAGUGCCGAUGUGAUAUACAACAAGGGAGAACUAGGAAAUCGAUGUUUGUCAUGCACAUCCAUCCGUAGUAAGCUGAAUGAAGUGGUUGACUAGAGAGAAUGAUGUGCCCAGUAAGUGAUGCAUAUUCCAUGACCACGGUAUAGCUGGCAAAGAUCACAAAGGAGAACUCUAUCUUACUAUUACUAAUUGGAGGCUCCUUUUGAAGCCUCCAGGUGAAGCCACCUAGGAUUACUAGGUGGACACUCUAAAAAAAGAGAGAAAUCCUAGAAAUUCUCACAAAAAAGCAAAACAUCCAACCAUCAAUCUAUAGCUUCAAAUCAUCAUAGCCAUUGGAUCUAUUAUAUUUUCUAAAAAAUUACCCACCUAUGCCAUUAUGAAAAUAGUCUAAAGUAACCCCCUAAAUCUAUAUAUAAAUUACCCACCCCACCUCUGCCAUUAUAGAAAAUAAACUAAAGUAACCCCUAAUCUUAAUCAAAAUUACCCACUUAUGCCAUUGUAAAAAAUAUUUAAAAUAACCCCCUAAUUUGCGACUGAAUUGCCUACCACUAUUACUUAAAAAACUUAAAGUAACCCCUUAAAUUUGCAUCUAUAUUACCCACACAUGCUAUUAUUAAAAAUAACAUGAGGUAAUAACCCUACGUAAUGUACAACAAUAUAUGAUUCUAAAUUAUCUAUAUCUUGCACUAUUGGUAUACAAUAUAAUAAUUAAGAUCUAUACGUAUGAUGUGUGUCACCAUUUAUAAUUAAAGAUAUAAAAUGAUGGGAAUAUAGAUUUCUAUGCUAAAUUAAAGAUAUAAAGUGAUUGCAUAGAGUAAUUAUUAAUUAAAAAUUAAUCAAAACUGAAUAAAGAUAGGUACAUGUAUUAUGUUGAAGUAUUGAAAAAAUAAGAGAGUAGUAGGUAAACAAUUUUGAUCAUUAGCUAAGAGUUUAACUUCUAAAUAAUUUUCAAAUACAAUAGCUUCUAAAAAUAUUAGUCCGUGCGGGAGCACGGGUUGAUGGACUAGUAUGUAAAAUAAUAUGGGAACAUUUAUUUAUGGGGCUACAACCACCGGAUAUUGGUGAUCAAAGUAAAGAAAGGAGAUUGUCACACCCGGUUUUAAGGACAAAACCAAGUGCUACCUAUAUGUAUGCCAGGAUCAAGUUUCAUACAUAUAGUGACAUCAUAAGUGAAUAACAGCAACAGUAUCACGUAAAAAGAUACAAAUAAAGACUUACGAGACCAUCAGAGAUACACAGCUUAAAUACUGAAAACGGAGACUCCAAACUUCACAGGCAAUCGACUGGGGGUUGCGUACGCCUAGAACUCAGCAUCAUCUUCGGAACAUUUCACACACCUUCUUCUUCUGAGCAGCAGUAAGCAAGGGUGAGUACACUUAUGGUUGGUACUCAGCAAGGCCACAAGAAAUAACCAGAAUAACGAUUUGAGUCCAUCUUCAAGUUUAAUUAAUCAUGUGAGGGUCCAGGCCGCUCUUAACCGUGAGCACGGCUGAUCGAUCAGUUUUACACUCUGCAGAGGUGGCACAUCUUUACCCACAAGUCGCGUAAAAGUUCAAGGAACUUUGGACCCAACCAUGCGGUGCUAGCUAGGCACCAUACCACACUUCCGAGGUGUGAUUGCAUAGGGACGCUACGAGGCCUUUACAAAGAUUCGCUAGCAAUGUGGUAACCUGCUAAGGUUUCAGGUCGAAGCAGAACAUAGCAGUCCCCUAGUUGGUAUAGUGUCUUAGCAAAGCCCACUUCCCCCAAGAGCGAGUGCUAUAUCCCAUCAACGCCUCCCCUCUUGCCCUUUCGGUAAGAUCACCCCAGACUAGAGUUUCUAAUUAUUCAGCCAAGACCAGAGCCAUUUAGUCUUGUGGUAGCACUGUUUUCCUGGGUGGUUCUCCAUGUUCCGAUAACAUAAUCAUGAUAUUAUUAACAAAGCAUAGGUAGAAGGAUGGUUAGGGACACUUGCCUUUCUCCAACAGAAAGUUACUCUUACUGCUUUUCAGCUCUUGCUCUCUUGAAGCUCUUACUCUUCAAAACUUCCGAAUAGGGAUCCUUCUACUCAGAGCAAACAUCGGCACAAACAUGCAAGCAACAAACAAGUACAACUAAGAACAAUACACCAAAAUAAAAGGAAAGCUUUAAAAGAGCGUACUAAACGACAAGGCUCGAUCUAAGGUCACGCGAAUGUAAGGAACGCUUAAAACGGAACUAUGGUUGAAAAGAUAAAGCUAUCGAGCAUUUUAAAUUAUAAAAGAAAGAUGAGAGCUACAAGCUUCAUUUAUUUUAGUUGAGAAAAACAAUGUAAAGAUAUUUCACAGAAAUAUCCUUAGUUAGAAUUAAUCAAGUCAUAUUUAUAUUUUCAUAAGAAAAGACGGUGUAAAGCUUAGUCCAAUUUUAUUUAUAAAUAUUUAAGUAUAAUUUAUGCAAUUUAAACAUUUAAUAAAAAAAAUACAUGUAGACAUCUAAGCGUAUAGCUUUACAUUUCGACUUCAACUAAGUAGAUUAAAUUAAAAACAUAUUUAUAUUUAUAUUAGCCAAAUUAAUAUUUAAUUAUGAAAACUCGAGAUAUAACCUAUAUAUAUUUUAUUUAGAAAAAAAAUUAAAUAAACAUUAAUCAAAUUGAAUUUAAUUUAUGAAACACCAAGGUAUAACUCUAAGUGGCUUUUAAUUGAAAGAAUUAUUUGGACAGGCAUUAAUCAAUUUAAUAUAAAAUAUAUUUUCAAAAACAUGUGUGAAGGAAAACUUUACCACUAACGUGUAAUUUACAUCAUUAUGAAUCUAAUGCAACUUGAACGGACAAAAACGGAAUUAAAACGUAGAAUCUAUGGUUUAAACAAGGUUGUAGGGGUCUAAACAUAAUUAACCGUAUACUUGGAGGGUUAGCUGAGAAGAUUACCAAGACUCAGAGAAUAGUCACUGCGAAUAGAUGGAUCUUCGGGGUUAGAUCUGCAAAAGAGGAUGGCUUGGAUCAGAUUGCAAGGAACUGAAAGUUACAGGGGGUUUUCUACAAGGUUUGAAAGACACAAGAAAUAUGAACAAAAAUUAACAGAUUUUCCAGGGGCUAGAUCGAAAAGCAGCGCUUCAUCUUCUUCCUCACGCCAGGAGCAUGGUGCAGCUCCUGGCCGGCGGCCUGCCGGCGUUCUGGUGCGGCGGACGCCCGGGCGGGUGGUGCAGCGCGAUGCGCAGGGCAAGGAGGCGAUGGUGCGCGUGCAGGCAAUGGCACAAGCGAGCCGGAGGUGCUGGGCGAGCAGGAUGAACGGACCAGGCGUGCUGGCCCAAGUUGCGUACAGAAACACAGAAACAGGAGGGAAAGAGAGAAGGAGGGGGUAGCCGGAAACGAAAUCCGAUCUCGCGCAUGAACGGCAAAAUGGAACGAUAUUGAUGAGACGAACAAGAUGGUGUGCUCACCUUCGGCCAGAGACGAACAAUGGCGGCGGAAAAGCUCGCCGGAGUUGGGGAAGACGACGGAGCCGACAUCGGAUUCAUGCAAUUCACCACACCACGGCGUAGAGCUCGAAGAGAGGAACUCCAUGGUGGUGUCGGUUUUCGCCGGAAGUCCACGGUUUCGCCGGAAAAGCUCGCCGGAGUUUGACGAAGACCGAACUUUGACUUCACAUCUACGGAGUUAGGAGAUGCAACUCGUGAAAAGGUUUGCAGAUCUGAAAUCCUCGCGUCGAGACGAACGCGGUGAUAUAUAUAUAGGCCACACUCGGAAAAAGAUAUUUUCGAGUUGACUUUUUAUUUUCGGAAUUUCUGAUUUUAUUUAUCUGCGCGAAAACAAUUCCAGAAAUAGCUGGACUCGUUUUCUAAAGCGAGAAAAAUACCUAGAAAAUUCCGAAAAAUCUGAGAUAAAUCUCAGAGAUGGAUUGGGAUACAAAGAAUCCAAAUAAAAUACUUGGAGCUCGUGAAAAGGAUUCUAAAGCCUUCCAAAAAUUGGAUUUAGCUCUAGGAAAAGGAGAAUAAUUUUCAGAAAAAGAUGGAAAAAAUCCUCACAAGGGUCUGGGCAACGUCUAAACGCAUUUUUCAAACUUUUACACUCAAGAAACACCAAGAUGCAGUGACAUGAAUGCACAGACAUAGAACAACAUUAUUUAAUUUAGAAAAGCAAACAAUUAGUUUCCUAUACUAAAUUUCCUGUAAAGAAAAAUAAAUGUUGGGAAAAUUUUAAAAUGAUGAGAAAAUUAUUGUUUAUUUAUUCUUUUUAUUCACAUCCUGAAAUUUGGAAAUUUCAGGGUGUGACAGAGAUGAUUACUUCUGGUGCUAUACAUUGAAUCACUAACCUUAAUCAUGCAUUGUACCUCAAACUCUCAAGCAAAAAUUUACAUCACCAGCCAAAAUAAAUGUCAUAUUCAUGUUAAAUAUAUAUAUAUAUAUAUAUAUAUAUUAUUGUCAGUACGCACCAAAAAGUGUGUGUGUGUGUGUAAAAGGUACUCCCUUUUCUCUCCUAUCAUGUUCAAAAAAUACAGAAUAUAAUGAUGGAAAAAAGCAUAGACGACACUUUGGUCUGGGCCAUUAGGACAAAAACAAUUACAAGGAUAUGACUAAACAAAACUAUUUGCAUCCAUUUAUUUAUAAAUAAACAUCCAAAAGUAGGUUAAAAAAUAGUACCCACCCUAUUUGUGCGGGCCACAUUGCUAGUUUGACUCACAAGACUGAUCAUUUAUAGCAUGGGGAGAUGGAAAGGGAGAAGAACACAGCGCUUUUAUAUUCCCCAGCAUGCAGCUGGCAAGAUUGUGGAUGAGCAUGACCAUCACGAGCUGGUUAAUAGCCAUGGGAUCGACGACGAACCUGGUUCCUCCAGCCUCAAAAUGGGUUUUACGAUUUCUCCGGACCAUUUGGCAAGCUCGCUCUCCAAGUGUUGCUUGAGGCCGUCAUCAUAGGGACUGCUAAGCCAGACUUCCACCAGACCUUUUAUCUUCUGUAGGCCAGAGAACCGCAGUGCUGACACACACCUGCAGCGAAUCCUCAGCACCUUAAGAUAAAAGUCAUCGUGAAACGUUAUUGUAGCUGGCAACCUGGCGUCAUAAGAGAUCUCGAGGAAGGAUAAGAUGACAGGAUUUUGUCUACCAAAAUGGAGGUCAUGAAACUCUGACAAAAAAAGACGUGUAUUCUCCGGCCAACCAGGACUGUCAACGAGAUCUUGCUGCAACAUAAUCAUCUGUAAACUCAAUUUUGUGAGAUUCUUAAGCUUUUUGGUCCAUACUGGUAACUUGCUUACCAGCCCGUAUAACUUAAGACUCCGUAGGUUCACUAGAUGUUCGAAAGAGAUGCCGUCCAUGGUGCCAGCUUCAUCGUCCUCAUCGACCUGCAUUCUCAAUGACAACGAUUCCAGAUGGGCAAGACCUGAGAUGGCUGAAAAAAGCUUCCAGAUGUUGUCCCGGUUAAUGCCUGACACUCCAAGUUUGUGCAACUGAGUAAGCUUCUUGAGCUCCUCUAGAAUGGCGUCCCCUUUUCCAGUGCCAAUAUCAACGUCACCCAGCGUGUGCAAGUUAGAAAGUUUCCCAAUACCUCUGGGCACCUUCACGCAAUUAUGAGAGCCAUCGUCGAGAUGGUGGUAUCUGCUCAACUUGGACAACAAGCAGGACCCCAGCUGAGUAGCACAUGGCCAGCUCAUUGGCGUUGCGGUUAGUGAUGGGUUCUCUGCUGCUUCUGUAGCUUGAUGAUGCUUGGUGGUACCAGCACGAAUGUACUGCAGUUUCUCCAGCUUGAUGAUGCUCUCUGGUAGCUUCAUCACAGAUGUUUCCCUGAUAUCCAGAGUUUGGAGGUGCUUCAGAUCGCCCAGGGAAUCUGGCAGAUGAGUGAUUUCUCGGCACCUUCUCAGGGAAAGGAACUUCAAGCAGGGCAGCAGCUUCACCAUCUGCUCGACGUCACCAUUUGUUACACCUGAAGACACGUCCUCCAGAUCAAGCACACGGAGCAGCCUCAUCUUUUCAGAGAUGAAGAACGAUUUCCACUCACCAAACACUGUCAAAGAUCGCAGCCGGGAAAAGUCAAUGCUCUUAAACACAUUUCUGUCUCUGUCCCAGCUUCGAUCUAUGGCAAGGUGACGUCCCGUGCGAUGGAAGUUCUUUUCGCAAUGGCCCUCUAGUGCAAAGACAAGAUUAUCUUCCAUCGACUGUGAUAUGAUGUAUUCACGGAAGAAACCAUUAACUUGGCACAAUGGCAUCCUCUUGGAUUGCUGAACUGAUGCUGCUGUUGUUUCUGUUGUUCGUGGCACCUGGACCAUGCUUAGACUGACGAGCUUGGAAAAGGAUAUCUCCCCGUUUUUCUCUGCGGUGUUUUCUUUACUGUCUCUAGAGUAUCCCUCCGCGAUCCACCGUCUCACCAAACGCCUCCGCCGGAUCGUGUGGUUCAGAGGGAAGAUUGACAGGUAGAAUAUACAUGGCUUGAGGAUAUCUGGGCAGGAACGGAAGUAGGAAAGCAACCAGGCAAACAGAUCUUCUAGGCUUGGUUUGUCCUUCAACGCAGACACAAGGUUAUCUUUUCUGAGAAAAUCCCAAAAGAAAUUGCGUCGCGAUCAUCACCAGCUAUAGCGCAUAUAACUUUGGGAAGUCCACCACACUUGUGCAAGAUUUGCAUUUUGUCCUCGGUCCCUUGUCUCUGAAGGUUAUAUCUCUGAGAAACAUAUUGUCCAAAUGAUAUAUAUAUAUAUAUAUAUAUAUAUGAAUAAAUUUAUUUAUUACCAAAAAAAGAUAACCAUAACGAUGGCAUAAAAAAGAGUGUAAAAUUUCUCUUAAAAAAAAACCAAAAACAUCCCGCCCUGAGAUAUUAUGCAGCUACCAUGCAAAUUUGGCAUGUAUAGAUUACUGCAUACUACAAGGUCAGUCUUGAAUUGGAUUUUGAAAAUAGACUAUUUGCUGGAUUAGGUACAUUUGUUAGUUACACCUUCCAAUAAAAAUGGACUAUUAAUUUGACGCAAUACAUUUAUGAGACAAACCUUUUUCAAGAUAAAUGCUAAAGUUAACUGUUGAAUCUAGCCGUGCCCUACAAAUGCACGGGCCACCCCACUUGUUAUUUCUAAAUGAUAUAAGUUUGAUGCUGACAUUGUGCGUUUUUGUUGAUGUCUAAGCACAUGGACAACAUUGUAAGUAAUAUGAUUUAAUUAGGAUAAAUAAGCUGUGAUGUGGUCUAAGACGAAGAGGGAACAUAUGUUGUUAUGACAAGUAUCAAGUCGUUCUCCAGAGUCCAAAAAGUAAAAUAUGACCUUCAUUCCUACCUUGAUCCCAAAUAUCAGCCUAUUUCAAUUAUGUAUAAGAAUUUAGGUGGUCUACCCAUCACUUAUUGUUGCAAACAGUAAGGUAGUUGGAAUGUCUAUUUCAUUCAAUAAGCACAACUAUAUAGGGGCAAAAUAGGAAAGGGUGGGGUCAAAUAGAGCUGCCACGAUGUUUGCUGCUGGACAUGUAAAUAUGGCAUAUAUAAGAUGCCAUGCAAGAACGUUUAGUCUACAUGACAGUGACUAAACGAAGAGAGAGAGCAAAACUAUCUCUUCACCAAGAAAUGGAUUUGGCACAUGAUAUGAUGACCAGCACAAUUGACAAUGUUAUAUAAACAAUGCUCUACCAUUGUAUAUCUCGUCUAUGUGUCAUCAUUAAUUAGUAUAUAAUUGUUGAGAAACGAUGACAUAAUAAAAAAAUCUCAUUAUAUGAGCUAUUUAUAUUACUGUCUUUAUGUGACAUGACAAAAACUUUUAGAUGGUUGUUGUCUAACGGUUGUACAUGCCCUAAUUGUUGAGGUAAUAGAUAUGCUAGAUGGACUUCUAUUGGGGAUAAUAUAGUUCUCCAUUUUUAUUAAAGAUUUUCUUGGUUUAGAAAGUGCUUGCAUGAAGCUAACUAAACAAGGAAUUUUGUGCAUAAGAUGUUAAAUCUAAUUCAAAGAUGGAACUCAUUGGUAUACUGAAGGAAUUAUUAGAAUUGCGGAAUGCUUAUUGCGAGUAAACGGACCUCUGCGAUGAGUUCAAAGGCGCUGUCAACUCCGAGACCUUUGACAUUCCACACAUUCUUGCUGUUUGUUGCGCAGUAUUGUGCGACACAUUCUUCAUUGGUAAUGACAAAUAUAUCCAAGCCGAAUUUUUUGGUUCCUAGUUUCAAGGCAGCUUCUAUCAUGUCCCAUUCUUCUGUAGAUUGCAGACCGUCGAUAACAAUUGUGCAUCCAAAUUGUUCAUGUAGAUAUUCACGGCACUCUUGAAUUAGGUCUUUCAUCGUUGACAUCUGGCGGUCAUGGAGAUAUCCAGGAUUCAAAUCCAAAAGUAAGCGCCAUGACAAGUCCAUCAAAUCGAAUGGAUGGGAUACAUUCACCCAACCGAACUUGAUAUAAGGAUCUUCAAUCCGCAUCUCGUAGCAGAGAUGUUUGACAAGAAAUGAUUUGCCAACACCAGACAUCCCCCACACAGAGGACACAGGCCCAGUACGACGAGACCUGCGCAUAGAGAAACAAAGUAAAUCCGCCUCUUGGCCAACAAGUGGAUGUUUGUCCAGCCAUUCACGAGCAGUUUCCCGCAAGUCCGCCACGGUUUGCUCAACUUUUCCGGGCGCAUCCUGCAAAGAAUUGGAAAGAGCAUUGUCAAUUGGGUUUAUUUAUUGUGUCAAAAUUACAUCCUUGUAGAAGACAACAUACAUGCUCCGAGUGAAGUAAAAUGCAUCCAACAAAGACAAACAUACACGCGUGCAGUAUUAUGCUUUAUUUGUAGCAUCCAUGCAGCAAAAGGUUAAGAAGCAUGAAUCAGUUUUAUAUCACCUGGGCAAAAUGAUCUGAGUAUUCAAUAACACACUUUGACUAUCAAUAUAUAUCAUAUAUUAUAAUACUCAUGACCAUAAAAUUGGCAUCAUAUGAAAGUGCUUUCAAAUUGGAAUGAUAUGAUAAAAGUUUGUACGGUAUAAAAUUUACAAAUCCUUGAUAAUCCAUUGAUACCAUGUUGUAUAGUUAGAAAAUUUGAAUGUUGGAUCUUCGAAACACCCAGUGUUCGAUAGGCACAUCCUUCUAGAUAAACCAUUCUUUACUUUAGAGGUCAAAUCAAAAUGUUGGAUAAUUCUGCGAUCCACAAAUUAAUCACCUAUGUACAACCAUGCCAUAUACUACACGAUGCUAACCGCAAUUUGUGGUUGCCUGAACACUUGCGUCUCAGUCCCACAGACCAUCCGUUGCUUCCACAGUUUAACCUAGAGUAAUCACCGCCAUCCGCAGCUUGUUCAGUACCCCUUUCAUAGUUUUUUCUUUUGCGGAAUUCAUAGUUCUUCCUCGUGAUCCUAUAAUUUAACUGUUUUGAAUUUCUCAACCCCUAUGCAUCAACUAUUUACAAACGCAAAAUGAUGAAAAAUAAUAAUGGCAUAAUUGGCAUGUAAACUAAGUUUUGUAGAAUUACAUUAUGAAGCACAAGUCAGGAAUGUGAUAACAGUCAAAUACGUGCAUUGCAGACCACGUUGAUGCAAAAAUGUAAUGGAAGUAGAAGAGCGAGUAUAUCAUUUUAUUGGAAAUAAUUGAGCAUACCUCCUCGACAAGGGCAUAGACAGAGUGAUGAGCCGAGAUUUUUUCAAGCUCCAAUAGUCGGUGUGGAUGCCUGACACAAAGGCUUGCAACUUCAAACUGAUGCGUGCUGACGAUGAUGCAGCUGCCGUUCUUGUUGUCUGGCAGGUAAGCCCUUACCGCCUCCCAGUCAUCCAUGGUGGUCACGUCUUCAAGGACAACAAGGUAAUUUUGACGGCACAUUUGCUUCAUGAAUUCGUUGAUCAGAACGCCUUCUGUGGCCACCGUCAUCUUCACAACAAAAUCUACGGUAGCGCUUUCUUGUGGACUAUAGCUUCUGCAAAAUUGGGCCACCAAGCGCCUGAUAAAUUCCCGGGCAUUGAAAGGAUGCAUCAGCUUCACCCAGGCGCGGCAUCUGAAGUUGGUGCAGAUUUGUGUGUCUUCAUAGGCCUUCUUGAUGACGGACGCCAUCCCAACUGUUCCUAACAACGAGAUCACUUGAAGGGCAUGGUCACCUUUCCCGCUGAUCAACUUGACGAGUGCCACAGGUGGCCAGAUGGGCUCCCUGGCGGCUUCCCUCGCUGUGGCGGAACGAGGGAGGAUGUUUGAUGCUGUUGCGCUGGCCGCACCCUGCUGAUGCGUCUGCUCGGCAGGCUUGGAGCCAGGGUUACCGGUGUGGUUGUAGCGCAGGUUCCGCUGACCCAUGGCCUCGACCCUAGCCUUGAGUAGCUCUAUACCAGCGACAGCGUUGUCCAAGGCCACGGCCGGCGCCGCCGCUGGUACCCAGGAGGGGAGCAUGCGGCGCCACCAGCUCGAUUUGUUGUCCAGGUAGAGAAUGGAGUCAAUGCAGUCCUCCACGUCCAGGGCCAUGUCGCGGACCUGCCUCACGCAAGUCGUCGUCAUAUCGUCCGCGACACGAUCCUUGGCAACGUUGAGGAAGGAAUGCAUCAUCUCGAACUCGUCCGAGACAAGCAUAAGGUCACGCUGAACGCUCUUCUGCAGCUGCUUCUCCUCCUCAAUAGCGGACUUGGCAAUAUUCACCGUCUCCUUGACCGCCGACUUCGCCAAACCCAGCACAAGGUCCGCCAUUGCACUCCCGUUCACUCUUCGAUCUGUGUGAGGGGAGGUGGGUGGGUGGGUGGGUGGUGUACAAGAUAGAACCUGGUGACGAUGCUUGCAAAUAUAUAUUAUGCUUCAAAAUCAUGCAUGACAUCGGCUGCAAGACAGAAAAUUUGCACAUUAUAAAACAAGAGUGUCGCAGUAAAAGAAGCCAGUUAGAUUCCCUAAUUAAAUUAACAGUGGGCUUUCCCUUAUGGUCUUAUUUUUAGGGCUAAAAGUUGCUUAUUUGGAGGAACUAACCUCAAUCCUACCUGUUUGGUUCCAUGAGCAAAACAACAUUUAAUAAGGUGAAGAAUGAUUUGUUUACCUCUAAUCAUUGCGACGCGUGGGGGGAGAGAGAGGAAUCAGAUAGGCAUUGAAUGAGAGCAAUGGGUGUCCAGUGCACCUUUUAGUCCAAAUAAGCAACCCAAAAUUACCUUAUGGACUAAACUUUAAAAGCUAAACUUUAACUUAAAUAAGCAAGGAUGUUCGGCUCUUUAUUUGGUACUAUAAAAGGGACUAAAAUUUAAUCUCUAAAGUUUAGCAAGGGUACAGCCCCUUAAUCUUCGCCGGCCAAGCACUUAAAUUAAGCUAGGUCAGACAGCUGAUGCAUCGAACGCAGCAGCAGUGAAAAACAAAUAAAGGCCAGUGUGCUCUGUAAGAAAUAUAAACCAAUAAAAUACAUCUUGGCAGAAUGGGGUCAAGUGGGUCUAUAGUCUAUUCUUGUGGCAGUAAGCUGAUCCUUUAUAAUACCGCUGGAUCGGAUCUCGAUCUCCUUGAUUAGCGCUCCACUAGCCCACUAAUGCUUGUCUCGUACUCCAACCACCGAUACCCAGCCCAAAAACUAUGCAUCGGGGAUUCACUUAACUUUUUAUUAUUUCGAGGUCUAAUUAAUAACACUGUUUGGAUUACGUAUGGGUUGCCUGCUGCUGGUAAAUACAUCUAUUUAUCUUUCAGCAAAAGCAUGCCUGCUGGGAAAUAUUAGUUCUGAAAUCUGAGCGCAUACCAGCUGUCAGUUAACAUAUUGUCUGUCAGCAAAUCCCUGCCAGAGCUUACGAUAAGUGGUCCGUCAGCAGACGUCAUCCCCCAACGGAUAAAGUACCCCAUAUUGCCUUCUUCAAGUUUCAUGAUGAAUGCAAUUCUCACACCUUGAAAUUUUUGGAUCUCACGAGGUGAUUAGGAGGAAUAAUUAAACAAUCAUUUUCUCGUAAUUUUAAAAUUUUUCAACAUUUGUUUCUUGACAGAAAAUUUAGUGUAGGAAUAUAAUUGGUUGUGUUUCCUAAACUAAAUGAGGUUGUUCUAUGUGUGUGCAUUCAUGCCCAUGCAUCUUGGUGUUUAUUGAGUGCAAAGGUUUUAAAAUGCCUCUAGACGACGACAAGGUUCUUCUGAGAAUUUACCAGUUUUUUCUGGAAAUUAUUCUCAUUUUCCUAGAGCUAAAUUCUUUUCACGAGCUUCAGUUAUUUUAUUUAGACUCCUCGUGUCCCAAACUAUCUCUAGGAAUUUUUCUGGAAUUUUUAGGAUUUUCAGAGUAUUUUUUGUGGGUUUUAUUGAAUUAUCUGGAUUUUCCUUUAUACGGGAAAUUACUUCUGAAAAGAAAAAGAAAAGAAAACCUCAACCUACCCUUUUGGGUUAAGCCCGCACCCACAAGCUCUACCAUGGCCCAACUCUCCUUCCCACCCUCGGGCCUCAUUGGCUCAGCCCAGUCCAGGCCCGACCAGCCCAGCCAGGCCCAACCGGGACCAUCUGCUCUACAGCUCUCUCCCAAGCUGCACAGGCAAGCAACGCCACCACCAAACCUUUUUGGUGUGUGUGCCACGCCAGGCGCAACCACCGGCGCCCUAUCAAUAGCGAAGCCCGACCCCCGCACGCCACUGCCAUCCUCGCAAGCCACCCUGCCUCGCCUGUGCUGCACCGCCGCCUUGCAAGCCCGCCAGCCGAGUCGGGCACCGCCACCGACUUUCCACUCGAUUCACCAGCUCCGCUGCCCGCCGGACGAAGCCGGCCCCUUCUAGAGCUUCGGGACGUCGUACAACGGUAGAAGCACCAUCGGUGUAGCCUGGGAGGAUGAGCCACAGCGACGGCUGCGUUCUCUCACCGUAUUAACUCACGUACACGUAAGAUGAACUAGCUUUGCUGGCGGUAUACAGACGCCCUCGCAACCACCGUGUACGUGCCCUAAUCUGUCCUGAAAAUUCUAGAAUGCCUUAUAUUAGGAUAGAGGGACAGAGGUGGUACUCUUCAAAUAUCUAGCCCAAAAACCAUGUCAAGAACUUACAACAUGCCUAUAAAUACCCGACUCAAUUCAUUGCAUGCUGCGACACUCCUACCUUUUGCCUUUUUCUUAACAAAUCCUUGCAAUGUAAAUAUAAAUCAUAAGCAAAUCAAAUCAAUCGAAAUUUUUUAUAUAUCGUUUCUUUGUAAAUAGCCACACCAAGAACAAUGUCUUGUAGUCUGAACAGACGAAAAUGGUGGAUGCCUUGGCUUGCUCAGGUGGCUUCUCAAACUUGUAGUCUUAAUUGAUGAAAAUGGUAAUUGCUUUGACUUGCUCGGGUGUUUUUUUGAGCCCUGGCAACCUGCCAAUUGCCUCACCAAACAAGUUGAUAGCUAGAGUUGCCCAAGCUCAAAAAGAUUAUUGUUCUUUUCUCCUUCAAUAAUGAUUUUGCUCCCAUGUUUUGUGAAGCGCUUUCCACGAUUGUUUUCACAACAUGUUCCAUACUUAUAGCUCAAUGCAAUGCAAAAGCAUCCACAUAUUCCAAUAUUAAUUCACUGGUAUGUGGAAUAUCCAACACCUUCUUGGAUUCUAAAAAUUUUGUGCCCAAGUAUCAAUAUCAGGUGCAACAUUUUCGUGUCAGUUUACCUGUCCGCAUUGCUUCACAUAUCCGUACCUUGUCAAGAAAGGUCUAUUUUCCUGACAGAGAUUUCAUUACCGUCAGUGCAAUGUGACCUUCCACAAUAGCCUGUUGCCGCUUGGUGUCCAUUGUGCUGCCACGGACGGAGUGAUCCCUUUUACAGUUUCUUUCUUUUGUUUUCUGUGGAGGACUUGAGAAGAGUCCGGUUUUCUAGAGAAUACUUUGUGCAAAUGAACAGAAGUAAUGUUCCUCCCUUCUAUACGAAGUUCACGUUAGGUGAGUACUCGAUCAUGUUAUUAAUUUAAUACUAGAUACUCCUCGCUCCAUAUGGUUGCGUGAGUCCGCGAAACUUGCUGACAUUGGCUUCUAGAGCGAGGAAAUAUGUUAACAGGAAUGAGAAUAUAUAACAAGCAGCUCGUACAACUAAGUGCGCGCCUUAUCACCUAAUCACCUAGCCAAGCAUCUAAUCACGUGGGGUACCUUUUUUUAUUUGUCUCCUCUUUGAGUAUCCUAUGCUUGACUUGAACCUAGUCUUGCGUAACCAAUCCAUCUUCUCCCGGGUUACUUUACAAGUUUUGAACUGAAUCAACAUAAGGGGCCUCUCAUAUCAGAACCUCGCUUUGCUCCCUUUCGUUGUGUUCUCCCAGCUAGGAUCCCUCAACUGUUUUUCUCGGCCCCGAGGUUAGUACCUUUAAUCAAGAAGCUGGUGUUUUUUCUGUUCCACAAACAGUUAAACAUAUCUAUGUAUAUUUUGUAAUUAUGUCUAGUUGUAAUACAACUGUUUUGUUUGGAUAAAAGAUCUAGUUGUAACGAUAUGAGUUGUAGCAGCUUAAAUCUAUAUCUAAAAUCAUCAGAAAUGGACACUGGUUCGAGCACGCCAAGCCUGCUGAGUACAGUGCCGAAGGAUCUAUCAGCAGCAUUCCUGCGUGAUAUUACGGAUGGUUUUUCCACUGACAGAGAAAUAGGACAAGGGGCGUUUGGAACAGUUUAUAAGGUAUGUUUACGACCUUUUCUGCGUUUUUCAGAAACUGGUAGGCAUGCCAAUAUAUAGUAUAUGGACGGUUAAACAGGGAAUCCUCCCAGAAGGGGAUUGUAUUGCUGUGAAGAAGCUUGUGGAUGAGGACAUAUAUGACAAACAAUUUCAAAAUGAGAUUACGCAUCUUAUGAAUGUCUGUCAUGAAAAUAUUGUGAGGAUAGUUGGCUUCUGCCAAGAACGUGAAAAGAAAGUUGUGGAGCAUAAUCGAAGAUAUAUUAUUGUAGACUCAGUUGAAAGAUUUAUCUGCUAUGAGUAUUUACCAAAUGGGAGCAUUGAUAAGUGUAUAUUUGGUACGGUAAUUUUUUAUCUUUUCUUUCUUUCUUCACUCAUACUUUUUAAUUUGGAGUGUGGAUAUCAAUUGUUAUAUAUUACUUCAGUUUCCUGCACUAAAAUAUUAUUCUCUCCAUCCCAAAUUACUAUUGCUUUUGUUUUUUCUAGAUAUAUAGUUUUUAUAUGCACCUAGAUAUAUAUUAUCUCUAGGUACAUAGAAAAUGUUAUGUAUCUAGAAAAGUCAAAAUGAAUAGUAAUUUGGGACGGAGGGAGUAUGAUGGAACUGAUUAUGGUUCAGGCUAUGAACAUACGCUUUCUAGUCACUAUGUUAUGAAAAUUGAUGUUUUGGAGGUCCUUAUACCAGAUUACUCAUAGAGGAUCUAUCCUUUUUUCUUUCUUCAGAUGAUACACUUAAUUGGGCUACACGCUUCAAAAUUAUUAAGGGGAUCUGCCAAGGUUUACAUUUCCUACAUGAGGGAAUGGAAACACCUACAAUUCAUAUGUCUCUUCAGCCUGCCAAUGUAUUGUUGGAUGAUAGAAAGGUGCCUAAAAUUACAGAUUUUGGUUCGUCGAGAGUCUUUGGUCGUGCUGAUAAAUCAAUGAUGAUCACACAAAACCCUGUGGGAGUAAUGUAAGUUUAAUUCAGAUAGUGCAAUAAGAGUACUUUCCCAUCAAGUAACAAUGCUUACGAAACUCUUGUUGGUAAUGUCAUUCAGUGGAUACAUGGCUCCAGAAUAUCUUUAUAGAGGUGAAAUCUCAACCCAAGCAGACAUAUAUAGCCUAGGCUUAAUGAUAAUCGAGAUCACAACUAGGAAGAAGAAUUAUUCAGACGAUCGAGACAAGUCUGCCCAGAGAUUUAUUGAUGAAGUAAGGCAGUGUUGAUGAUUAGUUGAUUACAAAAUAAUUUUCAUAGAAGCAUGUGUUACAUUUAUUUCGUGUAUCCGUUUUUACAAAAGAUAUAUUUUUAUUUUUAUUUCGUGGUUUAUUAGUGAGUAUUAUGAGUUGAGUUAUGUAGGUGCGCCAGACAUGGACGGAUGAUGUGUACAUUUUAUCCAAAUACUCCCAAUUGGAUGCAGGCUUACUGCAAGAAGUAAAGGCAUGCAUUCAAACUGGGCUUAAGUGUGUGGAUAUUGAUCGCAAGAGAAGACCUUCCAUAUCUGAAAUUGUUAGACUGCUCAAUGCUGCAUGGUAAACGGUGGACGAGGUAUGACUAGGAAUAGCAUACAUUCCCUCUGGUCUUUGCACAUACUUACCAAAUUUUACUUUGCACAUAUAUAUUUAAAGUCCUUAAUAUUUAUGGGAUUUUGCAAGUGUUGCUCAAUACAAUUCCACAAAUACAACUUGCAUGCUUUCAAACUUAAUAAUGUAAAAGUUAUUGAUGUUUUUAAUUUUUAAUCUUUGACAAAACCUUGUCCUAAACAACAUGUUUUUUAUGACUGGAGUUACGGGGUGUUUGGAUACGAGGUGUUAAACUUUAACAGUGUCACAUCGGAUGUUCGGAUACUAAUUAAGAGAACUAAACAUGAGCUAAUUAUAAAACUAAUUGCAGAACCCUGUGCUAAUUCGCGAGACGAAUCUAUUAAGCCUAAUUAAUCCAUCAUUAGCAAAUGGUUACUGUAGCACCACAUUAUCAAAUCAUGGACUAAUUAGGCUUAAUAGAUUCAUCUCGCGAAUUACACUCUAUCUGUGCAAUUAGUUUUGUAAUUAGCCUAUAUUUAAUACUCCUAAUUAGCAUCUAAACAUCCGAUGUGACGGGUGUUAAACUUUAACACCUGGUUCCAAAUAGGCCCUUAGUAUAUGAUCACUAAUAGUUUUCUUAGUUUUUUGAGAGGAGAGGAGUUUUCAUAGUUUUACAUGCAACAACUACAUAUGAUCACUAUUAGUGGAAUCUUGUACUUCUAUAUAUGGCAAACUGAUCAGGUGAUCUUAACAUGCUAUCUCAAACUACAGGUCUACAUAUAUACCGUGUUCGCAUCAUGAAUAAAAGUUGUCAUUGUGGAGAAGACAUGGCCAAGAUGAAAUAAAGCAUGCUCUAUUAUUUCUAGAAGACCUGAACUUUUCUAUCACAACUAAGAUUCCUUUGAUGUAAUUUCAUUGUGGAAGCUACAUUUACUCCUCUUUUGGAGAUUGACACUCCAAAAGUGAUUUUCGAAGACACCCCAUUUACGGCACAGGUGGUCCACAAGGGAAUACGCUAGGGUCCUCAGUCAUGGAAAGCCUAUAGAAAUGAGUUUCCAGAGAAUGUUGGUUCAGCCGAUCAUGUCUGAAAAAGGUUGCUGACUUAAGUGACUGCGUUAGGAAAUCCCCAUUACUAGACGUAGACACUUAAGCUGAUGGACUAGAAAUUGAUUUCAAGAGAUGGUUCCUCAAUUUGGGCUGCCUCUAGAAACUGUUUUCCACAAGAGGCAAAAGAAAAGGUCAUCCCAUUUCCGUUAUCAAUAGGUUUGUGGUGGGAUGGCAAGGGGGGAUGUUGUUGUGGGUUUAAAGGUUGACACCCCCCCCCACACACACACACACAUUUCACGCAAAAAAUUGCAUGUGUGGUGCAGCUCAAUGGUUUUUACAAAUCUUUUUGUAGUUUUUCCAUGCCCAAUGUUAUCGUAGACAGACCGACAUAACCAAUGUCAUGUGGAAAUGCAUUUUUAGAGGUAAUUAAUUCCAGAGGUAGUGAACUUAGGGAACUUCCUCUAAAAAUGUCUUUUCUUAAUACGAUUGAUUGUCCACCUAUGAAAAUGCACCAUUUCCAUAUGCGAUGUCACACCUGGUUUUAAAAAUAAAUCAAAUGUACACCAUAUGUGUGCCAGGAUCAAGUUUCAAACAUACAACAAGCCAAUAGUGAAUAACAGAUACAGUAUCAUGUACUAACGAGUUCAACUAAUACAAAGUGACAUAAAUCUCUAAACAAAAUAAACAUACAAACGUCUCCUAGCAGCGGAUUACCAUUCUCCAUAGGCAUUCAACUGGGGGAACAUACGCCUAGCACUUAUGGAAAUCUUCUAAUACUAACAUCCUCUUGUUCUGAGCAGCAUUCAUUGUGUGGUACAAAUAUAUGUAGGAAAUAGCAAGUGUGAGUACAUGCCGUACUCCCACUACUACAGAAGAGGCCAUCACCGCUGGGCUAUCACCACCAGUUAUAGAUGAAUCAUUUGUGAUGCCUUUUCACUGUCGGUUUUGGAGCAAAUGGGGGCAGCAGCCUUUACAACCGGCGGUGGUGCUCGUUUUCAUUGCCGGUUCCUUAUUGAGCCGCUAGUUUCAAGCAAGAGCCAGCAGCGAUACUCGAUGCGAACCUGAAAUUUUUCUUCAACCCAAUUUAGAAAACGACUUUGCGUCCACUUGCCUCCCUCUCCCCACUCCUCCCCUCCCCCACCCUCUCUCCACCCCCUCCCUCUCUCCCUCUCACCCCAGCCCUCUAUCCCACUCUCCGCGGGCCCCCUCCCUCCCUUCCUCUCCCGCCGGCCCUCCCCUUCUCUCCCUCUCCGUUCGCCGCCCCUCCGCUUGCUUCCGCACCCCCCCCUUUCCCCCUCCACUCGCUACCCCCUCGGCCUGGCAUAGAGGAGCGCUGGCAGCGUGCAGGGAUCCGCAGCGGCAUGGCAGGAUCCGCGGCUGGCAGUAGGGAUCCACAAUGCAGCGAGGCUCCAGUGACAUCAAGAUGUGCGGGGUAAGCAGCGGCAGUGACAAGGCCGGGUCAACGGUGGCGGCUGCAGCGUGAGUAGCAGCAGCGAUGCUACCUAGGGGCCCACGGUGGGCGCGGUGCGAUGGCGGUGGGGACGCCAGGUAUAUUUCUUCUUUUUUUUGUGAUGUGCAUCACCGUCAGUUCCUGGUUUAGCGGUGAUAGGGACUCCUAUCACCGCCGACCUAAUAAUGUCCUCACUCAAAAUGAGGGUUGCCUAUAUCAUAUUGAGAUAUGAGAUACAUCCCCCUAAUGCUGUUCUAUGGACAUUCUUGAGGCACUGACUCUGGAGCCAAAAAAAAGGUUUAGUCAACGAGCACAAAAGUUUCAUACUAGAACCACUAGACCUAUGCUAGUCAAUUCACUGUGCUAAGGGCACAUGCAAGAGCUACAACCACCCUAUGCCCAUUGAUCACAAUUAAUUUGAAAGGAUGUUUAUGGAUGCUUUUGUUUACCAUAAGUGUAAUAAAUCUUGUAGUCAUUUUCGGCACAAGUCUUGCAGCUAGCCAAUAUAAUCCAAGUUUUUGGUACCCUAUAAUCCAAGAUAAGAUAUAAUCUCCUACUGUUUUCAAAUCUCAGAAUCUUUUGCAGUAAUCUCCUACUGUUUUCAAAAAGUGGUAUGUCAAUCGUAACAGGAUUAGACAGAGGGAAGUACCGAAUGGUUGCUUGCAGAUGAGGUGAUUCUAACUUUAGACUUUGCAUGUAGACGGCGUGGAGGAUAUGAAUAGUUGCAUGCAGAUGAGAUGGUGCUGACAUUAGCCUUUGCAUGUAGAUGGCGUGGACGAUUUGAGGUAAAUGACACAAGAACACACACCAUAUAUAUAGUGGCAUUGUUGGACCUUGUUUAGUUACCCCAAAAUCCCAACUUUGGCACUAUGCAAAAAUAAGAUUCCCCAUCACAUCAAACUUGCGGUACAUGCAUGGAGUACUAAAUGUAGACGAAAUAAAAAACUAAUUGCACAGUUUUGUUGUACUUUGCGAGACGAAUCUUUUGAGCCUAAUUAGUCAAUAUUUGGACAAUAAUUCAUAAAUACAAACGAAACACUACAGUAUGCUACAGUGCUGGCACAGUGAUUUUGGUUGUCCAAAAUUGGGCAACUAAACAGGGCCUCGUUCUCUUCUCAUUAAUUGUUAAUAGAAGUUACUACAUGUACCUAGAACUCCUAAACUAGGUGUCCUAUCAUAUGAUUUGCAAUUAAUUCCAUUAAGCUUGAAGCAGGUGGAAAGGGCACUUGCAUCGAUAGGAGGCGCACGUGCACAGAGAGUCUGUUAUGUCUUUUAUCUUUUAAUGAAACUAGGUGGCGUUGGGGCUGCUGGCCUUUCCUCGCUGUUUAGCAUCCUGAGAACAUCCGGCAUGGUUGGCCGCUCCCUUGGAUUGUCUUGGGUGCACAACAGUCCGAUAUGUAUUCUUCUUUCCACUUCCUGUAGCUGUGACUCUCCACAAGAUGCAGAGUCAAAUAAAUCCUUCAGACUCUGAGCUUCCCGUACCUCCCAAGCCUGUGAAAAAGGUGUCAGUGUGUAUAACAAGGCAACAAGUAAAACCCAUUGUGUAACUGAAGUUCUUCAUGUGGUCAGCUAAGUUGCCAUUUUCUUCAGAUCCGUCUAACCAAUUUUGAUUAACGUGUUGGAUCAUUAACACACUAUUGCUUCUUGACUGCAUCAUUUUGGUCGAGAUUGGUCACUGACUAGUCCUAAGAUGAACAUCCACAAAUUCAAACAAUGAUGACCUAUAUGCUACGUUAUUGAGACUGCUAUUUCUUUGAUAAUCUUAUACUUGUCUGUAUUGAAAGAUCAUGUUGAUGUUUGGUGUAGUAAAAUUUGGAAAGGUAAGAGAACUUUUGAGAUUAUACGAGGCUACUACCCAAAGUAUGAGGUGGCACCCAAAUAGAACGACAUAUCCUUAAAAGGAACAACAUGACAUGAAGAGAUGAGCAAUUAUAAACCAAUCCAGUUUUUUAUGCUCAGAAAUUAUUGCUAGCGCUGACAGCGAGCAAGAUGCAGAAUUACCAAAUAAAGUAUGACCUACAAAAGGAUUCCUCUUUUUUUUGUGUCACAGCUGAUUACACUUUUUUCCCUUGUUGAAAAAAGUGGACAGUUUAAGGCCAAUAUCUCCACCGAAGUAUGGAUAUCAGAAUAGAUCGAAUAAUGAUGAAUGCAAAAAAGAGAAAACCUUUAUCUGAACAAGUUCCUUGUGAAGAUACCCAACCAAUGCCUGCCUAUAAAUGUUUUACGUACCCACUCAAUUGAAUGUUGGAGAAGUCCAGACCUGCUCAUUCCUCUAAUGGUAGAUAAGACUAAGAGGCCAAAACUGUAGACAUCAUUCUUGGCUGAGAUGACACCUUGAGCAAUAUAUUCUGGAGCCAUAUAUCCCCUAAAUGGUGAAAAAAUAAAUAAAUGGGUCAGCAGAAGGGGGGAAGCGACAAGAAGCUUGAUCGUGCAUGUCAUGGCAACAAAAAUACAGUAUAUAUGGAAAGUCGUCCUACAGGGUGCCUGCUAACUCUUCCGUGACUUCUUGAGUCACCUCUUGAUCAAAUAUUUUGCACAUUUCAAAAUCACAGAUUUUAGGGUUCAUAUUAGAGUCAAACAGGAUGUUUUCUGGCUUCAAAUCCAUAUGGAUAAUGUUUUUCCAGUGCAGAUGAGCUAUGCCUUGUGCCAUCCCUUGAAUUAUUUGGAAUAUGAUAGACCAAUCCAUCUGCGGACACUGUCCUGGAAAAUUAAAAAAUCAAACAUCCUAUAGAGUUAACAUUGUUAAGCUAAAUUUUGCUCCAAAUGAUAACUGGAGUCAUUCUUUAAGUGGAAACAUGCCUUCGAUAAUGUCGGACAAGUUUCCAUUCGGGGUGUACUCUUCGACCACUAUCAUACUAGUUAUUUCAGCCUCCACAUAGCGGCCCUUGUAUAGCAUCUUCUCGUAUGUGGUUUCCUGGCAAUAUCCGAGAAAGCAAACUAUAUUUUGGUGCUGACCCAGCAAUGCAAAGACAUUCACAUAAUGAUCUACAUCUCUUCGUAAGUGCCGAGCUGCACAAAAUCUCUUUAUGGCAACCAAUACGUCAGAUAUUACACCCUGGAUCAUAGGCAGCAAUUUUAAUCACGAAUGCAGUUAACGUGAUAUUAUAAUUUGAAUGCCUCAAACAUAAUUAAAAUACCAAGCAUAUGGAGUACCUUGUACACAGUAGCACUGCCACCUCUCCCAAUCAGGUUGUGUUCCGAGAAGUUAUUUGUAGCGGCCUUCAUCUCAGAUAAACUGAACAUUCUAAAUCCUGUCAUAAAAACAGGUACACAUACAGGCAUAAAUGAUGUUCUGCAAACACACACCAGCAAGAUCACUAUCACUAGUGAAUAAUAAAUAGCUCGAAUUCAAGAUCAAAGAGGCCGGUAAACAAAUAUGUGAUCUUACCUGAUUGGUUGAGAAAGUGCUCCAUACAGGCUGGAUCACUUUUUCUCUCACCAUCAGCUCCAAAUCUGUCAUCGUACAUUCGAUAAGCAAAAUGAGUGCCCUCCGAUCGAUGUAAUAAUACUGAAUGGAGGUAGACCAAUGGUGGUAGCAUAAUGGUAAGGUUUUAGAUGCUUCCUCCAUCCCAAUUGUAAAUCGUUUUGGCAUUUCACCUAGAAAUGCCAAAACGAUUUACAAUUUGCGACAAAGAGAGUAGUUUACCAGGGCUUUUAUGGAAAUAAAAGCUAAAAUUGCGCAAGUGCAUACUUUGAUGGUAUACAGACUUGCCAAGGGAAUUACAGUUUUUCGUAAUGGUGAUUAAUUUCUAUGUUGAACUCACUAAGUAUUACAACAUAUAAUUUACUAUGCUACAAUUGGAAUGGCACACUGUAAAUAUCAGACCUAGUAUCAUUGUUUGACGCACUGCUAGACGAGCUCUCCACUGCCCCUAGAUGGCCAGCAUCCUGAAAUAGAAAACCAAAUCCCUCAAGGUAUUAUUGAUGAAAUUUUUAUCCUAUCUUAUUAGUUGAAAUGGAAGAGCUAGGAAGUACCAAUUGAAUGAUACCCCUGAAAUAAAGAAACUAUCUAAAGGUUGCUGCGAAACAAAAGAAACUGUCCGUAUAUUGAUCUUGACGAGGUGAGGUGGGACACUUAAAUCUGUUAAUGCCGGACCCAACACCUGGGUCAACCGUGCUUGCGGUAGAGGCAUACAUUCUACAAAUAUGAUACGUACAGGUUGCAUCUGUCCAAUUUUUAUUCUUAACAAAAUGAGUCUAUCAACCCAAAGCUAAUGAAAAACAUGGAGAAGUUUCUCUAAAAUGGUGGAUAGAAUCGUAAGGAACAUUAUAUAUGGAAGUGACAAAAUUAAAAAUACGCUGUAAAGAUGUAGUACCUGUGUAAUCCAGUUUGCGGCCGCAAUUUGGUCCAUGAUAACCUGGUUUACCUGGCGCAACUCUUUGGUCAGGUAUCCAGUUGCACCCAGGUGAAUGUUGCGCGUCGACUGGCAGGCCCUGACAAGCUUCAGCGCCCGAUACAGGGUCUCCUCGAGGUUCUCAAGCGCCUGGAUCAUCGCCUGGUCCUUCACCAUCUCCAAAUUCUCCAUCUUUGACAGGAUAGCACUUAAUCUGCUUACGCGCCUUCCGAUCUCAUAACAAUCAGCCUUAUUCUUUCGAACGGUGUCGACCGCCUCCUUGAUCUGGAGCGCAACCUCGACAAUGUUCCUCACCCUGCCCAAUGCAUCGGACAUCCUCUCUCUAGGGGAUUAUAAUCUGCAGAUCGAAAGGAUAAGGGAGUCGUAUCGAAUCAGACGAACAAGCCUGAUGAACCAACUGGAACAAACAAAAAAAGCUCUUCGAUUUUCUUUCUCAAAGCAAUCAAAGCAAAUAAAGAAGCAAGCAUAAACCUGGCGUCUUCGGCCCUCCUUUACUAGCUGCGUCAGGGAUCUCUUCCUCCAAGCUAUGGUACGCCCGGAGCAUCCGGUGUUCGCCGGGAAUCAAGUCUGCUCGAUGGGCAAGCUUAUCUGAUAGGGACAUAAACAAUUCCGUGAAAAACAAAUAAAGGCCAGUGUGCUCUGUAAGAAAUAUAAACCAAUAAAAUACAUCUUGGCAGAAUGGGGUCAAGUGGGUCUAUAGUCUAUUCUUGUGGCAGCAAGCUGAUCCUUUAUAAUAACGCUGGAUCGGAUCUCGAUCUCCUUGAAUAGCGCUCCACUAACCCACUAAUGCUUGUCUCGUACUCCACCCACCGAUACCCAGCCCAAAAACUAUGCAUCGGGGAUUGACUUAACUUUUUGUUAUUUCGAGGUCUAAUUGAUAACACUGUUUGAAUUACGUAUGGGUUGCCUGCUGCUGGUAAAUACAUCUAUUUAUCCGUCAGCAAAAACAUGCCUGCUGGGAAAUAUUAGUUCUGACUUCUGAGCGCAUACCAGCUGUCAGUUAACAUAUUGUCUGUCAGCAAAUCCCUGCCAGGGCUUACGAUAAGUGGUCUGUCAGAAGACGUCAUCCCCCAACGGGUACAGUACGGCAUAUUACCUUCUUUGUGUUUCAUGAUGAAUGCACGGUUGUCACACCUUGAAAUUUUUGGAUCUCACGAUGUGAUUAGGAAGAAUAAUUAAACAAUGAUUUUUCUCAUAAUUUUAAAAUUUGCCAACAUUUGUUUUCUUGAUAGGAAAUUUAGUGUAGGAAAAUAAUUGGUUGUUUUUCCUAAACUAAAUGAGCUUGUUCUAUGUGUGUGCAUUCAUGCCCAUGCAUCUUGGUGUUUAUUGAGUGCAAAGGUUUUAAAAAUAUCUUUAGACGACGACCAGGUUCUUCUGAGAAUUUACCAAUUUUUUCUGGAAAUUAUUCUCAUUUUCCUAGAGCUAAAUCCUUUUCCCAAGCUCCAGUAAUUUUAUUUAGACUCCUCGUGUCCCAAACUAUCUCUAGGAAUUUUCCUGGAAUUUUUAGGAUUUUCAGAGUAUUUUUUGUGGGUUUUAUUGAAUUAUCUGGAUUUUUCUUUAUACGGGAAAUUACUUCUGAAAAUAAAAAGAAAAGAAAACCUCAACCUACCCUUUUGGGCUAAGCCCGCACCCAAAAGCUCUACCAUAGCCCAACUCUCCUUCCCUCCCUCGAGCCUCGCUAGCUCAGCCCAGUCCAGGCCCGACCAGCCAAGCCAGGCCCGAUUGGGACCAUAUGCUCUGCAGCUCUCUCCCAAGCUGCACAGGCAGGCAACGCCACCGCCACGCCCUUUUGGUGUGCGUGCCACGCCAGGCGCAGCCACCCGCGCCCUAUCAAUAGCGAAGCCCGACCCCCGCACGCCCCUGCCAUCCUCGCAAGCCACCCUGCCUCGCCUGUGCUGCGCCGCCACCUUGCAAACCCGCCAGCCGAGUCGGGCGCCGCCGCCAACUUUCCACUCGAUUCACCAGCUCCGCUGCCCGCCGGAUGAAACCGGCCCCUUCUAGAGCUUCGGGACGUCGUACAACGGUAGAAGCACCAUCGGUGUAGCCUGGGAGGAUGAGCCACAGCGACGGCUGCGUUCUCUCACCGUAUUAACUCACGUACACGUAAGAUGAACUAGCUUUGCUGGCGGUAUACAGACGCCCUCGCAACCACCGUGUACGUGCCCUAAUCUGUCCUGAAAAUUCUAGAAUGCCUUAUAUUAGGAUAGAGGGACAGAGGUGGUACUCUUCAAAUAUCUAGCCCAAAAACCAUGUCAAGAACUUACAACAUGCCUAUAAAUACCCGACUCAAUUCAUUGCAUGCUGCGACACUCCUACCUUUUGCCUUUUUCUUAACAAAUCCUUGCAAUGUAAAUAUAAAUCAUAAGCAAAUCAAAUCAAUCGAAAUUUUUUAUAUAUCGUUUCUUUGUAAAUAGCCACACCAAGAACAAUGUCUUGUAGUCUGAACAGACGAAAAUGGUGGAUGCCUUGGCUUGCUCAGGUGGCUUCUCAAACUUGUAGUCUUAAUUGAUGAAAAUGGUAAUUGCUUUGACUUGCUCGGGUGUUUUUUUGAGCCCUGGCAACCUGCCAAUUGCCUCACCAAACAAGUUGAUAGCUAGAGUUGCCCAAGCUCAAAAAGAUUAUUGUUCUUUUCUCCUUCAAUAAUGAUUUUGCUCCCAUGUUUUGUGAAGCGCUUUCCACGAUUGUUUUCACAACAUGUUCCAUACUUAUAGCUCAAUGCAAUGCAAAAGCAUCCACAUAUUCCAAUAUUAAUUCACUGGUAUGUGGAAUAUCCAACACCUUCUUGGAUUCUAAAAAUUUUGUGCCCAAGUAUCAAUAUCAGGUGCAACAUUUUCGUGUCAGUUUACCUGUCCGCAUUGCUUCACAUAUCCGUACCUUGUCAAGAAAGGUCUAUUUUCCUGACAGAGAUUUCAUUACCGUCAGUGCAAUGUGACCUUCCACAAUAGCCUGUUGCCGCUUGGUGUCCAUUGUGCUGCCACGGACGGAGUGAUCCCUUUUACAGUUUCUUUCUUUUGUUUUCUGUGGAGGACUUGAGAAGAGUCCGGUUUUCUAGAGAAUACUUUGUGCAAAUGAACAGAAGUAACGUUCCUCCCUUCUAUACGAAGUUCACGUUAGGUGAGUACUCGAUCAUGUUAUUAAUUUAAUACUAGAUACUCCUCGCUCCAUAUGGUUGCGUGAGUCCGCGAAACUUGCUGACAUUGGCUUCUAGAGCGAGGAAAUAUGUUAACAAGAAUGAGAAUAUAUAACAAGCAGCUCGUACAACUAAGUGCGCGCCUUAUCACCUAAUCACCUAGCCAAGCAUCUAAUCACGUGGGGCACCUUUUUUUAUUUGUCUCCUCUUUGAGUAUCCUAUGCUUGACUUGAACCUAGUCUUGCGUAACCAAUCCAUCUUCUCCCGGGUUACUUUACAAGUUUUGAACUGAAUCAACACAGGAAUUUUCGUGGAAUUUUUAGGAUUUUUUGAGUAUAUUCCGUGGCUUUAAUUGAAUUAUCUGGAUUUUUCUUUAUACAGGAAAUUACUUCUGAAAAUAAAAAAAAGAAAACCUAAACCUAACCUUUUGGGCCGAGCCCGCACCCGCGAGCCCAACCAUGGCCCAGCUCUCCUUCCCUCCCUCUAGCCUCGCUGGCUUUCCGCUCGAUUCACCGGCUCCGCUGCCCGCCGGACGAAACCGGCCCCUUCUGGAGCUUCGGGACGUCGCCCCGCACACCCGCCGCUACACCCUGUCGUCGUUUGGCCGCCGGAGGAGCCCCGCCCUGUGGAGCCCGAACUAGCCGCCGCCUCCACAGUCCGCCAUCGAUUCCGGCCGGUGCCGUCGUCCUCUACCGUCGGUGAGCACGCCCCCGUGACCCUCUCGACCUCCUCUAUCUCCUUCGCCACCCACCUAAGCCCCUACCUCUCAACCACCGGCGAUUUCAUCUCCCAGUGCGCCGUCCGCCAUGGCCAAAAGCUCCUCGAGCUUUUCCGUGGAGGCCCCUGAAGAAAUCUAUAAUUAUUCCAAGAUCUCUGUGUCUUGGAUCUUUUUUGAAAAGCCCCCUAGAUCUAUUAGGUUCCUUCAACCGAGCCCAAGCCGUGAUCUAUUUCAGAUCGAACCCUGCUCUUUAUCGUAUUCACGGGCACUAUGUGUCUCGGGAAUCUUCCUCGCUAGCCCUUGUUCUCUAGGGUUAAUCGCGAUUAGACCCCUGCAGCUUGAUUAGCUCGUAGAUCUUAUGUUUCAACUCCGUUUAACCUCUUUCUUGUUGCGUUAGAUUCAUAUCAAUUUAAAUUACGCAUUAGAAGCAAUGUUAAUCAUUUUAUCUAUUUUAUAAUUUACUUCAAAUAUUAAUAUGAUUAAGUACUUACAUACUUGUUUUUCUAAUUAAAAUACAAUAGAGUUUAACCCCGUGUUUUCAUGCUAAUGUUAAUUUGUUUAAUGCUUAUCUAAAUAAUUUUUCCAAUUAAUAGCUAACUAGAGUUAUACCUCGGUUUUCAUAGUCAAACUUAAAUUGAUUAAUGUUUAUUCAAUUUGCUUUCUAAACAAAAGUUGCAUAGGUUCUAUCUCGAGUUUUCGUAAUUAAAUGUUAAUUUGGUUAAAUAUAAAUAUAAAUAUAAAUGUGUUUCUGAAUUAUAAUUUGUCUAGUUCAACACGAAUCAUAAAGUUAUGCGCUUAGAUCUUCCCACCUAAGUUAUUUUCCAAAUAAAUGUUUAACUAGUAUAAUUUAUACAUGAACAUUUAUAAAUAAAACUUGAGUAGGAUUUACCUCGGUUUUUGCCAAUAGAGUAAAAUUUGCAUUAUUUCUAAAUUAGGGUAUUUUCUUUCCAAAAUAUCCUUUAGAUAUGUUUUGCUAAUUAAAAUAAAUCCAGCAUAUAGCCUUGUGUGCUCUCAUAAUUGUUUGAUAGCCGUCUUUGUUAGCUUUAGCUUUGUAUCUCUUUUGUAGAUCUAGUCUUCUGUAAAGCUUUAGAUCUUUGUAGUUCCAGAUCAAGCUCACACUCAGUUUCUUUCACAAAUCUAGCCAAGCCUUUCCUUUUCAAGCACGGUUUGUGUGCUUUAGUGAUCCAAAUAGUUUAUCUUAGAGUUUUUGUUCUGCCUAAUAGUUUUGGUCUUCAUGAGUAGUUUGGUGCUGCUCAUUUCCCUAGCUAGUAUAUUUUUUAUCAUGCUUGUUUCCUGUUCCUCUUAGAAACCUGUUUAUCAAAAGCUAGCUCAUAAUUACUAUGUCCUAGUUGUCUCUUUGUGAGUCAGCUAUGUUCGUUAUGGCCAAACCUUUCGCAGCCAUCUCUUUAGAGCUAAUCUUGUUAGUUGUGUCUCUAUCGACCAGUUCAGUUUAGCUUUGACUAGUUUGUUAUCUUUGCAACCUAGUUGCUCUCUUUGUAGACUAGUUUUCCCUAAACCAUAGUUUAAGGUUUUCUUCUGCGCUCUAAAGUCUGAUUUUGAUGUUCUUGUUCACUUAACCAUAACUUAUGCGAUAGCAAUGUGUAUUGCCUGUUGCUUGUCUUUAAAAUCAAAAUUGAAUGUCAAUUUGACUAAUACUUAUUAAACCAGUUUUCUAAUUAAAAGUUUACUAGUUAUACAAUAUGGGAUUUCAUAUAAAAUUUUAAACUUUACUAAUUCUUAUUCAAUUAGUUUUCUACAUAAAAAUUUAUUAGGUUCUAUCCCGGAUUUCAUAAACUAAGAUUUAAUUAAUUAAUUCCUAUUUAUAACUAGCUUUUCUAAAUAAAAUAUACCUAGUGUCAUACAUCAUUUUCCAUGAAUGAAGUUAAUAUGCUUAAUGGUAUUAUAAACACCUUUUUCACAUUAAUAUGUUUAGCUGAACACAAAAUACAAAGUUAUUCGAUUAGAUGUCUUAUACAUGCUCUGUGUUUCUAAAGUUAACUGUUAAAUUGGUGUAACUUGUACUUCAAUAUUUACAAAUAAAAUAUGAUUAAAUUUAUCACGUUUUCAAUGUUCAAAUAUACCUUCUGUUAAUUCCAACUAAGGAUAUUUCUCUAAAAUAUCUACGCAUUGUUUUUUAUUAAAAUCUAAAGUUAACUGUUAAAUUGGUGUAACUUGUACUUCAAUAUUUACAAAUAAAAUAUGAUUAAAUUUAUCACAUUUUCGAUGUUCAAAUAUACCUUCUGUUAAUUCCAACUAAGGAUAUUUCUCUAAAAUAUCUACGCAUUGUUUUUUAUUAAAAUAUAUCAAGCAUAUAGUCUUUUUAUUUCUUUGAUAAUUCAAACCUCUCGAUAGCUUUGUCUUUUCAUCCAUAGUUUCAUUUUCAGCAUUUUUUCUACGUUGCGAUCUUAGAAUCAAGCCCUAUCCUUUGGUAUGAUCUUUUAAAGCUUUUCUUUUGAUUGGUGUACUGUUCUUAGUUGUGCUUGUUUGUUUGCUCUGUAUGGUUGUGCCGAUGAUUGUUUUGAGUAGAAGGAUUGCUAUUCGAAAGCUUUGAAGAUUAAGAGUUUCAAGAGAGCAAGAGCUGAAGAGCAGUAAGAGUAAUUUUUCAUUGGAGAAAGGCAAGUGUCCCCAACCUUCCUUCUAUCUAUGAUUAUUUAAAUACCAUGCAUGCAUUAAUUGGAACAUUGAGCGACCACCCAAGAAAACAAUGCAACCACAAGAACUACAUGGCUCUAGUCUUGGCUAAUUAAUUAGAUACUCUUGUUUGAAGCGGUCUUACCGAAAGGGCAAGAGGGGUGACGGCAGAUGGGGUAUAACCCAACCCUCAGACCGAUAUGCUCAAUGGUAGCUUCGCAGUCUUGAGAGAGGUUUACGCUCUGCUACUUAUCCGGAAACCUUAGCUGGCUACAUCUUAUUAGGGAAUCUUUGUAGAGGUCUUAUAGCUUCCCUAUGCAGUCACAUCUCGGUAGUGUGAUGAGUGCUUGAUUAGCACAGUAUGGUUGGGUCUAAAGUUUUUCUGAACUUCUACGCAACUUGUGGUGAAAAUGUACAACUUCUGCAGAGUGUUAUAUCAACUGUGCUCACAGUCAAGAGUGGCCUGAACCCUCACAUGAUUAAUAAACUUGAAGAUAUACUUAAAUCAUUAUUUUGGUUAUUUUUUGUGUUCUUGCUGAGUAGCAACCAUAAGUGUACUCACCCUUGCUAACCGCUGCUCAGAAUAAGGUGUCUGAAGUUAUUGAAGAUGAUGCUAGGCGUACGCAGCCCCAAUUGAUUGCUUGUGAAGUCUGAAGUCUUUGUUUUCAGGAUUAAGCUGUAUAUCUCUGAUAGACUCGUAAAUUUUUAUUUAUAUUCCUUUACGUGAUACUGUUACUGUUAUUCACUGAUAAUGUCACUAUAUGUAUGAUACUUGAUUAUGGGAUACAUAGGUAGCACUUGGUUUUGUUUUAAAAUCUGGUGUGACAUCGGUUCACAUCAAGCGUGACGAUAAGAAUUUAUAUAAAUGUUGCCCAACCACCCGAAUAUCAUAAAUUGAAGGUAUGUUUGAUUUUUUUACCAUACUUACCUGUGGCUAAACUCCAAAUGCUAGUUUUAGAAUAGUCGUAAUGGAAUUGCCAAGGGCGAGAGAAGAAUUGUUACUGUUGUGCCAUAACCCACAUUGGCUUAUGUGUCUAGACAGCUUAGAUGUCCAGCGUGGCCUAGCGCAUUUUAUGUAAACAUUUACAGGUGCACUGCUGCUGAUUUUAUGUAAUUAUUAAACCUAAUGCAGUUUCAUCAUGGCAAGAUGCAUUAAAGAAAGAAAGGGAAAGACAAAAUGAAAUACACCAAAGAGUUCAGUUCCAGCUGAAAACGUGUCUGCCCCAAGCGAGCUCCUAUACAUCUUCUGUGUUGAUUGCACAGCCCAUAAGGCCCAGCAAUUUACAGCCCAAGCAGCAAUAAUACACAUGCGCCGCAGGCCCCAAUACGAAUAUGUAAGUAUGGGGAAAAAAAAAGAUACGUACCACCUAAGCAGCAUGCCACGGCAGGCCCCAUCAGCCACCAGCCGAAGAUACGUGUUGCUUUACUAUUUUUAUUCAUAUUCCAUUCUACAGUAAUCCUCCUAAUACUAUAUUCAACAUUUUGUGCGAAUUGAUUCAAACAUUCAAAAUAACUAGUUAAACAUUUUGAUAAAACGAAUGCAAAAUUUUCUUAAAAUGUUGAAAUAGUAUAUUAAAAAUGUUGAAUAAAAUGUUGGAAUAGUGUAUUAAAUUUCAACAUUUUUUAUAAAUGCAAAUUCAACAUUUUUAAUAAAAUAUUGAAAUAGCGUAUUAAAAAUGUUGAAAUAGAAUUUAUGAUCUAAUAUAUUCAAAUAAUAAACUAAUAUAGUUAACAUUUUAAAUAAUAGAUUCAUCAUUUCUUUGCAUACUUAACUGUUGGGUAGUUCAUCAAAAAUUUUGAAUUUUAAAAAUUAGCAAAGAUAUAUUCGGAUAUCAUUAUGUUCGAUUAAUUCUCAAUAAUGUAGUGGUUUAAACGAUUAAAAAGGGUUCCCAGUUUGGGAGAAAAAUGCAUUUGAAGUUUGGAAUCCAAAAGCACCAUGCAACCACCACAAGAACCACACUGUCUGUCCUCCCCAUCAGCCGUGCAUGUUCUUUUCUACCUGGAGCCAUGGUGCGCCUGGGCUGUUGCUGUCAAUUGUGGUGGAAAAGGCAAAAUCAUUCCUACAGCUUGGAGAGUACGACACAAGUCGCGAGCAUUGGAAGAUGCUUAAGAAAAAAUUCUUCAAGAAGACACAUAGGAUUUCCAGCCCGGUCCAGCCUAGAAGAGUUUGACCCGCCCAUCAGUCUGUUCAGGCCUAUUAACUUCAGGUCCAAUUAGAAUGUGGGUCGUCCAUUCUCUCUCCUCUCAUAAAAAGACUCGUUCUGUCCUGCGUAACCCAUGGGCCGGCCCAGCUUCCUGUCGCGCUCGUGCCCAGAGCUCGCAGACGGAGGACGGGGAGCCACCAGUGUGGCACUCCGAGGGGCGACCGCGGCGGCGGGGGCACUGAGCAGUGAGCACAGCACAACCCAAUGCUAGCGCAUCGGAGAAGGGCGCGGAUGCCUCGACGAUCUCCGAAGGGUCCCACUGUAAUCUCGUCCGCCAUGUCCGACGGCCUCCUGCAGCCGCGUGCGUUCAAGCAGGUGAGAUCCCACAACUAAGGUUCGUGGCCACGGUCGGAUUCCCGGCCUGAAAGAAACUUAUCAGCCACCUCGUUCUGUUCAUGCUUCUUUGUGCUCUCCAAAUUAAAGUUUCCCCAAUUUUGAUGUAAAUUUCGGUCACGCGCAUGUGGUGUGGCAGUCACCGGAGUGUUGGCAAUACACAUAAAAUCGACAAAUACAUAGACAUCGUAGAGUCUUGGCACUAUGCAUAACUAAUAUCUUACGAAUUUCCCUGUAUGGUCUAACAAGUGCCCUGAAAGGUUGUAACAAGUCUAAGAUGGUGUAGCUUAGUCUCCACUUACCGUCCAUAUCGACCGAGUCUGAGGAGGACGUUACUUCUUCCAGAUGCUGACAAACAACUGCAGAGCACUCCGUCCAUCCUUCUUACUCGCAUUGAGCCCCUUCUCUCCUUCUCGAGACCAAUUCCAAGAGGCAAAACUUUUGGAAACUUUGGAGCAAUGGCAUGGUGCUUAAGUGUAUUAUUGUCAUGCGGUGCAGAACCUGAUUCCUUUCACCCAUUAUUAUUGUCAUGCGGUUGAUUCUGAAAACUUUAUUUUGCUCAGGUUCUAUUUCCAUGUUGCAGAGCCUCCAUGCCUGGUCGAGGCACUUUGUCCUCAACAUCAACUAAAGGUGUGUUUGGAUGGAGGGACGUGACGGAAUGGGAUCAUCCCACUUUUACAUAUGUUUGGUUGGAGGUUAGGUGGGACGAGGACGGCAUCAAAGUAAAAUAUUCUUCGAAAAAGAGGGAUGAAACAGUUCCUCCAAAUCGGUCGGACCAAUCCGUCCCACUUCGAUGACACAAACACCGUGACGAGCAAGACGACACAAACGCCGUGACGACACAAACGCCGUGACGAGCGAGCGCCUCGAGCGCAAGCGCACGUCCAACUCCAGCGCAGCGCCACGAGAAAAGCCAGGCGGCAGGGGCACGUAGCUCGGGCGGUAGAGGAAUGGAGCUGGGUGGUGGGGAGGGUGGAGCCCGGUGGCGCAGGGGACCGCCAGGAGGAGACGGGGAUCGACCUCCUGGGUUCCAGUUCCACCCCACCAACGAGGAGCUGGUGGUGCAGUACCUCCGUCGGAAGGCCCUGUCCCGCCUGCUGCCCGCUGCCAUCAUCCCCGUCAACCACGACCAUGCCAGGCUGGAUCCAUGGGACCUCCCUGGUGCGUCCGCACGCUCUCUUUCAGAUUAAUGGGAAGGAAGGCUGAGACAGAGUGUUCUGAUGUUCCUUGAUUGAUUGGUGUGUGUACAGGAGCGAGCGAAGGGGAGGGGUACUUCUUCAGCGCGCCUUCGUCGAGCAGCGGCCGCUGGAGGAGAGCUAGCAGCGGGUACUGGAAGGCCACGGGGAAGGAGAAGCCUGUGUUCCUGCAGUGCGGCGGCAAGCGGCAGCUGCUCGUGAGCGUCAAGACGGCGCUCGCCUUCCAUCGCAGCGAGCCGUCAUCGUCACAGGGGACCGCCGGUAGGAGACGGGAGGGCGAAGCCUGGCGGCGCGGGGUGGUGUGGGCCUCGGCUGCGGUGGCGCGGGUGAUUGCGCCGCGACACGCCGAGAAGGGGAUGAGGCUCUGAGGCUAAUAGUGAGCUCCGCGGCUAACGGAAUACAAACACCGUUUAUUUCAUCGGUCCUCAUCCCUCAAACCAAACAACGAAAUUAGGAUGUUCCCAUCUUUCCAACCAAACAUUAAGUGGGAUCAUCUCAUCCUAAAAAAGAGGAUGAUCCUAUCUCAUCCCACCUGUCCCUCCAUCCAAAUACACCCUAACUGCGCCGGUCGAUGUGAUUGCGACUGCUUGUUCUUACCGGACUGGUUAUAUGAAGCUGGCAUCAGAAGUAACCAGGUUCUGAUCCUCCCUGUGUUGAGUUCCAGCUAAUAUCACUCUAGGAUCAGUGCAAUGAAUGGUUUCUGUGAAAUCCAUCUUCAUCUCCUUUCGUUCCAAAAAACUAUCCUGUUAUCUAAGGAAGCUCCCAACUGCAAUCCACUCCUCCGUAUUUUUUGGGUCCCGGAAGAUAGAACUCUUUUUCAGUGUACAUUCUAUUUUCGGUAUAAUUAACAUACAUUAUGAAAAUCUAAGAAUGAGGCCCCCUCCCCCCGAGAGAGGCGACGCCCAUGGUGACACCCCGCCCGUACACCAACCUCGUCCCAGACCCCCCACCCCAGUAACCUCCACCAACCAACCGGCCCCAGAUCCGAGCGCAUCUGUAGAAGACCUCCAAGCUCGUACUAGCCGUGUCGUGAGGGAGCAAGAGAAGGAGGAGAUCGAGUUCACUCAGAAGAAGGUCCAAGAUCCAGAUCCCAUCGGUGAGGUCGCAGUACAGGAGCAGUUAUCGCCGGAAGAUCGACAGUCUGGCCAAGCUAUGCAUACCCAGAGGCUAGAGGCAGCGACGGAGGCCAGCAUCCUCCCGGAUCUCGUCCAAGAUUUGCGAGCACAAGCUAGCCUUAAGUCGACGCGGCUGGAAACAGGCAUUGAAUGCGACGAGGCAAAUCACACGCCAAGCACAAGCAUGCCAGUGAGGCUGGCGAGGGGCUCGACGAGGAAGAAGAAGACCGGUGGUUCGCGCCCUCCUCCAACGGCUUGUCAAGCAAGAGAAUCCACAAAAUCUGCCGCACAGCAGAGUUUUUGAGCCUGUAAAGCAGAAGCUCACCAGCGCAGUGAAAGGAAAAGGAGCAGGGACAGAACGGCAACCAUGCCAGCCAUCAAAUCUGCAUCAGAGAAGGGAGCAGAGCAUUUCAACAAGCAGCUGGCAAAAGCAGCGGGGUCAAUGCUUGAGAGAAGGGGAGGUGGGUAACCUUCAAUUCCCCUCUCCUCCAUUCAGGUCCAGCUCAAGGAAUAGACAGCAAUGACAUCAGCAACAAGAUCCGACCAUGGACAAAUCUUCAAGGACACAACACACUGCACUGCAGUCAGAGACCUGGAUUGAUGAACACGGCUUCCAAGUGGUAAAACCAGCAUAUUGGUGGCGAAGGACUGGAGACCAUUCAAGAGAAGAUUCAAGGCUUCACCAACCGGACAUGGAAGAGCAUAGGAGGAAGAGGUACAGGGAACAUGUCAGGGGAAAAUGUCUCAAUUGUUUCUCCACAGAACACAAAGCAGCUGAAUGCAAGCAACGCACUAAAUGCUGAAGAUGUCUGCAGACGGGGCACAAGGCCCUCGCCUGCCCAACCUGGAGAGACCAUGUUAAAAGGCCACCACCGGAGACUUAUUCUCAUUCUUGUCAAACCAAGACCAUCCCCACCACCACAUCUUUCCCCCCACUCCUGCUGGCCGGACCGUCUGCACGGCCGGCCGUUUCUACCUUCGGGCAGCAAAGGGCGAGGCAGCUCCCAUGGCGACAUACCCGGGUGACCCGCGUGCCCGCCCAGAAUACGCGGUCUGUGCGCUCUCAGCGACUGGGCACAUCAAGCGCAAGCAGGAGUCCAUGAUCGGCAAGACAGCAGUCUGUUGGCUCAACGGCAACAGCCACGACAUGGAGAUAUGCCACGUCGCUGAUGCCCUUGAAGAACAGCUCCUCAUCAGCCGCCAUGAAGUGCGCGUCGUCAAGCACUUCCCCGAGCAAUAUCUGGUGUUCUUCACCGACUGCCGAGCAUACCAUCGCGCUAUCGACCAGUGGGGCGUCCACAAAUGAGGAAGAGUCUUCAACUUCGAGCCAUGGACAGAGCGUUGGAACGUCGUGGAGAGCAAGCUAGAGUUCCGGGUCAGGCUGCGCAUUGAGGGAGUGGCGCUGCUGCAUGCCUGGUCCGAGGAGGUGGCGGCCCAAGUCAUUGGCCAAUACUGCGCCAUCCACUACGUUGAGGAACACGCACGCCAGUAGGAGUGCACACGAACCUACGAUCUGUGGGCGUGGUGCUCCAACCCCCAAGAUCCCUAAGAAGUUGCUGCUCACCAUCACCGACCCUGACAGGGAGCAGCCGGCAAUCGACAUCCCGCGGCAGCUCGUCAACCCCAACCACGACACACCUGAUGACAUCAAGGGCGCGUACAACUACAAGCUGCACAUCCACCUCGACGUGGUCGAGGACCUCUCCUUCCUCAGAGGGAGGGACGGAGGGGACGGAUAGCACAACAGGAGGCCAUGCCGUGAGUUCCUCUGAAACUACGGGGCACCGGACUCCCAGGGGGAACGGCGCAGUGACCAGUACCAUGAUAACUUUGCAAGCCGCGACUACCACCCACGCCGUGACAGAGACGACCAUGACGACCAGCACCAUCGAGGCACAAGGCGCCACCGUAGUGCCUCUUCCUGGGGGCGAGUGACGCGCUGCCGCGGAGCCAUGGAGGACUGCUACAGCUCCACACACCGCAACGGCAACUAGGUACACUCGGGUCGCCACAACAGAGUCCAGAACAACACAGCUGGCCAGGACAACAAAAGCCAUUCUCUGAUGGCUUGGCGCAAGAAGAGCACAGGAGGCAAGAAGGUCUCCUUUGCAAAUCCUCUGGUGCAGAUCAUGGGUGAGUUUGAGUUUGACCCUAGUUGCUAUCAUUUCCCAGCGCCUUCGAAUUCUGACUUGGUGGGUGAGUGGUUUGACCCCAUGAGGGAAGAGAUGCUCAUCCCUAAUAUUUUUGUAGGCGACCCAGGCAAGGAGGAUCGUAUCCUGAACAUGCUGCACUCGGCAGUGGGAUGGACCCCGGUUGCUUCACCAAGGAGUGCUCCGGAGGAAGGCGAGCUGCCGGAGCCAGUGACCGAGCUGCAGGAACCAGAAGGGCACAACAUGCAUUCGCCAAUCACCAACAAGCAGUCACAGGUCUGUCUGGUUUCUACUCCUCUAGAUGCAUCAGUGAGGCACACACAACAAGCUCAAAUUUCAGAAACUGUCAACACGGAAAACACUAGCUCAUCGCCUUUUGCACAGUACACCAACAGAGUAGAGCCCCCUAAUGUCAACAGAGAAGAGGUGAACGGUAGCAACAUCAUUAGUGAAAAUAACAACAACAUAGCAGCACCGCACAACACCGUAGCUACUUCAGUUAUAUGCAAUGAUCAAGAUAUGGUAGCCACUUCUGUUGAAAAUGGGGAGGGUAACAUAGAGGUCGGUGAGGGUCCUAAAUUUGACGACCUUUCAGCUUUCAUUGAUUUCAUAGCCUGCAAGCCAAAUGCGCAUAUUGUUUGCACUCCACCCAGAGCAAACCCCAUCACAUCAGGCAACGAAAAUCAGGGCCAAAACACAGCACAAAGAAAAAGCUCUAGGCUAGCGGAUAAAGCUAAGCUAAACCCGGGCAAGGACAGCACCCAACUUGCCCAAAAAGUCCUUAGUAAUAAGCUUGGGGAGCUGUCUCCAAAGUCGAAAGUUAAUUCUAAUGCUGAGGUUGAUCAUUUGGUGCAGCACCUUCCAAAGCCACUGACGGACCUGAAGAUGAUGGCCAUCAAAACCUUGGUGGAGCAGGGAAACCAGGCCAAGCACAAGAACAUGAAGAGGAGCAAGAUCACUCCAUCAGCAAUUGGAGAGAUGGAGGCCCAAGUGGCCUGAGGGAUAACCAUCCAGGGAGGAAGCGUUUCAGUGGUUUUUACUUCCCUAAUGUUAGGCAUAAAAUAAUUGAACUUAAACUUAGUCGAAUCUGUAUCUUUAAAUGGGCCAACAAUUAGGCCCUGCGACUUCAGCGGUGCUUUGUAUCGGGCAGAAUGCCCAGCAUCGACGUCCACGAAGCUCGCCAAGCUCUCCUCGAGGCAAUGCUUUAGUGAAAAAACAAGUCUCCUGGGACUUCUCAGCUUUGUAUCAGGACCAUGCGCCAAGCAAUGUUGUCCGCAGGUUGACGCUUUCCAUGAGUCUACUAUUAGUUGUGCACCUCUGAUCCAUGUCACAAAAGGAUUGUAAUGUGUUGUGUUGGAAUGUUCGUGGGCUUAAUGUGGCAGCUAGGAGAGCAAGUGUACGAAGCACGAUUCGUUCAUCCGGAGCAACGAUAGUAUGUCUGCAAGAGACCAAAAUAGCACACUGGACAUCUAAACUCGUGGCAGACACCCUGGGCAAUAAUUUUGCAAAGAACUUUGCUGUGUUACCAGCCCUUGGCACAAGAGGAGGCAUCCUUAUAGCGACAACGGUGAACCAUUUUGAUAUGCACAACAUCCACACCAUCGAUCACACAGUAUCCACAACAAUCACUAUGAAAGUAGACAAAAAAAUCUUGGACACUCACUUGCGUCUAUGGCCCUCAGGAUGAACACGACAAGCUACUAUUUCUAGAGGAACUGAAGAGCCUAAAAGAACAAGUUCUCACGGAAUGGCUCAUAGUUUGUGACUUUAACCUUAUAUAUAAGGCAGAGGACAAAAGUAACAAUAGGCUCAACAGAAACUUGAUGAAUCGUUUCAAGCAGGCAAUUGACAAGAACCAACUGAUGGAAAUCGACCUCCACGGAUGGUGUUUCACCUGGAGCAACGAACAAGAUCACCCAACAUUCACAAGGAUAGACAGGUUCUUCGGUACACCAGAAUGGCAUCUUCUCUUCCCAAACCUUGACUUGCAAGCCUUGCCAACCAUGGGCUCAGAUCACUGCCCAUUAUUUUUAACAGGUGACGUAGAGAGACAGAACUAUAUGGGCUUUCACUUUGAAUCUUAUUGGGUGAACAUGCCAGGUUUCUUAGAGACUAUACAAGAAGUCUGGAGCCAGCCAGUGCAUACUCAAGAUGCCAUACUGCGUAUGCAUGUCAAACUCAUUCGCACAGCAAAGGCACUUAAAUUGUGGAAGAGAAAAAACCUUGGCAAUCUAGCCCUUAGACUGGCAAUAGCCAAUGAGGUGCUAUGCUUCUUGGAUGCAGCUCAGGAACAAAGAGCCCUUACAACAGAGGAAUUAGAAUUUCAACGAUACCUAAAAGCGAAGUCGGUGGGCUUAGCAACGGUUCAGAGAGCCCGUGCAAGACAACACUCCCGGCUCACAUGGAUGCGAAAAGGAGACGCAUGCACACGCCUGUUUAUGCUGCAUGCUAACAACACAAGAAGAAAUCUACACAUCCCGUCCUUAACCACCGUAAAUGGAACAACAAUCAACAACCACCAGCAAAAAGAGGAAAUAAUAUACGAUCACUUCGUAAACCUGUUGGGCAAAACACAAGAGAGAUCCCUCAGCCUAAACUGGACAAAUCUCGGAUGUCAUCCACAUGACUUGACCGACCUGGAAGCACCAUUUGAGGCAGAAGAAAUAAAAAAGGUCGUCAUGCACUUACCAGCAUAAAAAUCACCUAGCCCGGAUGGAUUUAUUGGUCUAUUCUAUAAGAAGUGUUGGGAUGUGAUCGGAGAGGAUCUGAUCCAAGCUCUUCAUGCCUUCCACUCCCUUAGGACCAGACGCAUGGAAUUGAUUAACGAGGCCAAUAUCAUUUUGCUGCCAAAGAAAGAAGGAGCAACCAUGGUUGCAGAUUUCCGACCCAUCACUCUCAUUAAUAGUCUAGCCAAGAUCAUAACAAAGGUGCUAGUAGAUAGGUUGGCUCCGAGACUGAAUGAGCUAGUUUCCGGAUGUCAGAACACCUUCAUCAAAAAAAGAUGCAUUCAUGACAACUUCGUCUACGUACAUAGUGUAAUCAAGGCGUUGCACAAAUCAAAGAGACCGGCACUCUUUGUAAAACUCGAUAUCUCAAAAGCAUUUCAUUCGCUUAAUUGGGUAUUUCUCAUCGAAACAUUACAGGCCCUAGGUUUUGGCCAAAAAUGAGAGAUUGGAUUACAACACUAUUAGCCACCUCAUCAUCCAAGGUGCUACUUAACGGGAGACCUAGGAAAAAAUUGAAGCAUGCUAGAGGCCUCCGUCAAGGAGACCCACUAUCACCCAUGUUGUUCAUCCUUGCCAUUGACCCACUCCAUAAAAUGGUGGAACUAGUAGCCGGCAACAACAUCAUAAGACCAAUCCUCCCCAGAGCGGCAAAGCUACGAUGCUCCCUUUAUGCAAAUGAUGCAGCUAUUUUUACAAACCCAGACAGAGAAGAACUACAACGUAUCGGACAGUUGUUACAUAUCUUUGGAGAAUGUUCAGGACUCAAGAUAAAUAUGACUAAAACGGAAAUAUUCCCUAUCCGGUGUACCAAUGAAACCAUCUUAGAAGCUCUAGAGCACUUCUCGGGAAAAAUUUCCUCCUUCCCUGGAAAAUAUUUGGGCUUGCCUCUUCACAUGCGCAAACUCCGAAGGGUGGACGUCCAACCAUUAAUUGACAAGAUCGGUGGAAGGCUUCCUGGAUGGAAAGGUAAAAUGUUAUCGUCGGCCGGGAGAGAAACACUGGUGAAGAGUGUAUUAACAUCACAACCAAUAUAUCACCUCACAGUUUUCCCUACUCAAAAAUGGCUGAUCAAACAGAUUGAUCACCUACGUCGCAGUUUCCUUUAGAAAGGAGAGGAACCAAAAAAGGUCAAUGGAGGACACUACUUGAUUAAAUGGCCAACAGUAUGCACGCCUAAGGACAUGGGAGGGCUCGGGAUUCUCAACCUCGAGAGACUUGCGAGGGCUCUAAGAAUGAGAUGGUGCUGGUUCCAGUGGAAGUAUAGUGAGAUACCUUGGGUAGGACUUGAUAUCCCGUGCGAUAAGAAUGAUAAAGACCUAUUCUAUGCGUCAACAGUAGUAAUGGUGGGCAAUGGAAAGAAAGCAAACUACUGGAUAGCGCAGGUUUACCCACUCAUGACAGGAGAGGAAAUCAGAGAGUAUGUGCAGCUAUUUGAGGAAAUAAACAUGCUACAACGUGACACUAAUGCGGAGGAUGAAAUAUCAUGGAGGUGGACGCAGGACGGGGAGUAUACCACAAAGAGUGUAUACCGUAUACAAUUCCAAGGCCAACUGAAGAAGUUGAGUAUCACCUCAAUAUGGAAAGCUAGAACUGAACCAAAAUGCCGGAUCUUUGCCUGGCUUCUCCUGCAUAGGAAAAUCUUAAUAGCAGACAACUUGGAAAAGCUGGGGUGGCCUAAUGACCCUCAGUGCAAGCUAUGCAAUUCGGACCUGGAGACACCCACACACCUGUGCAAAGACUGCCCUUACACAACGGCAGUCUGUGACCGGCUGCAGGGAUGGUUUUCUCUUAACCACUUACCCCCAGGCAACACAUCGCUUUCGAUCCACAAGUGGUGGAAGAAAUGUAGGAGCAUGAUCGACAAAAGGAACAAAACUUUCUUUGACGGCCUCAUCAUAUAUUUCUAGUGGAACAUUUGGAAAGAGCGCAACAGACGAAUCUUUAAUCACGAAACCAAACUGGUGGAAGACGUCGCGUUCUCUAUCAAAGAAGACAUCCAACAGUUCCAGUUCGCCAAUAAAACGCAUGAAGCUCCCGCGGUUGAGCCAACCUAGCAGCAUUUUUCAUCUUUUAAAGUGGGGUUUUGAAGUGGAGCUCGUAGUUGUUGUUGUUUUUUCCUUUCUCCCUAGGGAGUGCUAUUUAGUUGGUGCAGUGAGAGCCAUGUACAUAGAGUUAUUUUUUGUUUUAUUUUCUUGUCUUGUUUGGUUUUACCUCUUCUAAUAAAAAUUCGGCAAAGCUUUUGCCGUCCGUUAAAGAAAACAUACAUUAUGAUAAUUUUAUAAAUUUUAAUGGAGACGGGGAUGCAUAUGAUAUACUCCCUCCAUCUAUAUUUAUAAGGCGUGGAAGGACUUAGCACGGUCUUCCAAAUAACACUUUGACCCUUUAUUUAUCUUAUAUUAUAGUAUUUAUAGUUAUAAACUUAUAAUCAUCGUAGAGUAUAUUUGAUUACGAAUCCAACUAUAUAAAUUUUGAAUUAUAAAAAUAAAAAAAUAAUAGUUAAAUUAUUGGUCAAAAAUUGUAAAGUUUAAAUCUUGAUAUGCGUGUGCGCCUUAUAAAUAAAAACGGAUGGAGCAUAUCCCCCAAAUGUUUCUAUAUAUUGUGGAACUCAACUUAACUGAAGGAUAUAAAGACAAGAUUUUCAUAGGAAAUCGAACCAUUUUAAGAGGCGGUUCACACGAGGGAUCUCCUAGGAUAAUGCUAUUUGUGCACAACCAUACCCUUACAUGAACCGUCUCUGGAACCAGAAAUCAUUCCGUUUUCACUUACGGCAGACACGAGUGUAAUGGAGCCGUACAGGUGCAGGAGGGCGAUCCCCAUCUAGACUUUAAUUUGGCCAUGUGGAAGUAGGACACACUAUCUCUAGCACCAGCACCAUGUGUAGUUGGUCCCCCGUGUAUGCAUCAAUGCUGCACCUAUCGACUGUGACCUGGCACCUAACCGGACAGUUGGUUACGGUAGCCAUUCUUGUGAUUUCACAACUCAAAGGCAUCGUUUAUCCUCCCUCUCCCUGCUGCUGCUCAUCCUCCCUUCACUGAACUACUUGUUGCAAUCAGAAGAAAGAUCAAUCGAGUUGAAGAGACAGAUCGGAAGCUAGUCAACGUUGAUUGGUUCGUGAGUGAUGUUAUGAUCCGUCCCUCUGUUAUAACCAUCCAACCCAGCUGGUGCAGAAGCUAAUUACCUGAAGCAAUAUAUUUGUAGAAACGAAUAGUAAUAUAUUUAUAGAAACGAAUAGUACUGGUUAGUUCACUUAUUUCUUUGCUCAAACUUAGCCGUUUGGCAAGGCUUCGUCUUGGGUUAAAAUGACUCCGGAGCUUCGGCUCAUCAAGCAACUUUUUAUAUCUCUAGCUCAUCCUAUUAAAAAAUAUUUGGUAAAAUGAUUUCUCCAAAUUAGUUUGAGGUUGAUAGAAAGAUAAAAUGUCCAAAAUACUCUAAGAACAUAUAUUUUUCAUUCCAUUUUUUUCUUUUCCAUCAUUCUUUUAUUCCAUCUACUAUUUUUUCCUUACGCUUUUUUUUUUGGCCAGGUGUGCCUUAUCCGCUUCGGCCCUUCCCACCAUGCCUUUUUUCCUAUUUCUUUUCUUGCCGAGCGUGCUUUAUCUCCUUCGUUGACUUCAGUAGCACCUGUUGCGUUCGAUGCUCGCGCGGCAGCCCGGGGACCUCGACCUCGCCCGCCUAGGAGCUCCAGCAGCCGGUCCGCUCCGCCGCCGGUGCGGCAACCACGCCGUCGUCAGACCGCCUCACGCGGCCACCGGUCGUCCCCGCGAUACACCGCCGCCGGUGCGCCGUGCGCGGCGGCGCUGUCCCGCCGCUCCGCCGCCUACCGUCGGCCUGCGCCACCACCAGCGCACCGGCAGCACCGCGAGCUGCCGCGCCGCCCCGACAUUGGUCCUUCCCGAGCCCGGUGUCGUCACCAGCGUCGCGGAGAGAAGGUAAGGGGAGUGGCAAUUUUGCAGUAGUUUUGACGAACUUGAGGAGCAAAGUUAAAGCACAUGGCUGUGGGGAAGAGGAGAAGCGGGGAAAGCUACUUUUUAUGACUCACGCUGCUCAGUUCGAUUUGAUGAUUGGCUUCACACCGGCUUUUCCUGUGAAGCCCUUUUCAACUCACCCGUUUGGUAGGGUUUGGCCUGAAGCCGGUUCAUAAGCGGGAGCCAGAGCCCUACCAAAACUAUUUGGUGAGACUAUGAGCCGUUUGGUUCUCUGACUUAUUUUUAGCACAUGUCACAUUGAAUGUUUAGAUACUAAUUAGGAGUAUUUAACGUAGACUAUUUACAAAACCAUUACACAGCUGGAGGCUAAAUGGCGAGACGAAUCUAUUAAGCCUAAUUAGUCCAUAAUUUGACAAUGUGAUGCUACAUUAAAUAUUUGCUAAUGAUGGAUUAAUUAGGCUUACUAGAUUCAUCUCGUCGUUUAGCCUCUAUCUGUGCAAUUAGUUUUAUAAUUAACUCAUAUUUAGUCCUCCUAAUUAGCCUCCAAAUAUUCGAUGUGACACGGACUAAACUUUAGCUCAAGGAACCAAACCUCGCAUAAAUUAGCUGCUUAUUCUGCUGGUUGCAUGCAGGAGAUCGAGCUGCGGGCACACGGCCGGAUCGGAGGAGGACAUAUCAGCCGGGUUCCUGUUGGUUGUGUACUUGUGUUCCUGCCAGCGGAGAAGCAACCAUGGCCGAGUUAGUGAUCGGGCCACUGAUCUCCAUGGUGAAGGAGAAGGCAUCCAGCUACCUGCUGGACCAAUACAAGGUGAUGGAAGGCAUGGAGGAGCAGCGCAAGACCCUGGAGCGCAUGCUGCCAGCAAUCCUGCAAAUCAUCCAGGAUGCGGAGGAGAAAGGAGCCUCCCGACGAGGAGUAGCAGCUUGGCUCAAACACCUCAAGACAGCAGCCUAUGAGGCCAACGACGUCUUUGAUGAGUUCAAGUACGAGGCGCUUCGGCGAGAAGCCAAGAAGAAGGGCCACCACAGCAAGCUUGGAGUGGAGGUAGCAAGACUCCUAGUCCCCACUCGUAAUCCCAUUGUAUUCCGUUACAGGAUGGGCAAGAAGCUACGCAAGAUUGUGCAGACCAUCGAGGCCUUGGUCACCGAGAUGAAUACAUUUGGUUUCAGGCACUUGCAGCAAGCAAAGCCAUCAAGGCAGUGGCGACAGACAGAUUCCAUAAUCAUUGACUCCGACAGAGAUAUUCUUAGCAGAUCUAGAGAUCGGGAGAAGAAGAAAAUCGUGGGGAUGCUCCUUGAUCAAGCUAGCAACAUGGAUCUCAUGGUUCUUCCAAUUGUUGGGAUGGGUGGGAUGGGCAAGACCACCUUUGUGCAACUCAUUUACAAUGACCCUGCAAUCGAGAAGCACUUUGAGUUUCGGAGGUGGUGCUGCGUAUCAGAUGAUUUCGAUGCAAGUACCAUUGCAAGCAACAUCUGCCAGACCAACGAGAAAGGACGUGAAAAAUCAUUGCAGGAGCUCCAGAGUAUAAUAAUUGGAAAAAGGUACCUCAUUGCGCUAGCUGAUGUAUGGAAUCGGGAUGCUGCUAAGUGGGGAAAACUAAAGACCUGCCUUAAGCAAGGUGGCAAGGGCAGUGCAGUACUAACAACAACUUGUGAUGCAGAAGUGGCUUGCAUUAUGACCAUGGGUGUAGCUGAAGCCCAUAAUAUCGAGAAUCUGAGUGACAAGCAUUUAAAGGAAAUUGUCCAAAGCAGAGCAUUCAGCUUGCAAAAUCCAAAUAUUGAAGAGCAAGAUGGCAUUCUCAGUGGAUUUGUUCGUCGAUGCGUUGGAUCUCCCUUGGCUGCCAAAGCCUUUGGCUCUAUGUUGAGUAACAGGACUAGUAUAAAUGAAUGGAAGGAUGUAUUAGCUAAAAGUAACAUUUACCGAUCCUCAAGCUCAGCUUUGAUGACCUAUCCUCAGAUAUGAAGCAAUGCUUUGCAUUUUGUGCUUUAUUUCCUAAAGAUUAUGAGAUCGAUGUGGACCUCUUGAUUCAACUGUGGAUGGCACAUGACUUCAUACCUGUGCAGGAGGAUGACAAUCCAGAAACCGUAGGAAAAUAUAUUUUCGAGGAGCUAACUCAGAGGUCAUUCUUUCAAGAGGUCAGGCAAACACAUCCAAAGUGCUAUUAUGGAAGUCUUCGUAAGUCAACCAUAUGCAAGAUACAUGAUCUCAUGCAUGACAUUGCUCUAUCUGUUCUGGGGAAAGAAUGUGUCACUAUAGUUGGUAAGCCGAGCAUCAACAAGGUGUUGCUAAAUCCGACCCGCCACGUCUUCUUAUCAACAAGGUGUUCUCAUUUCUGGAAAGAACAGGUUACAAGUCUACUGGAUCAUCUAUUGAAGAAACAAACUGCAAUGGUCCACACGUUGUUUUUUACAGAUUAUUCUGACCCCCUUGAUAUAUCAAAGUACACUUCACUGCGAGCAUUACACCUUCCAGCAUAUAUAUUCUCAUGUGUAGGACAGGAGCAGCUUACAAGACACAUACAACACCUAAGGUAUCUUAAUCUGUCGUCACAUGAGUUCGAGAAACUUCCUGAAGGUAUAAGCAUUAUGUAUAAUCUACAAACGUCGUCACAUGUUCAGGACAGGAACAACUUACAAGACACAUACAACACCUAAGGUAUCUUAAUCUCCCACCUUCCCUCAAACAAUUAGGCAUCUGCAGCUGUGAGAAGCUCUGCUCUGUGUCAGGAGACCUGCGUGCACUCGAGGACCUACAUAUUUCUGACUGCAAUAAGUUACAGUCAGUCAAUUCCUUGGGAGACCACCCAUCAUUAGAAACACUGAUUCUUUCUCGCUGCCGAUGCCUUGCAUCUUUAGGAUGUGAUGGUGGUCGUGGGAGUUACUCUGCUCUUCAGAGCCGUAAGAUUGUAGACUGCCCAGCCUUAGACAUGAAGCAGUUUUACUAACGCCAUCAAACAGCUGCUUGACAGCUUUGAAAAUGAAGACGUAUCACACGUUCAUUCAAGCAGCUCUGAUGAAGGUAUACGAC
This 93136-nucleotide long non-coding RNA is filed under the name Setaria italica (foxtail millet). RNAcentral's name for it is "long non-coding RNA (SITA_LNC006295)". The record is from RNAcentral. Lineage: Eukaryota; Viridiplantae; Streptophyta; Magnoliopsida; Poales; Poaceae.